RNAcentral lists this long non-coding RNA (95800 nucleotides) under Triticum aestivum (bread wheat). RNAcentral's name for it is "long non-coding RNA (TAES_LNC017251)". The stretch from base 37151 to 37237 matches the Rfam family "MIR1120/MIR1122 microRNA precursor family". Lineage: Eukaryota; Viridiplantae; Streptophyta; Magnoliopsida; Poales; Poaceae. The record is from RNAcentral.
CUCUCCUCUGCUCUGCUCCCAGACAGAAAGAAAGAAAGAAAGAAAGAAAGAAAAGCAGAGUAGGAGGAGAAAGGGGAAGUCUUUAGGCAGGCAGCGAUGACGACCACCGCGGCAGGGUCGGAGUCGUCGUCCUCGUCGACCACGGCGGCGGCGGCGGUGCUGCCGGUGGGGUUCCGGUUCCGUCCGACGGACGAGGAGCUGGUGCGGCACUACCUCAAGGCCAAGAUCGCGGGGCGGGCGCACCCGGACCUGCUGGCGAUCCCGGACGUGGACCUGGCGGCGGUGGAGCCGUGGGACCUGCCCGCCCGCUCCGUCAUCAAGUCCGACGACCCCGAGUGGUUCUUCUUCGCCCGCCGCGACCGCCCCAAGUACCCCGGCAAGUCCUCCCGCUCCUGCCGCUCCACCGCCGCCGGAUACUGGAAGGCCACCGGCAAGGACCGCCUCAUCCGGGCGCCCGGCCCCGGCGGCUGCAGGGGGAAGGGCGCCCUCAUCGGCGUGAAGAAGACCCUGGUGUUCCACCGCGGCCGCGCCCCACGCGGCGCACGCACCCCGUGGAUCAUGCACGAGUACACCGCCACCGACCCAAACCCCCAGUCCCAGUCCCAAUCCCAAUCUCAAUCUGCAGGCCCCCAAAAUGUAACCUUCCUCUUGUUGUUCUCCUCUGCUCUGCUCUGCUUCCAUUGAUUUGAUUUGAUUUGAUUUCAGCUUAAAUAAGUAGAGGAGUAAUUCUUUCUUUCUGCCAUGCCAUGGAUGUGGAAUCAGAUACCGUUAGGUUGCAUUGCAGUCAGGCAGUCUACUCUAUUUGCAUCCAGGCGUCAAAUCAGAUAGAUACUCUGCCUCUUGUAUUGCUCUGCUCUGCUUCAGUUUCAUUUCAACUAAUCUAUUUUGUUUGUUGCUUGUUUCUCACUUAUUUAUGCCUACUAUAUAGGUAGUAUGGAUGUGAAUAUGAAUGUGCUUCCAUCUCAACUUUACAUCAGUGUUAGCAGUACCAAACUAUAAUAUUUGCAGUCAGCAGUUAGGAUAUUUAUUAUCGCUUGUAUUGCUCUGUCUGUCUGUCGAAUUGUUUUCCUCUUUAUUUCUGUAUAUAAUAGGAAGGAUGGCUUGGAAUCAUGCAUGCACACAACUUAGUCCAACAAGAUCAGAUCAUCUGCCUCUUGUACUGCUCUGCUUCAAUUUCAGUUCAGCUCAUCUAUUUUGUUUCUUCACAUAUAAGAUAUUGCAUCUCAUUCACUUGCUUGUUUCUCAAUUAUUUAUACAACUAUGGGUAUGAAUGUGCUAGCUAGCUUAAAUACGUACAAUUUGCUGUCUUGACAGGAUUUGAACACUAACUAGGAUAGGAGGACAGAGCAUACUUCCUUCCUGGCAGGAUGAAUAUGAAUAUGUUGUGUUCAAAAUAUCUUCUUCUUGUUUCUUCAGCGAUGCUUCUUUCUUUCUUCUAUGAAUAUGGAUAUGAAAUGAAUGCCCUAGCUAGCUGAGCAGCACCGUUUGCAGUCAGUCAGUAAGGUGUAGCUCACUCUAUUCUUGGGACAUAACAAUAGGACAGGGCAUACUUGCAAGAUGAUGAAACCAUGUAUAAUUAUAAUUGAGCAGUCAGUCAGUCACUAGUUGGUGUCUGUGUCGUUCGUAGGCUCUAUGUCGCUCGUCAAGUCAGUACUUGGUGCAAUAGGAAUGGCCUGUAUAUUUUGUGGUAGCUAGGGCUUAAAAAUCAUCAUUGUGCACUCAGUCAGUCAGUCAGUACCAUUGUGAAGAAAGAUAAUGUACCUCGCCUCACUCACUUCUUGACAGAAUCCUUUGUCAACUUGUCAUAACACUAGGAUCAUAGUACAUACUUGCAAGCUGAUGAAAUCAUUUAUAUAUCACUCGAUGACUGUCUUGUUAAUUUGUUUCUUCAGGAUAGCUUUGUUCUGUACCGCCUGUUCAACAAGCAGGAUGAAGAGACCCCGGCGCCCAUUUCAGGACCCCCGUCCACGUCGCCUCCAGCCAAUCCGCCGCUACAGCAAGCCGACGACACGGCCAGCGCCUCCAUGGUGGAAGACAAGGCCUCGCCAUCUGAUUCGAGCCAGCUGACCCCGACCAAUGCAACCACCGACCACUCCUCCACGGCCCAUCUUCCUGCAGCCGCCGGCGAUGCAGAGCAGACAGCGGAUCAGGUGAACUGCUUGUUUUCCCUUUCCUGAGUACAGUAUUAUCUUCAGUCUGUUCCGCCUUUCAGUUGACUGAGAAAUGUGUGUGUUUUCGUAUCCAUAAAUUAAAUUGCAGGAAGCUGCUUUUACUGCUUCGUUGGAGCAGCUUCCAGACAUACAGCUACAGGCCGAGCAGCAAAGACACGAUGAGUUCCCUAUAUUCAAUUCCCCGAUGCGUCCUUACACGGAUCUCCCGUUCGUCGGCAACAUGGGUGAUGAGCAGGAAGACUUUUCGAUGUAUCUGAACAACACCAUAGGUGAGCAGGAUGUGCAAGACAUGUUGCUCAAUCCAGCCGGCUCUACUACAGCUCCUCUUCCGUUCUGGUCCGCUAGCUCAGGUUCAUGGACUCCUUAUGAUCUCCAAGAUAUGGGGGCAGCACCUUGGACGCAGCAGCAGCCUACAGCUCCAGCAGAUUUGAUGGACCCGCAACAAGGGAUCGCGGCAAGGAGGAUCCGGCUUGCGUACGCUGUUGAGAGGGCAUCGGCGUCUCAGCCUGUAUUAGCUUGUCACUCGGAAAGCGAAGAAGGUGAGGGCGAAUCAGCAGGCUGUAGCACAGAGAGUUCAUCCAGCAACCAUGAGGAGGAUCAUGUCGAUGAUGCCGUUUUCCAAACCAUGGUAUGUAUGGUUCUUCUGACUAAUUACCUUGAGUUAUGCUCUCUUGAAAAAAAGACUUAGAGCAAGUCUACUUAGUAGUAGUAUUUACUUUACUCAUCAUAAUAAUAUGUCUGUGUUGCUCAGGCUGGAGAUCUGAUGCAUAACAUGGCUCCUGCUCAAGCACUAGUAGUUUCUCCGGUGCAAGUUGCAGACAAGCUUGAGCAUCUAUCAUUCAAUCUCAAUGGUAUGUAAUAUAAUAAACCUUGCUUGUUCAGUUUUGAAAAGAGGAAGGGUAGCUUAGUGCCCGUAUCCUGAGCUGAGCUGUUUGGUAAAUUUGGUGCCGUGCAGAUAACAACAUAUUGGAACAAGAAGAUGCCAAGCUGCCUGGUGGAGCUGUUCUGAAGCAGGAUUCCGGUCGAAACGGGCACGACCAGGACGGACUCGUGCGCAACAGUGACUGCGUGCCUGGCCCUGGAGAUUCAUCUUCAGAAACAGCCGUGCGGAGAUCCCUCUGGCUGGCGCUCCUGGUGAUGGCCCCUCUGCUUGUGCUUGUCUUGGCUGGUGUCUGGAGGUCACUGAGCUACCGGCCGGUCUAAACUAAACGGUUCCUCUUCCUCAUCGUUCUUCGUUCGUAGGCUCUCUCACUGAUAUAUGUUGCUGGUGUGUAUAUACUUACUCCCUCCGUCCGGAAAUACUUGUCAUCAAAAUGGAUAAAAGGGGACGUAUCUAGACAUAUUUUUGUUCUAGAUACAUCUGUUUUUAAUCAUUUUGAUGACAAGUAUUUUCGAGGACGGAGGGAGUAUAACUUUAGGCUCUACCUACCGUACCGACUUUGUAAUGUCGCCAUGGGUUGAUAUUCACAUGACAUAUUGUAGAAAGCGACUUCCAAACUUGUCUAUGCAAAUGCAAAUGAAUGAUUCAGUUAGCAAUUCCAUGACCAUACAUACAUACUCCCUCCGUCCCGAAAAACAUGUCGCAAGGGCUUUUUCGCAAUUUAGUCCUUCGAACUUUCCCGACCAAACCCGCAGUCCACCCUGUCUCCUUCCUCGCUCCCCCACUCUGGCGACGGCGCUGCCUCCGACCCUCCGCCCCACGCCCCACGCCACCUUGCUCCCCCCACCCACCUCUCCGCCGCACCACGUAGCCGUCGCCUCUCCCCCCACGCCCCCCCCCACGCCGCCGGCUCGUUCCCCUGCCAAAACAGAGCAGGCGGCAAGGUUCGAUUUUUGCCGCCGCCUGGUUCACCUGCGCGUUGUGGAUAACCGGCUAGUCUCCGUCGACCUCAUCCCUUCCCCCCACAGCUGCACCCCGCCGCUCCCGCGUCAUCUUCGGCCGGCGGCCCCGCCACGCCGCAGCUCCUUCGCCAGCAAGCCGACGCCGCCUUCCACCCCGUGUCGCCGUCGCCAGCAGGUAGACGACGCCGUCCACUCCUGUUCAGCCACGGCACCAUCGUCCAGCACCUCAAGGCCGUCCACUCCUGUUCAAGAUUUCAGAUUCAGAGGUGAGUACUGAAACUACUUGAUGCUAAGAUUCAGACUAAAGUUCACUGUCAAAACUGUCAAUUUGCUCCUUGAUGUGGGCAUUUCUAGUUUGAUCCAGAGAUUCAGAAGAUUAAGCGACUCAUUCGCACAUCUAGAGCCAACGUAACGCGUCAAUAAUUCAUCGGCGUUUGUUUACUGAUUGCCGCUAAAGUUUGAUGCUUUCGAUCUGGACAUGAUUGGGAGAGAGAGAGAGAGAGAGAGAGAGAGAGAUGUAAAACAAGAUGAGAUAGAAACUAGUUCUUCUACAACUUGUAUCUGGUUUCACACCCUUUUCUUUAGAUCCAGGGACAUAGGUCAUGCUGGCAUGGUAGCUUACAUUGUAGUGCUGAUGCAGAGGUCUCCUCUAGUUGGGUUAAAUUGAGGCGGUGACAUCACGUCUCGGUGUUGGAGUUCUUUUAUCGGCAUGCUGUCGGGUAAUUAAGCAAAUCAAACCAGGUUCAAGUGAAUGCUGCUAAUUCUUUUUCAUUUGGUUUGUAGUGUAGCUUUCCGUAAUAGGGGACUAUAGACACUUUAUUUCUUUUUUUUUGACGGUGCUAUGGCGGGCUUACUAUAGAAACUUCGUGACUGUAGUUGCUGCUGCACUAGCACUUGUGGUGCAGCUAGCUAGAAGCUAAGCUUGCCUGAAUUAUUUGUUCGGCUUAAUUAUCUGCUACUCUCAUCAUGUAAACAAAUCGAGACCAUUCUACAUGCUUGUUUGUGACUAAGAAAGAGUAAAGUAACGGUAAUUAACAAAGAGUAAAGUACUCCUUGAUGUGGGCCUCCUCAUUGGUUGUAAAGCAAAGCAAUUUGACAUUUUCAAUCAUGAGUAAAUCAGAAACUAGUCUCAGCUUGAGUCCUGAUCUUGUGCAUUUUCUUUUUUCUUUUAGUGAACUAGUAUAGCUAUUGAGUCAUGAUGUACUGUAGUUUUUUAUUUAAAUGUUUAAUUGACAAAUCAUUUUAAAUGGUGUGCACAGGUUUCAGUGAACUAGUCUCAGCUUGAAACAGUUAACUAAAUUUUGUCAGUGGAAUGGAUCUUUUUGAACCACUCUGAAUUCUGUUUCUGAAAAAUAGUCAGGUCAUCUUCACAUCCUGUGUUGUCUGUGUUUCUGAAAAAACAGUUAACUGAAUUUAAAUGUUGUUAAUGCAUUUUAGAAUUUUAGAAUGACUGAAUUUUCAGCCAAGUUUGUUUCUGAACAGUAGUGACAUGGAGUAGUGUAGUGGUCCUGUAGUGACCAAAUUUUCAAAUACUCUCUGUAAGUUGGUGAAAAUACCCCUUAUAUACUCUUACAACCUGGGUAUGAACCUCUCUUCUCUACUUCAUCUUUACUGAAUUUACUGAAUGUGUGUAUUCUCUGAACCACUUAUUCUCUGUCUACUGAAUUUUAGUGAAUGUGAGAUGUACUCCUGUAAACUGAGAUGUGCUUUUGUAAAGUGUGAUGUCAACUUGUGAAUUAUACUCUGUGCAGUUGUUUCUGAGGACAACUGUUUAUUGCCUGAAAGAUAACACAGAACUGAUCAAACAUCUUGUAGGAGUAAUUAACUAGCUAUUUUACUCAAGGAAACCUUCCUCAGAUUAACUUGUUUAUUUGCAGUACUUCUCUCUCUCUGUAGAACAAUUCUUUAAACUGGAAAAGAGGAGGCAAAAGGGAACAUGUGUAGCUGAUGUCUGAGAGCCUAAAACUUGCUUAUGCAGUAAAUUGCCCAAGUUAGCUGUAAUACAUUCAUCUUACUGCAAACAAGAAUGGUGUGCCCAGGUUUACACUACUGUUUUCAGUUAACUAAACUGGCAAAGACUAUGACAUGACAAGUGUCAAACAGUUCAAUUUAUCUUGCAAGUACAGUUUGACCAGAUUAUAUACUGCAAUUUUGUUUCAAUUAGAUGAUUGGCUUAUUGGAGUACAGAUUAACUGAAUCCUGAAACCUGACAUACAACACACAACAUGCUUAGUCCCUCUUUAGUUCAUUAACUUCACAUCAUUCAACUUUAGAGUUGUGAUUCAUGAUUUGGACAUAUGGGUGCCCUCUCUUUUCUUUGUAAUCUUGAUUGGGAGUAAAUGACAAAAUUAUAGGCCAUUUUUUGAGAGUGGAAUGUUUUCCAUUAUGUUUCUGCUUCAAUCUGAAUACCAUCUUAAUGUCAUCUCUGAAUGAGUACUGUAUUAAUGAUCAUUAUUACAGGAAGCAACAGCGGCACGAAGAGAUUACACUGGAUGUCUACUCCUUAUGCUUGCAACAGCAACAUCACUAAGAGAUUACAACAAGGAACAACAGCAGUUGCUACAGAUCAAUCUACAGGUCAGAGAUUACACUGUACCUUCUUCUUCAGAGAUGAUCAGCAGCGAAGAAUAGCAGCGCAGCACGAGCACGAGCUCCACCGGCAAGCAUGGAGCAUGGGCGAGCGUGCACGCACCCGAGCUUGGGUGGCGGCGGCGCCGGUUUUUGGUCACCGGAGGAGCUACUUACGAGCUCCAAUGGCGGCGAGCGGCAGACCACCACGACCAGGAGAACCAGCAACCAAUCGAUAGCGGAAAAGAGACCUGGAGGACCCGAAGAUCACCCUGAAGCUGUUGAGCAGCUCGAGGAAGCCAUAGGAGGAGCGAUGGCGUUGAGCUCGUGUGCGGAAUCGGCGGCCGGAGUGGGAGGAGACGGGAUCGAUUCCGUUGAUCCACGGCUUCCCAGCAAGCGUGGCUCAAGGAGGACGUAUGUCUGGGCGAGGCGGAGCUCCUGGUAUGCUCGGGGAGGACUAAGGAGGUGCGACGUCGCCGAGCUCCUGUGCCGACGCCGCUGCCGGCGUGGGAGGAGACGAGCUCGUUUUUGGAGUGGGGGGAGCUCCUGUGCGGAAGCAGCGACCGGCAGCAGGGGAGAAGCAGCGACCGGCCGACAGCAGCCGUUUUGGCCAACGGCAGGAGAUCCACCGGCCUGGAGCCUGGCCGGCGGCAGGAUCUUCCCGCGCCUGGAUCCUGCGUGCGGGUUGAUUUUAGAGAAUUCAAAGUUGCGGAAGGGUGUUUUUGUAAAAAGUGCGAUAGUUCAAAUUUGAAACCCCCUGCGACAUGUUUUUUGGGACGGAGGGAGUACAUACAUACAUUAUAUCAGUGCAGUGCAGCGCAGCGCAACUCGGAAGAUUGUUUCUCAACUUUUUUGCCAUCGUCAGUUGAGUUUCAGUGACAACAAGGUGGUCAUAUUGUAGCCAGCCAUGAAACCUGAAUGUUGAUCAGAUCCAAACUCUAGGAGGAGGCUCCUCUCUGACGUACUGCACCCUGCAGUUGGGCCACUGACAUGUGGGCCCAACUGUAGGGUGCAGUACGUCAGGUUGAUUUCUUUUUCUAUUUUUCUGUGCGCUUUUUGUUUUUCGUUUCUUUUUUCUUUUUCAAAAAAUUCUUGUGCUUUUAAAUUUUUGUUAAAUGUUUAAAAAAUGUUCGCUUUUGCAAAUUUUGUUCAUAAAAUACAAAUAUUCGCAUUUUCAAAAAAUAGUCCGUCUCUUUCAAAAUUGCUGAGAAUGUCAAAACAUGAACAUAUUUUACAAAGAGCAAACAAAAUUUUGAACACAAACAAUUUUUGAAUUUUUCAAACAUUUGUUGAACAUUAACAAAUUUGGAAUAAAAAAACAGAAAAAUGCGAACCGUAAAUUUGAAACCAAUUUUCCUUGAAUUUCCAUGAACAAUUUUUGUAUUCAUGUAGGAAAAAAAAUUGAAUAUAGGAUUUUUUUUCUUAAAAGCGCGAACAUUUUUUGAAUUUGUGAACAAUUUUUUUAUGGCCUUGCAUGACCAAUUCAAGGCACCAUGCCAAGUUGUCUGAGUUUUCGACAAGUUUUGCAUUUUUUUGGAGUUUUCUUGGUGAAAAAAUUCCAAUAAAUGGCCGGAUGUGUCGCAACUUGCAUAUAGUGUCGUAAGUCAUUCAAACCUGACAUGGAUGCCUACCACGGGCAUACCCACCUGCUUGCAAAAAUUGUGGUCAUUUUAAAGAUGUCCAAAAAUAGACCAUGUUGAACAUAGUGUUGAGGUAGAGUCGAGAAGGCUCCGUUUGAAAGCAUGAUGUUUCUCGACGUUCGUCAAAUGACCCCAAUUUCUUUUCAUUGGCUUGCAUGACCAACUAAAGGCAGCAUGCCAAGUAGUUCUGGUUUUCGAGAUUGCUUAUUUGUUAAUUAUUUUCUAGUAUGAAUAUGAAUGGCUAGCUAGCGUAUAUAGGUGCAAUUUGCAGUUCUUGUCAGGAUUUAACCCUAGGACGGGGCAUACUUGCAGGAUGAUGAAACCAUAGUGUCAAAAUAUGCUCUUGUUGUUUCUUCAGGGUUGCUUCUUUCUUCUAUGAAUAUGAAUAUGAAUGUUGUUUCUUCAGGACUUUGUAAUGUAGCCAUCCCUCCCUCCAUCCCUCCCUCCAUCCCAUUGACAUGACAUAUCGGAGAAAGCGACUUACAAACUUGUCUAUGCAAAUGAAUGAAUGGAUGAUUGAGUUAGCAACUCCAUGACCUCAUACGGGAGCAGAGCAUACAUAUGUGAGUGCAGUGCAGUGCAUCUCAAGUUGAGUUUCUGAAUCCUCAUAGCACAACUUUGAUGAUUGUAUAUAUCUGAACUUCAUUUUUGCCUGUCCGCAGUUAAAAGAAACUCAGUCCAGUUUCAGUGAUAACUGCAGGACUGAUCUGAAUGUUGAUCAGAUCCAAGCUCUAUUGUAGGUUAAUUCUUUCCUCUCUAUAAAGUGCAUUGCGUUACAUUAGAUAUGCUUGAGGACCAACACCCCGAAACAAACAAAUGCCAACGAAGAUCCCGACGAGGAUCCCCGGGACCAGACCACCAACGAGCUCCAGCCCUCCAUGGUGGUGCCCAUGCCACCAACUCUAGCGUUGGACAUGACGACCAGCACGAAUGCGAAAGCGAUGAUGCCGGGCACCGUGUGGACGACGGACAUUGCAGAUGCUCCCGUUGGCUGGCAGCAAACAACACCUUCAAAAUUUUAGGACCACGGCCAUGGCCUCACCGGCGGGGGCGAGCUUCCCGGUGUGAGAGGGUAACAAUGUGACGACGAUGGCGCUGCUGAGCUCUGCCGGCGGUAGAAAGAGAAAGAGAAAGAGAAAGAGAAAGAGAAAGAGGGGUGGCAAUCUGCAUUCAACCUGUUCUCCGGUGCAUUACUUUGUCUUUCUUCAUUCACUGUGGGGUAGCCCAUUUAUCUUGUAGCACAAUUUCAACCUCUGGACAUGAUUGAAUUAAAUUUUUGUCAUAACACUAAAGUUGUUCAUUUAUAUUGUAGCACAAUUAGCUGCUGGGACGCUCCCCGAUGUCCGCCGCUGUGUGGUGGAUGGCCGCGCCGAGGCACAUGAUACGUCUCCAACGUAUCUAUAAUUUUUGAUUGUUCCAUGCUAUUAUAUUAUCUGUUUUGGAUGUUUAUGGGCUUUAUUAUACACUUUUAUAUUAUUUUUUGGACUAACUUAUUAACCAAUUUCAGUGUUUUCUUGCCUAUUUCAUUGUUUCGAAGAAAAGGAAUAUCAAACGGAGUCCAAACGGAAUGAAACCUUCGGGAGAGUUAUGUUUGGAACGAAAGCAAUCCAGGAGACUUGGAGUAGACGUCAGGGAAGCUUCGAGGUGGCCACGAGGCAGGGAGGCGCGCCCCCACCCUCGUGGGCCCCUCGUGGCUCCCCUGACUGACUUCUUUCGCCUAUAUAUGUCCAUAUACCCUAAAAACAUCGGGGAACAGAAUAGAUCGGGAGUUCCGCCGUCGCAAGCCUCUGUAGCCACCAAAAACCAAUCGGGACCCUGUUCCGGCACCCUGCUGGAGGGGGGAUCCCUCACCGGUGGCCAUCUUCAUCAUCCCGGCGAUCUCCAUGACGAGGACGGAGUAGUUCACCCUCGGGGCUGAGGGUAUGUACCAGUAGCUAUGUGUUUGAUCUCUCUCUCUCUCUCUCUCUCUCUCUCUCUCUCUCGUGUUCUUGAUUCGGCACGAUCUUGAUGUAUCGCGAGCUUUGCUAUUAUAGUUGGAUCUUAUGAUGUUUCUCCCCCUCUACUCUCUUGUAAUGGAUUGAGUUUUCCCUUUGAAGUUAUCUUAUCGGAUUGAGUCUUUAAGGACUUGAGAACACUUGAUGUAUGUCUUGCAUGUGCUUAUCUGUGGUGACAAUGGGAUAUUACGUGAUUCACUUGAUGUAUGUUUUGGUGAUCAACUUGCGGGUUCCGUGACCUCGUGAACUUAUGCAUAGGGGUUGGCACACGUUUUCGUCUUGACUCUCCGGUAGAAACUUUGGGGCACUCUUUGAAGUUCUUUGUGUUGGUUGAAUAGAUGAAUCUGAGAUUGUGUGAUGCAUAUCGUAUAAUCAUACCCAUGGAUACUUGAGGUGACAUUGGAGUAUCUAGGUGACAUUAGGGUUUUGGUUGAUAUGUGUCUUAAGGUGUUAUUCUAGUACGAACUCUUUAAUAGAUCGAUCCGAAAGAAUAACUUUGAGGUGGUUUCUUACCCUAUCAUAAUUUCUUCGUUUGUUCUCCGCUAUUAGUCACUUUGGAGUGACUCUUUGUUGCAUGUUGAGGGAUAGUUAUGUGAUCCAAUUUUGUUAUUAUUGUUGAGAGAACUUGCACUAGUGAAAGUAUGAACCCCAGACCUUAUUUCCUAGCAUUGCAAUACCGUUUGUGCUCACUUUUAUCAUUAGUUACCUUGCUGUUUUUAUAUUUUCAGAUUACAAAAACCUAUAUCUACCAUCCAUAUUGCACUUGUAUCACCAUCGCCGAACUAGUGCACCUAUACAAUUUACCAUUGUAUUAGGUGUGUUGGGGACACAAGAGACUCUUUGUUAUUUGGUUGCAGGGUUGUUUGAGAGAGACCAUCUUCAUCCUACACCUCCCACGGAUUGAUAAACCUUAGGUCAUCCACUUGAGGGAAAUUUGCUACUGUCCUACAAACCUCUGCACUUGGAGGUUCAACAACGUCUACAAGGAGAAGGUUGCGUAGUAGACAUCAGCACACUUUGCUGCACUUGAAGAACGACACAUGAAACAUAGCCAAGAUGUCGUCGUGGCCACUAGCGUCGGCCGAGGGGACAAGCGGUCGCUGCAGCUCGUCGGAGGGGCGAAGUGCCCGAGGACAUCGAUGUCAUGAUAAUGAUACAAUAAGUGGACACACAUUAAAAUUCUCCAUAAUUAUUCAGCAAACCAUACACCGGAUCGAUUAUGAAAAGGAGAUACAUUGCACAAUAACUCUGAAAAUCUAAACAUGCCAUGGUCGCCUAUAAUAAAAUAUACGUCCAUAUCUAGAUUUUUUUAUUCUUUCACCGUUCCACAUUAUUAAUGUCACUAAUCACCACUUUGUUCUAAGAGGAUGGAAUAUAUAGAAUUCAACACCGUUGAUGUGAUUUAUAGUUUAUACUUCUUCAUGUAUUCACGGAAUAUGACUUGGUCAUAAAUGGGCUUAUUGUCUUCUGAUAAAAGCUCUUUUAUCGGCCCAUAUGGCCUAUCAAGAUCAUCAGUGCUUAGAAAGCAUGCGAUUGAGAUACGUGGCUCUACAGUUGCUCUCAGCAGAACUCGGUGCUCCACGCUCUUGAACUUCCCAUUUGUAAUAAUCUGCACAAUUGCAAAAAGAACAAAUAAGAAUUGGAUUUCAAACACUCCAUCAUAGAGAUCAAUGAUGGUGUAUGGUAUUAUGGUGAGUAACGACAUAUAUUUUAGUUAAGUGUAGUUCAAUUUAUUAAAGAUUACUGUUUAUGACAAACAAAAUAUUGCAAAUUUAUCACAAACAAAUUAUUUUUUGAUAGUUAAGUUAUUCUUAAAUUAUAAAAUUGUGUGAAAACCGUCCUUAAAUCUUAAAUAGUAACAAAUAAAGAUCAAUUUACAAAAAUUGACAUGAACAACUACAAUACAAAUAUGUAUCUUAUUGGUCCAAUAUCAAUUUGUAAUGUCAUUUCUUAUUAAAAUUUCUGUAUUUACCAAUAGUUUAGAGUUUAUGCACCAUUUUCAUAUAAUUUUAAAAUUAAAGACUAGAACUUGAGACAAUGAAAGAUUGGGGAAUAUACUGUAUUCACUCUUAUAUAUUGUUUCAAACUUAGCACUGUAGGGUAAAACCGCUAUCCAGUCUUAUAUAUUGGUACCCAGGUUUCACAAAAAAUACUGGUACCCAUAAAAUAUAGUGUAAUUUAUAUAUUAGCUUAAAUACACCUAUAAGAAUAUAACCGUAUACUAACAAUGAAAUAAAUUAUUUAAAUAUAGUUUAUAGAUGAAUAUUGUAAGCACAAACAUAGAAGAUAAGGUAGUUAUUAAUUUAUGAUCGUAAAUAAAGAAAUAGUUUAAUAAAUUUUAAAAAAAUCCAUAUGAGUGAAUGUAUAAAUAUGUAAUUAAUGUAUAGCAAUUCGGUUAGGUGAAAUAUUGGCCAGCAACGCACCCUUGACCGGAGGAACAUUAAUCUUUUUCUAACAUGGGAUAACUAAUAAAAAAGUUAGUGUGUGAAGUUAAUCUAUACCUAUACCCCUACUAAUAAAGUAAGGUGCGUUUCUCCAAUUUUUUCGUCCGUUCACCACCGAUUUUUUUAUAUCCGAGGUGGUACUAAAUUUUUCUAUUCGAUCUGCUAGAAAAGAAAAAAUAUAGUUUUGUCCAGAAUUUCGUACGUGGGCCGCACGCGCUAAGGCCCAGAGAAGCCACCCAUUUAUAUCCAGCCCACGCAGCUGGAAAACCUUAUUUCUCUAAGACAGCAGCAUAUAGUUGGAGUUUCGCGUCUGUCGGCUACCAUGGGCCGGCCCAUGUCCGUUUCUUCCGUUUUCUUUUUCAAAAUUUUUUGGUUCCCUUCCAAGUUAUAUUAUCAUUUUUUUCAUAAAUUUAUUUUUUUUCAGAAUUUUUGUUUUUACAAAAGUUCAUUAAGUAUUCCUAAUUUCAAAAUUUGUUUCCAUUUUCAAUAAUAUUUGGAACUUUGAAUUUUUAUUCUCGUACCAAAAUUUCUCUAAAUUCAAAAAAUGUAGCAUUUGUUUAAAAAACUUCCAUAAUUGUUCGAGAACUUUAAAAUAAAUUCGAUUUUCUAAAUAUUUGAAAUUCAAAUAAAUUCCUUAUUGCUGAAAUGUUCACAAAUUCAAAAUAAUGUUCGUGAUUAAAAACAAAAUUUUUAAAAUGGUUUUAUAUACCAACUAAAUACUAAUAAAGCAAGGUGUGCUUCUUCAAUUGAUUCAUCCAUUUAUCACCGAAAAUAUUUUUUUAUAUCUGAGGUGGUACUAAAUUUUUGUGGUGCAUCUGGUAGAAAAUAAAAAAAAGUUUUUUCCAUAAUUUCGUAUGUGGGCCGCACGCGCUAAGGCCCUGAGAAGCCACCCAUUUAUAUCUUGCCCAUGCAGUUGGGAAACCUUAUUUGUCGCACCAAGCAGCAUAUAGUUGGAAUUUCGCAUCUGUAGCCCAACGUAGGUCCGGUCCAUGUACGUUUUUUCUUUGUUCUUUUUCUAAUUUUCCUUUUCUUUUUCCCCUUCCAAGUUUUUUUCCUCUUUCCCUUAACUUUAUUUUUUUGUUUUUUCAGAAUUUAGAUAUUCGUACAAAUGUACGUUAAAUCUAGAGAAUUUCAAAACUUGUUCCCAUUUUCAGAAAUAUUUGGAAGUUUAGAUUUUUCUUCUCAUUCCAAAUUUAUUUGAAAUUCAAAUAAUGUUCGUAUUUUUCAAAAACAAUCCAAAAAAUUUCGUGAAUUUUAAAAUAAUUGUAAUUGGAAAAUAUUCCUUUUAUUGAAAUGUUCACAAAUUCAAUAUAAUGUUCGUGAUUAAAAACACAUUUAUUAAAACGGAUUUGAAUGUUCAAAAUAAGUUUCCAUUUUCAGAAAUUGUUCAUAAAUUAAAAAAAUGUUAAUUUCUCCGCCUUAAAAAUGGUUCCUGUUUUAAACAAAUGAUUGUGAAUUUUAAAAAAAUCUUCCUAUUUCAAGUUUUGUUUGUCUUUUUCCAUAAAUUAACGAUUUUUCAAAAAACAAAUGUUUGCAUUUUUUAUAAAAAAAUCAAGAGGUCACCACAUCCUCGACAAGGAGGCGGACCUAAAGAAAAAAAUGGCACGAAUUGGGUAGUAGCCGCCACUCCUACCAACCCCACUAUUAUAAAGAUCUCGCGGGCCAAACAUGACCCGUGAGAACACUACAACUCUCUGCUCUGUCGCACCACUGUUGUGGAGAUCGUUUUAAUGGACACAUAUUGUAAGCACAAAAAUAGAUCAUAAGAUAGUUAAUUUAUGAUGGAAAAUAAAUAAAUACGAGUGAAUGUACAAAAAAUAUUUAAUUAAUGUAUAGCAAUUUGGUUAGGUGAAAGUGUGACAGUACCUGCAUCAUGUCAGCAAUAUUGGCCAGCAACGCACCCUUGACCGGAGGAACAUCAAUCCAAACAUCUUGAUGAAGAACUUGAAGGCCGCCGACACUAUCUUGGAGGAACCCGAGGUCAGCAUGCUUGGUCCCACCCAUGGUCAAAUGUGGCUGGGGACAUAUCGGGAAAUAGUGACACGCCAUUGACCUUGCACUGAAGCAUCUUGUGCUUGUGCUUGCUAGAUAAUCACUUCCAAGACCUAAAGCUUCCGAAAAUAACUCAGACAUGUACUCCUUCACUUCUUCUCUGUACACUUUCACAAUGUUACCAAAAAAUAUAAUUUUAUCUCUAUUAUAAACGAAAGCACCCUCAACUUCAGUUGAAAAAUAAUUAAAAAGUUAGUGGGUGAAAUUAAUUAUAUACUACCUCUGUACCGAAAUACUUGUAGUUUGGCCCCCAGCUACAAGUAUUGUGGUGCAGAGGGAGUAUAAUGGAGGGAUGACCUGCAGAUUUGUGGUAUUGCUUCAAAGCUUUGAGGGUCUUGUAGGGCCUUGCAAGACAAGGUGUCUCUCCAUGGAAGCUGAACAAGUUAACCUUCCGAGCAAAGUCACGCGAGUACCACUUUGCCUUGUCCUCCUGAGCUGAGGAAGCUCAUGGAAAGCUCGGACUCCUCUUUGGAUUCCCUCCAUGACGCCAAGAGGAAUCCCAUGGUUCACCAGCUGCAAGAAUCCCCAUGACUCGGCCGCGUUCCUUAUCUCCUCCACCAUCUCCUUUCGACACUCGGAGGAAUCAAACCUUAACCCGGUGAGAUCGAUCACAGGGAAAUGAAGGCUGCGAAUAGCUGAGGCAUCUUCUUCAGGUUCAGGGAGUGAAGAGCUGAGGAGAUCCUCUGGAGGGUGUAUGAACAUGGAGGGAAGCUUGGUGACACCGUGGAAGGCUUUGAUCUCCAUGUCAGGCUGGUUGUAAUCCACCACAACUGAUGCCAUGGUUUGUUUGGUUAAGCAAGAACAAGUUUGGUUUGGAUUGCUCUGGUGUUCUGCUCUAUUUAUAUGGGCGAGUUAAUGAGUUGAAGAUAAGAUGAGUGAGACUUGUUUACCAAGUAGAGUGUUGAAAAAAGGACGGCUCUCUUAAUUUCUACGCCUGCUGUGCAAUUUUUCUUUUACUUCUAGACCAACCAUUAUCUUUGAGGGCUUGGCUGAAGGAGAUCAACAUCAUGAUAUUGACCAACCUGCACGUUUGGUCUGAUUUUCAACAAUACUGAUACUGUAGCACACAGCUUUCUUUGAAUAAAAAAAAAAUCAACAAUACUGUCUGCCGCGCUUGCUUCAAGAUUCAGCGAUUUCCUUUUUCACCUUCACCAACCAUUGUUUCCUGUUUAACGGCGCAGGUGCUUUUCUCGGACCAGACGCAGACGCCCAGCGCGACCGCGGCCCCAGUGACCGUAGGCCACCGCGUCGAAAAGAUAAGGACACACAUAUACAUCCAACACGCCUGUACCCAGCCUUCGCCAUCUGUGGCUUUGAGUACCGAUGUAUGUGCCCCUUCCAGAUGGAAGAGAACUUAGAUCCUAUAGGACCAGCGCACAAACAACAACUAUCGCCGUUGAAGAGAAUUUUAAAUCCAAAGGAUACAACCUGUAGAUAGACGAACACACACAAACAAGAUCUUCUUCUUCUUCUUCUUCCUGACCAAACAGAGCACGCUCACAAGGCGAAUAGAAAAUGGGACACUUUUUUACUUCUGCUUUGGUACACCUCUAAAUAGAUAUAUACACCUUGCUUACCCACGGAAAAGAGCGCUCAUACCUAGCGGUGGUUAGGUUUUCUCCUCCCUCCCGCCGGCGUCGAGGCUGGUCUGCCUCGUCUCCUGUGGCCUUAGGACCAUGAAGGCGUGGUGGAUCCCGACCCUUGCCGGCAGAAGAGCUUCAUUUUUGGAUGCUUUUUUGAGUUUUCUUAGGUUUGUGUUAUGCUCAGAGACGAGGCGGCGGCGGCUCUUUGAAGAUGGAAUAGGUUCUCCCGGUGAAUAGGAGUCCCUGGCCACAUGUCCCAUUUUGACUACCUUCUUUACUUUUUGAAUCAAAAUUAAUAUUGAGUAUAUUUUCAAAAUCAAUAUUUUGUUGCUUUCAAAUUUAACUCGAAACAUGACUGGAACAUUUACACGUUUUAUUAUAAUUUUUCGGUGAGGAAUAUCUGCAUCUUUCUCACACGUGUGUCCUACGUGCACAUACUUCUAGUACAUCAAAUUCCGAGUCAAGCUUCAAAGAAGCAAAAAAUAAUAAUUUUUUGAAACAUAUUCAACAUUGACCUUAUUUCAAAGGUCUCGUCUAGACAAAAAUCACAGUAAAAACGGAUCUUAAAUCGAACAUCCGGUUCAAAAUAUAUGAACCAUUUUGUGUUUGGGCAAAAAAAAAAUACGUACAGAAUUUUUUAUGGGAGUGUGUGCUGUGGAGUGCGGAUUAGUUUGCACAAACAGUGAGGUUGUCUCUGCAAAAAUGGUAUAGUCCAACUUUUGACCAAAAUCUGAUCCAUUACUUUUUCAUCUAAGGGUCCUGAAUCUACUGGUGCAUUGGGUGCACAAUUUGAAUGGGUGCGCAGGAUACAUUCUCUUAGUACGACGACUUCCCAACAAUCCACUACAACAGGUUUUAUCUGGCUCCAGUGAGGGAGGGGAGAUGAUAGCGACGCGCCUUCGGCUCACUUUCGUGCUUGUAGUCGUUGCUAGGUGAUAUAUGGAUUUAGAUGCAAUUUUAUUCUUUCUAGUAUAUUCAUUGUACUGUCAUGAUUGAUGAUAAAUAGAUUCGAAGUUUUUCUGAAAAAAGUUACCCUAUAUAUCCCUUCAUAAUAAAGGGCAGGAUGGUCCUUUAGGAAAGUAAGUCGCUGCACCGAUACAGUGUGCGACUCGACCGACCCAUUAAGCCAUGUCCCUCCUAUCAGAUAAGAACACAAUUUCCCAGGCUUUUCCUCCUCCUCCUCCUCAGAAUUUCGCUGAUGUCUUGGCGGCAAUGGUUGAGGAGGGCGACACCGGAAGGGCCGACGAGCCCACUGACAAUGGGACGUCCUUGGAAUGUGCCCCUGCAAAUCCCCCGCUCUCGUCGAAUGCACAAAGUAGUGCGUAUAAUUUAUUUUUAAAAAGUCAAACUUUAAAAAAUUUAGGUUGAUACCCGUUGACAUGACAUAUUGGAAUUGUCUAUGCAAGCAAAUGAAUGAAUGGACGAUUGAGCAACUCCAUGACCUCAUUCAUAUGGGAAUGGGAGCAGAGCAGAGCAUACAUAUGUGGGUGCAGUGCAGUGCAGUGCAUCUCAAGUUGAGUUUCUGAAUCCUCACAGCACAACUACAGCUUUGAUGACAAGAGUCUAUCUCAACUACUGAUCUGAAUAUUGAUCAGAUCCAAGCUCGUUCGCAGGUUGAUUCUUUCCUCUCUAUAAAGUGCAUCGAGGACCAACACCCUGAACUGAAACAAAAGCCGGCGAAGAUCCCACGAGCUGCAGCCUUUGUGGUGCCCAUGCAUUACUCUGUUUUUCUUUACUGUAGCACAAUUUCAACCUCUGGACAUGUGGCAAAAUCUAGGCUGAGUUGCUUAAACAGGGUGAGACAGGGGUCCACAAAAGUAAACCUGAUACGGUUUCAGACCCUCUGGAUAUACCUGUAAAAUGAGACAAAAUUGAAGGCAGGGAGACACUACUCUAGGGCAUCCAAGCCUUUUUUGUUCAUGUAAACAAGCCAAUGAUCGGCCAGCCGAUCAAUUGACCUUUUACUCUUGGAAUCGCCCACUUGGGUAUUGGAGUAUUUCAAAAAAAAAAAAAAAACUGGGUGGUUACAAUAUUUAUUUUUUUGGCAAAGCCUGGGUUUUUAGGUUGGCUUGGCAUAACGGACACUUGGUAUGUGCGUACUCCCUCCGUUCGGAAUUACUUGUCACAAAAAUGGAUGUAUCUACAACUAAAAUACAUCUAGAUACAUUCAUUUCUUGGACGAGUAAUUCUGAAUGGAGAGAGUACAUAGGAGAUCUAGGCUAUGGUUAGGUGUAGGAGUACAAGAGCAUACGUAGGGUCUAGGGUUAGGGGCGAAUCUAGUAAGGGGGCUUUAACAGGCUUGAGCCCCCCCUCAAGAACUGAAAACCGUUUUUGACUACUAGUCUCAAGGCCCAACUCAGCCACAUGCCAGCCCAACCCAACAUAUAUUUGCAUGAUACAGACUUGCAUAAACUUUGAGCCCACCCUAUAUUUUCUGUCUAGAUUCGUCACAGUCUAUAUCUUCACCUAAUAAUAAAGGAGCUAUUGCUUCUGGCGGUACGUCACCGAAAUUGCCCUUAAAGUUGCAAAGCAUUAUCCACCGAUGCCACCUAUUAGUGAUAAAAAAAAGUUACACACGGGGAAUCCCAGCCUAGGCCGGCCCAUGCAGUCGAAACCUUUUUUUUUAGAAAAGGAGGAUGACCCCCGGCCUCUGCAUCUGGGAGAUGCAUGCGGCCAUUUUAUUGAUUAUUCUUGAGGACCUUACAAAGUAGUACAACAAUAUGCCUGAAUCCACCAUCUUGGCAACAUCUGCCGCUACUCCAAUCCAUAUGAUGAAGGGGUGCAAGCUGGGCCAAAUACCCAGACCUCUCACCUAAGCCUAACAUUUAAAGUCGUAGGCCCCGACCGAGCCACAUACCGGGUCCGGGGCACAAACCGGUCCGACGCACUCACAUGUGUCGUCGCCGCCAUCUUCCACUGGUCCAUCUUCAGAGCAGAUUGAGGUGCCAACCUUGGCAGGUGCCUCCGCCAUCGACGCCACCAUGACGCCAAACGACGACCUCCACCUACGCGAGUCCAUCUCCAAGCAACGGACGCAGAUCCAUACUAGGAUAGGGCCGCACCACCGCCGUCGCCCACCACCCACAAGCACCACCUAGCCCCAAGGUUCCCAAAGCGGCGCCUUCAAGAAGGGAACGACGCCGUGAGCGCCGUCGCCGCCCAACAAAGUUAGGGCUUUCGCCCGAGAGACCUAGGGGAAGGGGAAGUGAGGGGAUCAGUCCAUACCGACGCCUCCAAGGAGGGGAACGACGCCCUCGGGCGUCGCCGUCGACGCGGCCGGCCAUGGCCGACCAGGGAUUUCGCCCGAACUAGAUCCCCACUACCAGCAGCGCCUCCUGUACAGAACCGGCGACCCAAGGAAGCGCGGCCCGACGAGGCUGGCCCGCACGCCGAACAGGGAAGGAGGGGAGGCGCCAGAUCGCGCGCACCGGUCACCGCAGAAACUGCCGCCGGCCGCCAACGACCACCGGAUCCCGCCGCUCGCACGACCGGGAUGCCAGAUCCACCGCCCGCACGGCUGCUAGCCGGCCGUGCCUUGCCAAUGGAGCCGCCGCUCCAGAUCAGGGGUUCCCCACGCAGAGGCAGGGCAACCGAGGCCCCGCCGCCACCAUCCUUGGCGCCCCGGGCUUGCCCUGCGGCUGCCUCAGGCGGCGGCGAGGAAGGGAAGCGGAGGAGGGGCGACUAGGGAGGAGAAGGGAGGAGGAGGGGCGGUUAGGGUUGGGAGGGAGGAGGAGGAGGGGCGGCUGGGAGCCUUCUAUACUACGCUCUGCGAGCUGGGAGAAAACACAGCGCGCUUGUUUGGGCCGGACCAUGUCCACGCGGCCUGUUUUUUAAAUUUCAUUUUCCUUUUUCAUCUUUGUUUUCUCUACUUUAAAUAAUUUGGGACUUCAAAAAACUUAAGAUCAUUAAAAAAAUGAGAAUUUUGAAAUAAAAUAUUUAAUAAUUCAUAAAUGUUUAUGCAUUCAAGAAAUGUUUGUGAUUUAAAAAAAUGAUCAUAUUUUGUAAUUUUUAAGACAAAUAUUCAGGAAAUCAGAAUUUUUUUAUGUUUUUUAAAAAGUUCAUGUAUUAAAAAUUGUUAAUGAAAUCGAACAAAACUUGGCCAAUUUCAAAAAAUUCAUGAAUUGAAAAAUAUCCUAGGAAAAUCAAUAACUGUUCAUGACUUUCAAAAUAGUUUGUUGAUUCAUAAAAUGUUCGUUGAUUCAUAUUAUGAUCAUGCAUUUCAAAAAAAUUCAUGAAUUUUAAAAAUUGUUCCACCAAUUUCCCAAAAAAUGGCCGUCGAUUAUAAAUAUUCGCCUAUUCAAGAAAAAGUUUCAAAAAAUGUUUGCAAAUUGUAUAAAAUGUUCAUGAUUUUAGAAAAUGUUCGAAAAUCUGUAAAAAUGUUAAUGAAUUUAAAAAAUGUUCAUGAUGUUAGAUAUGUCGAGUUUAAAAAAAUUCAUGAAUUCAAAAAUUGUUCAUGAUUUCACGAAAAUAGGCAGGGCUUUUGUCCCGGUUGGUGUCACCAACCGGGACCAAUAGGCAUCCACGCGUUAGCAUUUCAGGGNNNNNNNNNNNNNNNNNNNNNNNNNNNNNNNNNNNNNNNNNNNNNNNNNNNNNNNNNNNNNNNNNNNNNNNNNNNNNNNNNNNNNNNNNNNNNNNNNNNNNNNNNNNNNNNNNNNNNNNNNNNNNNNNNNNNNNNNNNNNNNNNNNNNNNNNNNNNNNNNNNNNNNNNNNNNNNNNNNNNNNNNNNNNNNNNNNNNNNNNNNNNNNNNNNNNNNNNNNNNNNNNNNNNNNNNNNNNNNNNNNNNNNNNNNNNNNNNNNNNNNNNNNNNNNNNNNNNNNNNNNNNNNNNNNNNNNNNNNNNNNNNNNNNNNNNNNNNNNNNNNNNNNNNNNNNNNAGUGUCCUCUCUUAUCUCCGUGCUUGGUCGACGCUACGUACUAUAUACGUAUGGAGAGGACUAGACACGCUAGCUAGUAAGCAAAUGAAGGAAACAGAAGAUCGUCAUGAACAUAUGGAUACAGAGAGAAGUGAUAUCGACCACCUCUCCUUCUCCGAGAGAUUGGUCGAACAACAAGUUCUCGUAUAUCUAUCUGACACUACCGGCUACAUAUAUACAAUAAUUAUCUCUUACAAUAUAAUCUCCUAAUUAAAUUGUAAGAACACAGGGUCCACAUACUAUUCUCCGUUUUCAGCGAUCACGUGGUCAAGGAAGAAUGCCGCCAAUUCCUCUUGAAUUCCUCGCAUACGAUCUGGUGCUAGGAGUUCAUCACGCAUCUGAAAGAUCUAAUUUGAAGAAGGGGGUCAAUACAUACAUAUAUAUAUAUAUAUAUAUGAAUAAAUGAAACUCGACACAAAUGAUGGUAAUAAAAUAAAUUUGUGAAUAUUAUUGCUUACACACUUCAUAUUGUUCGUCAGAGUAGCCCCGCUCACAGGUCGUGUGGCGGAUGGACUCGCAAACGUAGUAUCCACAGUAAUUAUUCCCGGGUUCCUGCCACAACCACUUUACAAGAAAUAGAGGUCAAUCAAACUGAUAAGCAAGCAUGCUAAAUGGUAUUGAUGAAACUAGCGCUUGAAUCACUAGGAGAUGUGCGGAACAUGCUACUAUAGUACUUACUUUCGGGUGUCUAAAUUGCAGCUUCUUCGGCAGUCCCGGAGCUUUUGUGGUGAAUUUUCUCCAAACCCUGCCAGACAAAGAAAACAAUUACUUGAUAUCAGGAAAUGAACAAAGUUGCUGAUAUGGUGGAUAAUGAUCGAUUUAACUUACUUCUCGAGCAUUUGAGUCAUGUUCGCAUAGUCCUGGGGAUCUUUUCGUCUCGAGUCUAAGACAGUUACUACUCCCUGCUCAAGCUUAAUCUCUAGGAGAAUAUAGUGGAAGCUGGGCAUGCAUGCAUAAGUCAUCAAUUACAUUACCAUAACCUGGACUAAUAAGGGAAACCGAAUAUGCACAAGACAGUAACACUCACUUGAAGUUGUAAGGAAAGAGUAUUAUAUCUUUGUUUUGAUUUAAUACCAACGAUCGUAGCAAGUUGGCCUCGGCUUCUUUGGCAUGUUUUUCAACCUGAUAUGCAUCUAUGAGAUUUGUGUUAAUGAACCCAAUAUCACUGAUUUGUCUUUUCUUCAAUUCGGCGAUCUUCAAUCUGCAUAAUAUAGUGAUGAUAAUUAUAAAUACAUGCAAUGAAAGAGCUAACCUAUAUAGAGAGACUUAAUGACAUAAGUAGUACUACUUACAAACAGUAGCAAGUGAUCGUUGUUUUAUCAAGGGCCUUUUGAUUGUAAAACUGGAAGAAAUCCUCAAAUGGAACAUUCAACAGUUCAAUUCCAACGAGGUCAUGCUCCGGUUUAACUCUCAGCGUCAAAGUAUUCAUCCCAUCAGACUCUCUGCAGGUUUUCAUGUACCAAUCAUGUAAUCUUCGCAUCAUCGUUGUUAGAGAUCUUUCAUCUUUGACGAGAGGCUUCCCGUAAUGGUAUUUGUGUUCGUCCACCUCCAUGAUUUCAUAAUGUACAUCGUCGGGCAGGUAAUCUCCAAGAUUGCUAUAACCGGCCACCAUCCUCGGAUCAUUAGCGACGAUGUCUUUUGACACCUUGAGCGGGGGGCACGAUUGGUUCACUUGUUCGCCGAGCUGGGCAAUUUUUUUCCCAGCUCGUCGUUCUUUUAACCUUUGAUCACUGUCCGUACUUCCCGACCGCUCCGCUUCGGCAUAUGUCUUUGCAAGAAUGCGCUCAUAGUUGCCUCUCGGCGGAGACUUUGGUGGUUUUGUCAGGACAGCCAGAGUGCGCUUUGCUUUCACCGGAUCUACCUUCUCCUCCGGAGGUGGAUGUUUCUUUGCUUUCACCCCUUCAAAGAAGUUUGUCACUUCGGCUCGCACGAUCUCCCUGGUUUCCUCCUCGGUCCUCUCGUAUGGUAACUUCACUGGAGUCUUCAGAGAAGGACCGAAUUUGUAUUGCCUCCCGCCUCUGGCAGCUGUACUGCUAGACGCCGGCAGAGCAGAUGGAGCGGCUGCGGCUGUCUUCUUUCCUUGCUUACGAGGCAGAGGAGAAGGACUACGACGCGUCGGAGCAGCCGGAGCGGCGGCGGGUCUCUUCCGCCCUUGCUGAUGAGGCAGAGAAGGAGGAGGCUGGCUGCUCUGGCGCGCCGGCGCAGGCGGAGAAGGAGGCGGAGUGCCGCCACGCGCCGGAGAAGGAGGCUGAGUGCCCUGAUCACUCGCCGGAGGAGGAGGCAGAGGAGGAGGCGGAGUGCCGCCACGCGCCGAAGAAGGAGGCUGAGUGCCCUGAUCACUCGCCGGAGGAGGAGGCGGAGUACCCUUACUCGCCGGAGCCGCCCAGUUCGGAAGGUUGAUGAGCUCCUUCCGCCAUAGGCAUGGAGUCUUCAGAGCAGAACCCAGCCGAGUCUCCCCUUCACCGGUAGGGUGGUCAAGCUGGAGGUCCUCAAAUCCCUCCAUUAUUUCAUCCACCAUCACCCUAGCAUAUCCUUCUGGAAUCGGCCGACAGUGGUAGGUUGCGCCGGGUUCAGGAGGUAAAACAGAGCCAACAGCCGCCUUGACUUUGAAGUUCUGCCAUUGCGCCAUAAGGUGGCAAUGUUGAGACUCCGUGAUAGCAUCCACGGGGUAGCUAGUAGGAGCCGUCAAGACAUGCUCCGGCUGAAGCAGCUCGGUGGAAGCCACGCUGCUUCUCCGCUGAGAUGGCGGUGUAGCUUCGGGGGUAGUUUCGGCAUGUCGAUUGCCGUCUCGUUCCUCUAGCGCUUGAACCCUUUCGUGCAGCUUCUGAAUUUGGAUCUGCUCCACUUUUUUCCUCCUCUCCUGGCUUUUGUAACCGCUCGCGUCCGGAAAACCAGCCUUCCACGGAAUGGAGCCUGGCGUGCCUCGUGUCCGUCCAGGGUGCUCAGGAUUCCCGAGGGCCAUUGUGAGCUCGUCGUUCUCUCUGUCUGGAACGAACGUCCCUUGCUGCGCUGCAUCGAUAUAUUGCUGAAUCUUCCUGACUGGUAUUCUCAAAAGCUCGUUCGUCCAAACGCACCUCCCUGAUUCAGGGUCCAAGGUUCCGCCAGCCCCGAAGAACCAAGUCCGGCAACGGUCUGUCCAGUUCAUUGUCUGUGGUUCGAUCCCUUUUUCAAGCAGAUCAUUCUCAGCCUUGGCCCACUUAGGAUGGGCUUUGAGGUAUCCACCUCAUCCCGUGCGAUGGUGAUGCUUCUUCUUCGCAGCAUUCUUCUUGUUUGUCGCUAACAUCUUCUUACUCUUUUCCGAUGUCUUGUGGGCCACAAAUGCGGGCCAGUGAUCUCUGAUCUUCUCAUACCGGCCGAUGAAUUCUGGUGUCUCUUCUUUGUCGACAAACGUUUUCAGCUCAUUCUUCCACCUCCUGAAUAGGUCUGCCAUCUUCUUAAGAGCAUGAGACUUGAUUAAUUGCUCUUUAACUGGCUUCUCCGGAUCCUCCUCUCGCGGUAGGGUGAAAUUUGCCUUCAGCUCAGUCCAAAGAUCAUCUUUCUGCAUAUCAUUGACAUAAGACACCUCAGGGUCUUCCUUCUUAGGCUUAUACCAUUGCUGGAUGCUGAUCGGUAUCUUGUCCCUAACUAGAACCCCGCACUGAGCAGCAAAUGCAUCCUUUGUCCGGAUGGGUUCAAUCGGUUGGCCGUCGCGCACGAUUGCUGUGAUCUCAAACCUUUCAUCCGACUGCAACAUUCUCUUCAGGCCUCGUCUCUUACCGAAGUUGUGCUCGAUCCGGAGGGCUAGAAAAAAGGAGAAAGACGAGUGUUAAUUAAUAUGUGUACAUACCAAAACAAUGAAUGCAUCAAUUAGCUAGUCAGCACAGGCUUAACUAAUAUAUUUACCUGGCCGGACUCUGUUCGGUCACCGGAGCCGUCACCACGGGCUCCUUCUUGCACCAGCAUUGGGUCACCAGAGCCAUCAUAAUCAUGUCUUUCCUCCUCCACUCUUCGAUCACUGUAGCCUGCUUCUUCACCCUGUUCUUCCAGACCAUCAUUGUCGUUAAGAUACGACAAGAUAUCACCUCCGGCUAAGAUUAUGUCCCCCAACACCUCUUCUGUUUGCUCGUCUCGUCCGUGCUCCAUUGUUUCUGCAAAUAUUACAACAUGGCAAUUAUUACACAAACAUGACAGUAGGUGGAUAUAUUAGUGCAAACGUAGACCUAGCUUAUUCCGGGUUUGGGGUGGCCUCGGCAACACUUCAAGGGUAGGGGCGCGGCGGGAGGGGGUAUGAGACCGACAUUGUUUUUUUCUAGGGUUUGGGUGUCCUCGAGAGUUUUGAUCGAGCGAGAGGGCCGGGGGGGGUGCUCCCGUGGUAUAAGUUAUCACGGUCGAGAGGGGGUAUAAAUAUCGACCGUCCAUCAUGUUGAAGUUAUCUGGGAGGGAGUUAUAUAUAUCGACAACGACGACAUACAUACAUGGGAAAAUAAUGUUAUCGGGGAGGGGGUAUAUCGAGCCCCCCCCCCACGUGUUGAAUUUAUCGGGAGGGGGUUAUAUCGACAACGACGACAUACGUACAUGGGAAAAUAAUAUUAUCGGGGAGGGGGUAUAUCGACCCCCCCUCAUGUUGAAGUUAUCGGGAGAGGGGUAUAUCGACGACGACAGACCCGAUAAAACAUAAGAAAACGAAGAAGAAAUAAAAAGAGGAGAAGAAGAAAAGGAAUAGAGGAGAAGAUCGAAGAAAAAAAAGAAGAAGAAAAAAGAGGAGAAGAAGAAAGGAAUAGAGGAGAGAAGAAGAAAAAAUAGAAUUUUUUCUAUUUUUUCUUCUUCUCUUCUAUUCCUUUCUUCUUCUCCUCUUCUUUUUCUUCUUUUUUCCUCGUCUUAUUUAUUUCUCCUCUUCUUCCUCUCCUCUUCUUCUCCUUUCUUCCUAUUUCAUCAUUGUUCAUAUUUCAUUGUUCAUAUUUCAUCAUGUUCAUAUUUCGAAAAAAGUAAAGGUUUUGCCUAAUGCAUUGUUCAUAUUUCAUCAUGUUCUAUGAACAAAAAAACAUCAUAUUUCAUCCACAUCCAUGCAUACAUCAUAUAUGUGAUCAUCUAUGAAAAAAACAUCAUAUUCUAUAAAAAAAUCAUUACAUAUAUAUAUGAACAAAAACAAUUAUGAUAACAAGCAUAUAUAUCAUCAUAUAUAUAAAAAAACAAGUAUAUAUAUGAAAAAAAACAAGAAAAAAUGCGGGCCAGUGAGGGCGCCGGCCGGACCAAGGUGAGGAGGACCGCGGGGUCGGCGGCGAGGAUGGCGACGGGGCAGUGGGCGCGCGCUCGGGGUAGGGGGCGACGGCGGCGAAGGGCGGGGCAGGGCGACGACGANNNNNNNNNNNNNNNNNNNNNNNNNNNNNNNNNNNNNNNNNNNNNNNNNNNNNNNNNNNNNNNNNNNNNNNNNNNNNNNNNNNNNNNNNNNNNNNNNNNNNNNNNNNNNNNNNNNNNNNNNNNNNNNNNNNNNNNNNNNNNNNNNNNNNNNNNNNNNNNNNNNNNNNNNNNNNNNNNNNNNNNNNNNNNNNNNNNNNNNNNNNNNNNNNNNNNNNNNNNNNNNNNNNNNNNNNNNNNNNNNNNNNNNNNNNNNNNNNNNNNNNNNNNNNNNNNNNNNNNNNNNNNNNNNNNNNNNNNNNNNNNNNNNNNNNNNNNNNNNNNNNNNNNNNNNNNNNNNNNNNNNNNNNNNNNNNNNNNNNNNNNNNNNNNNNNNNNNNNNNNNNNNNNNNNUAUUUUUGUUUCUACUUACAACAAAAAACUUAUUUAUUUUAUUUUAUUUUGUUUCUAAUUACUUAUUUAUUUUACUUUAUGAUAAUUUUUUUUGCUAUUAAAGUUUCUAUCAAAAAAAGUUCUUUAUGAAAAUUCUUUUUUGCUUUUAAUGAUUUUGAACAGAAAAUACUUCGAUAAUUUUAGUUGCAUCAAUUUUAUAUGAUUUUAGUUUCAAUAAUACUAGAGGUUUCUUAUAAUGUUUUGAACAGAAAAUACUUUGUUAAUUUUAGUUUCAUAAAUUUUAUUAAAGUUUAUUUUAUUUUGUCGUAACACAAGAAGUCCGGAGUUGUAAUAAGUUAUUAAAAAUAAAAAAGAGGCGCAAUGCUCGUUGAUUUGCUUCAAGCCUUUCGGAAUAGUGUAGACUGCACUGCACAUAGCUCCAUGCAGUCUACCUUAUUCCUCAAGGCUUGAAGCUAAGCAACGUGAAGGUGAGCAUUGCGCCUCUUCUUCAUCGUCUCUGCACUCAGGGCUUAUAAACCGCUCCUAGUGCCUCUCAGCUAGCGAGGUGACUAAAAAACUGCUUAGUAAGAAACUCUAGUACCGGUUCGUGCCACGAACCGGUACUAAAGGUGCUCGUGGGGCCACAGCCUCAUUAGUACCGGUUCGUGGCACCAACCGGGACCAAAGGGUGGAAUUGGUCCCGGUUCGUGCCACCAACCGGGACCAAUGGCCUUGCACAGCGGCGUGGUGGUGGGAGUUUAGUCCCACCUCGCUAGCUGAGAGAGAGAGUCGCACCUGUUUAUAAGGUGCGGUGCACCUGAGCUGUCGAGCUCCUCUCUAAAGCAGGCUUACGGGCCUAACCUCUCUGUACAUGCCUGUGGGCCUACUGGGCCUUCUGCGGGCCUGAAUCCUGGCCCAUGGAUGGGUUUCUAAUCGUAUUCAGGCCGUGGUGGCCCAGUAGGUGGCAUAAUUUUUAAUUUUUGGCCUGUUAUUUUUCAUGCAUUUACUAAUUAUUUUGAGCUAUAAGACCCUAAAAUUGAAAAGCAUUUCAAAUGAACUCUGAAAAGGUUGAAAGUUGGCAUGGUAUCAUCAUUUCAUCCACAUAGCAUGUGCAAGAAAGUUGAGAGGGUUACGGCAAACACUGGAUGCACUUCGUGUACAAAACGGACAAUGGUAUCAUACUCGUCUGUUACAAAGUUGGCAUGGUAUCAUCAUAAUAGUUGCGGGAGAAAGUCUUCACUUUUUCUUCGCUUGUGUCAUUUGCUUAUUGCGCCGUAACCAUGGAUAAUCUUCAUCGUUUAUCAGGAUGCUUGGGUCAGCCUUGACUUUGAAGGGAGGAAUUUCAUGAAACUUUUCAUAAUCUUCAGACAUGUCUGUCUUGCCCUCCACUCCCACAAUGUCCCUUUUUCCUGAAAGAACUAUGUGGCGCUUUGGCUCAUCGUAUGAUGUAUUCGCUUCCAUAUCUUUUCUUUUUCUCGGUCUGGUAGACAUGUCCUUCACAUAGAUAACCUGUGCCACAUCAUUGGCUAGGACGAAUGGUUCGUCAGUGUACCCAAGAUUGUUCAGAUCCACUGUUGUCAUUCCGUACUGUGGGUCUGCCUGUACCCCGCCUCCUGACAGAUUGACCCAUUUGCACUUAAACAAAGGGACCUUAAAAUCAUGUCCGUAGUCAAGUUCCCAUAUGUCCAUUAUGUAACCAUAAUAUGUGUCCUUUCCCCUCUCGGUUGCUGCAUCAAAGCGGACACCGCUGUUUUGGUUGGUGCUCUUUUGAUCUUGGGCGAUCGUGUAAAAUGUAUUCCCAUUUAUCUCGUAUCCUUUGUAAGUCAAUACAGUCGAAGAUGGUCCCCUGGACAACGAGUACAACUCAUCACAAACAGUGGUGUCACCUCUGAGACGUGUUUCCAACCAACUGCUGAAAGUCCUGAUGUGUUCACAUGUAAUCCAGUCGUCACACUGCUCCGGGUGUUUGGAGCGCAGACUGUUCUUGUGUUCAUCGACAUACGGGGUCACCAAGGUAGAGUUCUGUAGAACUGUGUAGUGUGCUUGAGACCAAGAAUAUCCGUCCCUGCAUAUUAUUGAGUCCCCUCCAAGCGUGCCUUUUCCAGUCAGUCUCCCCUCAUACCGCGAUUUAAUGAGACCUAUCUUCUUAAGGCCAGGAAUGAAGUCAACACAAAACCCAAUGACAUCCUCUGUUUGAUGGCCCAUGGAGAUGCUUCCUUCUGGCCUAGCACGGUUACGGACAUAUUUCUUUAGGAUUCCCAUGAACCUCUCAAAGGGGAACAUAUUGUGUAGAAAUACGGGCCCCAGAAUGACAAUCUCAUCGACUAGAUGAACUAGGACGUGUGUCAUGAUAUUGAAGAAGGAUGGUGGGAACACCAGCUCGAAACUGACAAGACACUGCGCCACAUCACUCCUUAGCCUUGGUAUGAUUUCUGGAUCGAUCACCUUCUGAGAGAUUGCAUUGAGGAAUGCACAUAGCUUCACAAUGGCUAAUCGGACAUUUUCCGGUAGAAGCCCCCUCAAUGCAACCGGAAGCAGUUGCGUCAUAAUCACGUGGCAGUCAUGAGACUUUAGGUUCUAGAAAUUUUUCUCUGGCAUAUUUAUUAUUCCCUUUAUAUUCGACGAGAAGCCAGUCGGGACCUUCAUACUGAGCAGGCAUUCAAAGAAGAUUUCUUUCUCUUCUUUCGUAAGAGCGUAGCUGGCAGGACCUUCAUACUGCUUCGGAGGCAUGCCGUCUUUUUCGUGCAAACGUUGCAGGUCCUCCCGUGCCUCAGGUGUAUCUUUUGUCUUCCCAGACACGCCCAAGAAGCCUAGCAGGUUCACGCAAAGGUUCUUCGUCACGUGCAUCACGUCGAUUGAAGAGCGGACCUCUAGCUCUUUCCAGUAGGGUAGGUCCCAAAAUAUAGAUUUCUUCUUCCACAUGGGUGCGUGUCCCUCAGCGUCAUUCGGAACAGCUAGUCCGCCGGGACCCUUUCCAAAGAUUACGUGUAAAUCAUUGACCAUAGCAAGUACGUGAUCACCGGUACGCAUGGCGGGCUUCUUCCGGUGAUCUGCCUCGCCUUUGAAAUGCUUGCCUUUCUUUCAACAUUGAUGGUUGGUCGGAAGAAAUCGACGAUGGCCCAGGUACACAUUCUUCCUGCAUUUGUCCAGGUAUAUACUUUCAGUGUCAUCUAAACAGUGCGUGCAUGCGUGGUAUCCCUUAUUUGUCUGUCCUGAAAGGUUACUGAGAGCGGGCCAAUCGUUGAUGGUUAUAAACAGCAACGCGUGCGGGUUAAAUUCCUCCUGUUUGUGCUCAUCCCACGUACGUACACCGUUUCCAUUCCACGGCUGUAAAAGUUCUUCAACUAAUGGCCUUAGGUACACAUCAAUGUCGUUGCCGGGUUGCUUAGGGCCUUGGAUGAGAACUGGCAUCAUAAUGAACUUCCGCUUCAUGCACAUCCAAGGAGGAAGGUUAUACAUACAUAGAGUCACGGGCCAGGUGCUGUGAUUGCUGCUCUGCUCCCUGAAAGGAUUAAUGCCAUCCGCGCUUAAACCAAACCAUACGUUCCUUGGGUCAGCUGCAAACUCAGCCCAGUACUUUCUCUCGAUUUUUCUCCACUCGACCCGUCAGCGGGUGCUCUCAACUUCCCGUCUUUCUUACGGUCCUCACUGUGCCAUCGCAUCAACUUGGCAUGCUCUUCGUUUCCGAACAGACGUUUCAACCGUGGUAUUAUAGGAGCAUACCACAUCACCUUCGCAGGAACCCUCUCCCUGGGGGGCUCGCCGUCAACAUCACCAGGGUCAUCUCGUCUGAUCUUAUACGCAAUGCACCGCAUACCGGGCAUGCGUUCAGAUCCUUGUACGCACCGCGGUAGAGGAUGCAGUCAUUAGGGCAUGCAUGUAUCUUCUGCACCUCCAAUCCUAGAGGGCAUACGACCUUCUUUGCUGCGUAUGUACUGUCGGGCAAUUCGUUAUCCUUUGGAAGCUUCUUCUUCAAUAUUUUCAAUAGCUUCUCAAAUCCUUUGUCAGGCACAGCAUUCUCUGCCUUCCACUGCAGCAAUUCCAGUACGGUACCGAGCUUUGUGUUGCCAUCUUCGCAAUUGGGGUACAACCCUUUUUUGUGAUCCUCUAACAUGCGAUCGAACUUCAACUUCUCCUUUUGACUUUCACAUUGCGUCCUUGCAUCGACAAUGACCCGGCGGAGAUCAUCAUCAUCGGACACUGGUUCCUCUUGAUCUUCAGCAGCUUCCCCCCUUGCAGCAUCAUUGGGCACAUCGUCUGGUUCCUCUUGAUCUUCAGCAGCUUCCCCCGUUGCAGCAUCACCGUAUUCAGGGGGCACAUAGUUGCCAUCGUCCUCUUCUUCUUCGCCGUCUUCCAUCAUAACCCCUAUUUCUCCGUGCCUCGUCCAAACAUUAUAGUGUGGCAUGAAACCCUUGUAAAGCAGGUGGGUGUGAAGGAUUUUCCGGUCAGAGUAAGACUUCGUAUUCCCACAUAUAGGGCAUGGACAACACAUAAAACCAUUCUGCUUGUUUGCCUCAGCCACUUCGAGAAAAUCAUGCACGCCCUUAAUGUACUCGGAGGUGUGUCUGUCACCUUACAUCCAUUGCCGGUUCAUCUGCGUGCAUUAUAUAUAAUUAAGUGUGUCAAAAACCAUUACAGAACAUCAUGAAUAGAUAAUUAAGUGACCAAAUUAAUAGAAGUUCAUCAUCACAUUAAAACCAAAGUACAUACAUAGUUCUCAUCUAACAACAUAUAUAUAGCUCUCCAGAGCAUCUAAUUAACUAAACCAUACAUUGAAACUAUGUAAAACAUUUCAAUGCGAAAACAAAUGCGAUCAUAAUCGCAACCAAGGUAACAAUUGAUCCAACGGCAUAAUGAUACCAAGCCUCGGUAUGAAUGGCAUAUUUUCUAAUCUUUCUAAUCUUCAAGCGCAUUGCAUCCAUCUUGAUCUUGUGAUCAUCGACGACAUCCGCAACAUGCAACUCCAAUAUCAUCUUCUCUCCUCAAUUUUUUUAUUUUUUCCUUCAAGUAAUUGUUUUCUUCUUCAACUAAAUUUAACCUCUCGACAAUAGGGUCGGUUAGAAUUUCCGGUUCAACCACCUCCUAGAUAAAUAAAAUCUAUGUCACGUUGGUCGGUAUAUUUGUCAUAAACAAUAAAUGAACCAAAUAGUUAUAAAAAGAUAAUAUAUACCACAUCCGAAUCAUAGAUAGGACGAGGGCCGACGGGGGCGGAUACCAAAACCAUCGCACUAUGUAAUAAGAAGGAAUAAUAAAAGUAACAAAAUUAGACAAGUAUCUAUCUAAAGUAAGAAUUUUUCCCUUUCAGAAAGAAGAUAAGAACAAGAGGCUCACCACGGUGGUGCUGGCGACGAGAUCGGCGCGGGCGAUCGACGGCGGUGAAGACAGGGACGGGACGUGACGGACCGCUAAACCUAGACAAAUCUCGGGGAAAAUGGAGCUCGGAGGUCAAGUUUCGAGAGGAGAAAGAUUAACUAGCGUGGCUCAGACAUUUCAUCGAACACCUCAUGUGCAUAGGAGGUGAGCUAGAGCACCCAAAUGCCCUCCCCUCGCCGGCCAGAAAAAACAGAGCACUAUGGAGUGCUUUGCUGUGGCGAUGGGGUAUAUAUAGGGAACUCAUUGGUCCCGGUUCGUGGCANNNNNNNNNNNNNNNNNNNGUGGCUCAGACAUUUCAUCGAACACCUCAUGUGCAUAGGAGGUGAGCUAGAGCACCCAAAUGCCCUCCCCUCGCCGGCCAGAAAAAACAGAGCACUGUGGAGUGCUUUGCUGUGGCGAUGGGGUAUAUAUAGGGAACUCAUUGGUCCCGGUUCGUGGCACCAACCGGGACUAAAGGCCUUUGGUCCCGGUUGGUGCCACGAACCGGGACCAAUGCCCCCUUUAGUCCCGGUUGGUGGCACCAACCGGGACCAAAGGCCUUGUGCUGCCCCGCGUCAAAAGUUUAGUCCCACCUCGCUAGUUGAGAGAGCUCGAGAGUGGUUUAUAAGCGNNNNNNNNNNNNNNNNNNNNNNNNNNNNNNNNNNNNNNNNNNNNNNNNNNNNNNNNNNNNNNNNNNNNCACCUCGCUAGUUGAGAGGGCUCGAGAGUGGUUUAUAAGCUCUGCUGCGCCCACCCUCUCGAGCUCCUCUCAACUGCAGGCUUUCGGGCCUAACCGUUCUCUUUGCCUGUGGGGCCUACUGGGCCUUCUGCGGGCCUGAAUCCUGGCCCAUGGAUGGGUUUCAAGUCGUAUUCAGGCCGUGUUGGCCCAGUAGGUGGCAUAAUUUUUUUUCUUUGUUUUUUGUUUUCUCUUUUGCUUUAUUUGUUUUGUUUUGUUUCUACUUACAACAAAAAACAUAUUUAUUUUAUUUCUAAUUACUUAUGUAUUUUACUUUAAUUAUUUUAUUUUUAUUUAUUUUACUGCUGCUAUUUUUAUUUAAUUUAUUAAGGUUUAUUUAUUUUAGUUACUAUAGUUUAUUUUAUUAAGGUUUAUUUAUUUUAUUAAGGUUUAUUUAUUUAUUUACUAUACAAAAAUGAACAUAGAUGCGCCUAUAGAGAAAAUUCAACCUAAAUUCAUAAUAAAUUUCUAUGAAAUUCAAAGAAAUUUACUGUGAAUUUAGGUCAAAUUCCCUGUAUAAAGGCAGCUAUUUUCACUUUGAGAGGAGCUCAACAAGGCAGAGAGGGACGGGCUUAUAAACUGGUGUGAGCGCCCUUCGGUUGGCGAGGUGGGACUAAACACUGGCCGCAACUAGGACCAGCCCUUUAGUCCCGGUUUGUGGUAUGAACCGGGACUAAAGGGUGGUGGGCCAGGAGCGUGGCCCAUUGGUCCCGGUUUGUCCCACCAACCGGGACCAAAGGGGCCGGACGAACCGGGACCAAUGCCCCGACGAGGCCCGGCAGGCCCCUGGCCGCACGAACCGGGACCAAUGCUCACAUUAGUCCCGGUUCGUGACUGAACCGGGACUAAUGUGAAUAUUGCCUUGUGACCAAAGCCCAGUUUUCUACUAGUGAUGGUUCAACGACCCUGCUGUCAGCAAAGUGCCACCUUUGGGCAAGAACGAGGCCCAGCCGGCUGGAACGGGGAAGAGAAGGCCACCGGCGGCUGCCAGCCAAGCUGCAGCCACCGUGCCAUUUCUCGAACCGGGCUCGGGCAACCGUCACCACCCUCGAGAUCGGAUCUGGGCGGGCCAGCCGAAGCCGCUCCCCGUGAGCACAUCCGCCACGUCGCCCAACGCACCACCGCCGCGCCGCCGCCACAGCCCAUACGAUCAUUAAAAGUGGAUCAGGUUCCACUAUAAAUGGUUUAUGUCGACGUCCAGGCAGAUUUCAGGGAAGGGUUGUGUGCCUUGGACAUACAAGAAUUAUCGGCCAAGCCUCGUUCACAAACACUGUGUCUUGGUGUCAUCUAUGAUCUCACACCACAUGCAUGUUCAUAAAGAUACUGUGGCGCACGGCAUGCUUUAUUUUGUUUGUCCUUGAUACCUUUCUUGUUUCUUUUUUUUAGAAUAUUUUCAUUUAUAUCACGAAUCAACACAAAGAAGUUGACCCUUACAAGCACACUGAAACGUAAACAUAAAGGACCAUGAACACCCAGAGUACCCUAAGACAACCAUAACACAAGAAGAUCUCUGGAGCCCUGUGUCAUCAUCCCUGAAUCUUGAGAGAAGGCCCCUGCAGCAGAAGGAUCUGCAAAGUCGCAAGCAGGUCAUCAUCUUCGACCACGGUACAAUUGCCGCCACGCUGCUUCCUCCUUUCUUGACACCAGCACUGAGAGGGCAUGGACAUCAAUCCAACACACCUGCAACAACCGUCGCCAUCUUUGGCUUUGAGUACCGCGAAAAGUGUCCCUUUCGGAAGGAAGAGAACUCGAGUCAUCCGACCGGUCCAGCACCGCGGCCGGGCCAUCCGCCCGGACAAAGCAGGAUCUCCCACCAGCAUCAGCGCAGAGGAAGGAGAAGAACAACAUCAGCAAAUUAUACCAACAAGGAAGAAGGGUCUUCGUCUUCCUGCAUCCAUCGCCCAUCUGAGGACCCAAACGGCCAGUGCCAAUGGACCUCCAGCCACCAUAGCCCGCGACCUUGACAAGAUCCGGGGAUCCCCAACCUCGCUGGCUCCUAGACGAAGGCAAAAGCCUCGCCUGACUGCGAACGGAGCCCGGAGAAACUUAUUCCGACGCGACACCACCGCAACGGCCUCGGCAGCGUCUCCCUCAACCCUAACCCUACCACACACCCACCUAGCGAACAGACCCGAGGUUCCCCCUCCCUACCGCCGCCGGAGUGGCCGACGGAGAGAGAGAGAACCAGCGGUGUCACCGGCGGCGCGCAAGGGAACCCUCGUCGCCUCGCUUGAUCGCCUCGUGCGAUCCUACUUUUUUGGGGCGGUUCGCUCCUAUCUAGACGAGGAUCUGUGGGUAGUCUGGUAGAUCGAUAUCUUUCUUGUUUCUGUAAAACAAGACUUGGUAUCACUUGGCAUAUGUGGUAAGCUAUCUGAAAGAUAGAAAAGUAAACAAAGACUUGGUUGUGAUGCUCAAGUGGCUGUCCUACCACGGACCUUUACUUUCAUAAAAUAAGAGCAGGGCCACAUCUUAUAGAGAUUCGUUAAUCAAUCAAUCGGCAUCCGAAGCAGAUGAUCAAGUGUCUUUUUUUUUUCGGGGUAUCAAGUGUCUUUUAGUGUGUGUUUGUUUGCGUGCUACUUGAGCAGUGGUUAGCACACAGGAGUAUAUAACCAAUCUUAGAGCAUUUCUAACCGAGCCCCAAAAAUAGCGAAGUAUCCGUCGAAGUAAGAGCAUUUCUAACUGAUCCCCUAGAAAUAACGGAGUAUCCGGCGGAGUAAACACUUAGUGGAGUAUUUUUACUCCACUAAGUUUUCGCCGGACCUAACUAAUCCCUUAGUGGAGUAAAUUUUUUCAUUUGCAUUUUAUUUUCGGCCACCGCCACAUUUCUUGACUUCUUCAUUUUAUUCAAUGACAUUUUGAUACAUUUGAGUACAUGAUUCACCAAUGCUUCGCUGCGAGAGCAAGACAAAAAAAAGAACCACAAUUAGACACUUCAAAAGAUAUCCAAUUUUCAUAACUGCUCCCACCAGUUGGAUCAAUACCUUCUCCAUCUCUUCAUUGUUGAUUCUCUUUAUUGGCUUCUCGAGCUUGCACAUUUCUUUCUUUUACAAUUCCGAAGAAUUUGACGUUGCUUUGCAUCUAGGCUCAUCUCCAGCCUCUAUCUAGCAACAGGUGCGUGAGAAUUUAUCAAAUUUCAUGCUAUCAAUAGAUCAAUGUAAUCCUCUUCCCAGUACCAAAACUUGCAAACAUCCUACACACAUAUUUGAGCAAACAAUGCGCUAUCAAAAUUGUGCUGAACCCGGUGAACAACCGAAUCAAAAGAAGUACAUACUCCAUCUUUUUUGCACUUGAAGAACACCCAUCCGGGAUGUUUCGGCUUGGUAGAAACUCGGCGCACCACCUGCCACGGGCAGUCGUCGCACUUUAUGACCGACAACUGUGAGCCCUUGAGCCGCUGGGCCAGCGCCAAGCCCGGGCAACGACCGGGCGUGUCAUUGUUGGCAAAACCAUCGACGGGAGAGAUCCGACCGGCUAGAGGCGGAGUCAAUAGUUGCAUGUGGCGCGGGGGCGUUGCGGGGGCUGUGAGAUCCUGUACCAGGCAAAUUCAUGGCAAUGCGCAGUCGCUGGCGGUCGGAAGCGCCAAAUCCGGCGCCGGCGGGAGCCGCAGAUCUACCGAUUGUGCGCUGGUGACGGGAUGAGGGAGACACAAAUCCGAGUGGUCAAGGAGCGUCCGCGGUGGAGGUUGGUGGCCGGCGAGAGGUGGGAGGGGCGGCGCCGGCGAAGAUGCGGCGCGGAAGAGGUAGAGGAGAGGAAAUUUUUUACUCAGCCACCGAGCGAUGGAAUAAAUAUAAAAAGACGUGGCGCGGCACAUGUGUGGAUAAUUUAUCCUUCACUAGCAUCGGUUGGGGAUCGGCUAGGUGCCGGUUGAAGGAGUAAAAUUCGGAGCCUGGUUUGAGCCAUUGAAGGUCCAGUCCUUGGAGCGUGCUGCCUAAAGACAAAAGCAUCGGAAUGAUGCCAAAGAAGCUCCAACACACGGAAGAACAAAAGAAUAAAACUUUGCUUGGCUUUUGCUUCAGAAUGGUUCCUUUUUUCUCCCAUAUAUACGAUCCUGAAAAAUGGAUCAUGUUCCAGCAUCAAUGGUUUAUGUAGACGUCCAGACAGAUUUCAGGGAAGGGUCAUGUGUCUCGGACAUAGAUUGCGUCGGUGUCAUCUACUCCCUCCGUCUCAUAAUAUAAGAACGUUUUUAACACUACACUAGUGUUAAAAACGUUCUUAUAUUAUGGGACGGAGGGAGUAGUAGUUAUCUGGCAUCGCAUGUUGAUAAAGAUACGGUGGCACAUGGCAUGCUUUUAUUUUAUUUCUCCUUGAUAUCUUUCUUCUUUCUGUAAAACAAGACUUGGUACCACAUGCACAUGCAUGGCAUAUGUGAUAAGCUAUCUCAAGGAUACAAAAGUAAAAUCGGUUGUGAUUCUCGAGUCUGCAAGAAGCGUGGCUGUCCUACGACGAUGGACCUUUACUUACUUUAAUAAAAACAAGAUGCGGGCCACCAUCUUGUAGAGAUUCGUUGAUCAAUCGAUCGGGCCGGCAUCCCAAGCAGGUGAUCAAGUGUCCUUUUGUGUGUGUUUGUUUGCGUGCUAUUCAUAGAUUAAAAUAGCCCGCGAAAUAGCCGCGAUAGCUGCGCUAUAGCUGUCCGGGAGCCUCGCUGCUACGCUAUGGCUGCUGCCGCGAAAUCCUUCACAUAUCUCUACUCUUAAUGUCUCAGUUGGUAGUCCGCGUUUCGGGUUUAAUUUCGUCCCACCUUUCAUGGUUUUUUUUGAUACCUCCUCCCACCUUCCACUUUCAAAAAAACCAACCAAAACCACGUCCACAUAGUUCUCUCGCACGCCAGAAAAACGGACGAAAUUAAACCUACGAAAUUAAACCAGCGAAAAAAGUUCCGCUACUCGCACGAGCGAGCGAGCCAGCGAGCAGCGAGGCGCCCAGAGAGCCCUCGAGCGAGAACCCCGCUGUCGUCUCCCUCAGAAGCAGCCGCCCGCCGAAUCAAAUCGCGCUGCCAGCCUCGUCCGCCUCGCCGUGCCUGCGUCCCUCCCCGGACGUCGGCGACGAUGGAGGGAUCCACUGGCGCUGGCCAGGCCCCCGGCCGAUGGACGCGCCGGAUCGUCGCUCCUCUGGGCCAGCCCCUCCCGCCGCGCUGGAUCACGUGGCAGCCUAGGUAACCCUAACCAGCCCCCGAUCAUCGCAUCUCUCCCUGAAUCCCUCCUCCUCCACGAGCCGUGCGGUGUGCUUCCCUCCCACACGCUGCUCCUCUCCCUCCCCAAAUCAACAUGGAUCUCGCGCUGCUGGAUCCCCUCCUCUCCCUCCCUGAUUUGCCGUGAAUCUUGUGCUGCGAGAGCUGCUCCUAUCCCUUCCCUGGCCGCCAUGGAUCUCGCCAGGCACCAUCGGAGGAAGCCCCACACCCAGGCUUGAUGUGCUGGGGCUAUACUAUCAUCUUUUGGAUCUCAUAGAUCACUGAAUUUAUGUUCAGCAUAAAAAAAGGCUGCUUGGCUGCACCAAUUCCAUGUAGCUAAUAAACUAUGAGACAACAUUUUUUCGGAAUCUCCAGCAUUUGAUUCAUUUUCGGUGCUGUAUGUGAAAUAGUAUGAUUUAUGGAUACUGGGAUGCAUCAACGCAAUUUUACAGCCUUAGUCUAUAAUCUGAUUGAUGAUUGUUACAUACAUAAACUCCUGAUUCUUCCAUACAACAAAACAGUUCGUCAGUUGUUUUACUCGUGUAUUCUCACAUAGUAUUUUUUUUUGAGUUACAAAAAUAAUGCAUAACAUGUUGAUCACAAUACUGUGCCAGCUUGUCAGAGAUGGCAAAGCUGUUAUAUACAGGGUACGGCUCCGAGCUAGCCGAUGCCUACUGUAUCCAGUGUUCUGUUGCAUCCGGUGCGACCUCAAAGAAUACCUUCUUCUAGCUGGGCGUUGAGCGCCUCAGGGACGACGAGGUGCAGCGCCUGGGGUGGAAGCAGUUCAACUACACGAUGAAGAAGUGAGUGAAGGGGUUAAGACGGUUGUGUUGUGCGUGCGCUGCUUGCUUGCUGGUGAGUGUCGCCUCUGUGACUAGGUGUUCUUUGCUGUCUAUGCCCUCUGUAGUUUAAGGUGUUUGUUCUUUUAGCAGCCAUUAAAAUACUGCAAUGUAAAUGAAUGUCUUCUCUAUGUCUACAGCAUGCACUUGAAGUAUAGAACUAAUGGCAGUGUUUUGUCUAUACAAUAUAUUAGUAUGUUAUACAUGUUUUUGAUUCUAAGUGUAUUAUAAAUUAGUAUAGACUAUCUAUCAUCCUUUCAUUCAGUUUUUGCAGAGAAGUUCCGUUGCCUUGCAAAUGUUAAAAAACUUAAAUACAGUGAAUGAUUGUGUUUUCAGAUGGGAAACGCCAUUUCCAGUAAUAGUUGGACAACCUCAAAAGAAUUGCUCGAGUAACAUGUUUCCAAGCAGCAUACUCCAUAAUCUUUCAAAUUAUAGGCAAAGUUAUACAAGAAACACUGACCUAGGAGUUAGUGUAGUACUUUGUUCAUCAUUCCAUAAUUUCUUUGCACCUAGACGUGGAUCCUAAUGGCUUACUAAGAUCUUAAUUUUCCAUCAUGGUGGUUUGAGUUUGUUGCCUGCGCUUAUUACUAGGAAAUGAAGCUCUCAGCCUGGUUCUAACAAACUUAACUGAACUUCUGCACACGAGAUAAAUAAAUACAGUGUAUUAAGAUGUUAAGAGUCCUUAUACUGAUAUUUUAUUUAGUUCUUUUUAUUCAAGGAUACAUUAAUUAAGUUUCAAAGUUAAUUGUCAUUUUUAGUAAAUUGGUGUGUGGUAGCAUUCUUUAGGUAGUUGAUUACGUCACUUGAAUCUUUGCAGCUGUUGCAUAUAGCUUGUGGCUGUGGUUGUCCAGCCGGGUUAUCUCUGGCUGCAGAAUCAUCAAAGAAAGGAUCCACUGCUGGUCUCAUUGGCCUUGAUCUUCCAUUCACAAGCAAUUAAUGUUUAUGGGAGCACGAAUUCAAAGUAGCACAUUUUCGCGGCUGUGAAAUGCAGCAACAUGUUUGGAUAGCUGACCAAAAAGGAUCUCACUGAAAAACUGAAAUAUUUAAGUAACACGUCAACGACGGCUGCGUCCUGCGUGUUGGGAAGGCGGCGGCGACGGAUGGUGUGCAGGAUGCGGCCUUUUUUGUGUAUAGCUCUCUAAACUUGACAGUUGAGUUUCUUUUUGGUCAUGUUAAAACUGAGUUUCUGUUAGUUCAGUUUGCACAAGCGGCCAUAGUGCGGACCAUCAGGAGACAGGGGCACACAAGCACCAGCACGGCAGCACCACCAUCAGAACACACCAGACGGCUCGCAUAGGGAAUACUUCAAGAUGGACACUGGUGGUACAACAUGGCUUACUAUCAUCUGUUUACACAUGGCUAAUUUGACGGAAUAGCUUUGGCCAUCUUUGAUAUAUGUUACUCCUACUACAGAUUUCGCUCCCUCGUCUCCAAGAAAUUCCCUACUAGCUACACUUGACAUGAGAGUCCAAUUUGAAUUCCCAAUGAGAGGAAAGCUAUGAUUCGUUCGCUCCACUUUUAGCUUUGUAUCUCCUCCUGAAGACAUCCUCCCUGAACUACUUGAUUUCAGCCAUCAGGUCCAGGCUUCUACUGAAUGGUGUCCUCUGUCUCCAGCGCCCAUUUCCGCUUAGCGAGUUGUUGGAUUGCAUCCUACUUCUUAUUUUCCUCCUGCACACCGUCUCCCUUUGUGUCGUCAAUCACGUACUAUAACAUUUGACAAAUAGUAUGUGUUGUGUUGGUGUCAGCAUGCCAGCACUACAUGAAUGAUCCCACUGCUGCAGACUUCAGCCAAUACUGGCCGGCUAUGUUUACAAACAGAAAUGAAUUAUUCAGAGAAGAGGAGCAGACGUGCUGCAAAAUUUACCUCAAGGUGGUGAAUCAGCAAAUCGAGGGACUUAUUUUUUGGUGGGGCCAGCAGGGUAUCCCAUUACCUUAAUUUCCUCUUCAGUGUGCUGACUCCGAUCUCCAGAGUCAUGGUUGCUUCUUUCUUAGUCUGUUUAAAUCGGUUAUUUCUUUCAAUAUGCACUCUCACAAUCAUAUACUUUUUCUGUUCUUGAUGGUACAGGGAAUGAAUGAAACAAUGUCUUCUCAUCAAGGAAAAGACUUGUGUUCUCCUUAUAGAACAUAAUUUAUUAUGUGAGGCAUUUGCCAUUACAACAUCUUGUCCAGGGUAUGAUUUUUCUUCCACUAAACUGAACUGCCUCGCAUACAAUUGUAUGUAAUACCCCCUUUUCCAAAAAUAAAUGACAUCCUAUGGGUAAAAUAGUUAUGCUGAACCAUGGUGCCGUCAUACAAACAGUGUAGAUUUCAGAGCUAGCGUAUACUUCCUAGAUGUUGAGUAAUUGUUUGUAACUUGCUUAUAGACCUCAGUAGUUUAGUUGUUUGUAACUUUGCUCACAUACUUCAGUAGUUUGGUGUGAAAAAUGAAAGGGUAUCUAGAAAAGUAUUGGGUUAGUGCUACCGAUGACAUUUGAAAUAAGUAAAUAAACACACAAGGUUUGAAUUUUAUUUAUUUUUAGUUUUCCAGAUAAUGUGGUUCAUGCUGAUGUGAUCAGAGACAUUAUGAUUGAUGCUACAUCCUCUCUUUGUCCAUAGAUCUAGGUUUUUACACAUCGCUGGUACUUGUUAUAUUGUUUGGAUCUGACUGUUCUGCGUAAUCACCAAAAUUAACUGUGACCAGAAUCCAUGCGGGAAACAUGCAGUGUACAGAGAAAUCAGGUCAGCUACCUUGCCUUUGGAAUUUUUGAGAAAGUGAAUAGAGGAUGUAACAAACCAACCCAUGAUCUUGCAGCGCUUUCACAGGCUGAUAGGAGAAAUUUUUGGGUGGGGCCUGCAUGUUUCGAGAGAAUUGUCGUGUCAUAGUGCUAACUAGGAAAAUGUUGAGGAGGUCCUGUUGCGUCCCAUGUUCAAUAUAAGGUAAAAGAAAUAAUAAACUCCUGGUUCUACCAAAUGUGUGAACUUAAAAUGAAAUCACGCGUAUGACGCCACUAUACUAUAUUGUAUUGUUCUAUCAAGAAAAACACCCUCCAUUUGGAGGGAAUAAAUCUCUUACAAAUACCAAUGAAACAUGGCCAAGCAAGAGCAAGCUAUUAUUUUUUAAGUACCAAAUGCUUUCUCCUCUUUUACAACCGGUUGUGAGAACAUAUAUUGCCGAACUGAAAUUUUUGUAUUGUUUUUAACAUAUGUGAACUGGGUGGUCAUUUUAGAUCUAAGACAUUAGUCAUAUAUUUAAACUACAAAAUGUAGUUCUAUUCUCCAAACAAAGGGGACAAGAUAUAUGUCCAUAUUACAAUUUCUGUAAUUUUUGUAAAAAAAUGUGAACUGGGCGAUCAUUUAUAUCCAAGACAUUAGUCAUACAUAUGUUACAUUCAAAUCAAUUUUUGUACUUUGUCAAGGGAUAUAAAUAUAAAAUAUGAAACGUUUAGCCAUGUGAUCAAAGUAGAUUUUGUCCGAACCGAUCUAAUUCUGGAAAUUAUCUGUUGUUUGAAAUAUAAAUAUUUAAAUCAAUACGAAAUUAAAUAUUUACAUUCAUAUAUUUGGUUAGUAUGUGAAUCAACUAACCAAUCAGCUACCAAAAAUUACAGGGGGUGUUAAAAGGGACUCGAAGCAUUUUCAUGUGUCGAUGGCACGAGAGAUCCUCCCGAUACUCUCCUCAAGGUUGACCCAACUAGAUCCUGAUGCGCCAGCGGCACGGGUGGUCAGGCCUGAGCAGCGAGCUCUUCUGCCCCCUCCUCAUUGGAUCGGCGGCCAGGGAGGCCAGAUCGCGUGGCACGAGAGAAGGCUCAUGUGUGAGGAAGGGGAGCAGCAACAUGCGUCGAUUGGGGAAGGGAGGAGCAACGGGUGCCACUGAAGGGAGGGGAGCAGCGGCAAGCGCGGAGGGAGGGGAGCACGGGAGCCCCAAGGGAGGCGGAGCAGCGGCAGGUGGCGUGGAGGUUGGAGAUCUUGGUGAGGACGGCGCGACGCGAGGUCAUGGUGGCAUGUGUCGGAGCAGUGGUAGGUGGCGUGUGCAGGUAAAUAGCAACAUCACUACCUCUUUUAUUAUGUGCAUAUUACAUUUUGAAUAUUUCAAGUAACCAGAUGGACGUGAACAUAUACACAUAAUCCACUUUCCGGUUGAAGCUUAUUUUCUUGCAUGAGUGGUGAAGAAAAUGAGUGACAAGGAUGAUGAGAAUAAAGGGAGUGCAAUGUGGUUAUUGAAGAAGGGCAAGGAAGAGGAAGACACAUGUUAGUCGGGUGAAGUCAGCAGCGAUCGCUAUCAGUGAUGUUAUUGGCCAAAUAGGUUGUCUAAACAUUUUGCUAGGUCUCCCUCAGGGAUGAUGGUGUAACCUUGUUUCAAGUAGAUAAACAGAAGUGGGCUAAAAGAGUGUCAUAUUACAACAGAUCAGUUGGUGUGAAACUAGAUGUUGGACUAAUACGUGAUGUAAUGGGCAUGAAUGCAUUCUUUUGAGGAUUGGUGGUUGCAGCAGCGCCUGAUCAUGGUUAUAAAUCUUUUUGCUGCUAAAAAGACGUUGUCCCUUGGAGAAAUAUAUGAUAGGGCCUGAUUGGAGUUUAUCAUAACUGGUAAGUAUGGAUACUUAAUUUUCUUAUCUUAUACAAAUUACAUAGGAUUCCAUUUCCUUGCUUGCUUGUGAGUAUAUUAUGGCAACAAAACACACCGCAGAUUUUGCUUUUACUUUUCCAUAUUAACACUGAAAAGAUGACCCACAAAGACACAUAAAUAACUACUCCCUCCGUUCCUAAAUAUUUGUCUUUCUAGAAGUUUCAAAUGAUGACUACAUACGGAACAAAAUGAGUGAAUCUACACUCUAAAAUAUGUCUAUAUACAUCCAUAUGUGGUGACCAUUUGAAAUCUCUAGAAAGACAAAUAUUUAGGAACGGAGGGAGUAGAUUAAAGGGUGGACAUAUAAGUUUGAGACCUGGUUAUGGCCGCCGUACUCGGGGAAGGUGCGAUGCUGUGAUGAGCAGCAGGUUGCAUCGUCAUGGUGGUCACCCUCAGCUACGAUAGAGUGCACACCUUGGCACCGGGAAUCGGCCUGGGAUGCCGUGGAGGGAAGAGGAGGGGGCGGGCAACGACUUGUCAACAAAAUAUAACAAACCCUAACAAGUCAUUUGUACUAAAACUUGGGAUACGACUCACUAUAAUAAAAAGCAUGAUGACACUCACUCUGACUAAAAGUGAUCACCUGCUUGCAUCUAGCAGCUGAUCAAUGUAUAUAAGCCAUUUAUUUUUAUUAUAUGUUCACUUGUAGAUCAGAGAGAAAAUCCGAUGGCUUCGGAUGAUGCUUUGAAAAUGUCGAUUGACAAAGUCACAGACGUAACUAACCGAGCGGACUGAAAACUAAUCGAAAUUUUAGAAUUAGAAGGGAUGCAUAAAAAUAAAUGUUCUUUACAUAUACUAUAUAUUGCAUGCGAUAAUACAGAAGAUGUAUUUCUGUAUAUGUUUAUUUUGCAGAUUAUGAGAGAGAUGGAGGUGGAUUAUGUGGACGCUCAAAAAGAUCCAUUGGCAAGGGUCCUAACGAUAUCGUUGGAAGGGGAUGCAACCAGAAAAAAGAGUUCAAAAGCCCGUAGCAACGCAUGUGCCUGAGAUUGUGGCACGGUUUAGAGGGUUGGCCUGCGGCGGAGGCGGCGACUGGGGUAGGGGGCGAUGACCAAAAUAUUUCAAAAGCCCGUGGCAACGCACGGGCAUUAUACUAGUCCCUAUAAAUGGCUCAACAAUCAACAAAUCCCACCAGAAUCAUCUCCCCCACCAGAAAAAUUUCCGCUAUUUGCCGCGAUUGCCCGCUACGGCGGCCGCUAUAGCUGCUGGGAGAGGCCGCCGCGAAAUCGUUUCUCCCGCGAUUUUAGUCUAUGGUGCUACUACUUGAGCAGUGGUUAGCACUGCUCAAUUGAGGGUCCAGUCCAGUCCAUUGAGCGUGCUGCCUAAAGGCAAAAGCAUCAUAAAAGCAGUGGAUAAAAGCAAUCGAACGAGCUGUAUUCGACCCAGCUGCUCCGAUGGCAAGCGCAAGCGCAAUGGGUCCUGCUGCUAUGUUGAACAAAGAGCAUACUCAAAGCAGCAGCAAGCCGAAUGAGGAGUUUCAACAUCUACAUCGCCCUGAGCUGCUCAUUGCCGUGGCGCGUGGCGACUUCAAUGAAAUUAAGCGCCUUCUUUUUCUUCUUCUUCUUCUUCUUCUUCACAAGGAAGGGGAAGGGGAAGGGGAAGAUGAAGAUGCAGCGCACCAGCCGGUGGAACUUGUCCUCCAUGUCGACGAGAAAAUCACCGGCAUCAAGGAUACCGUCGUGGCCGACAUCACCGGUGCAGGCCAUGUGGCGGCGUCUAGUGGAGACGCCGAUCAAUUCUUAAAGUGCGCAACGCUGAUCGCCGACGAAGCCAGUCACCUCCUCGGCGCCCGCAACCGGAAGGGCGACACCCCCCCGCACUGCGCCGCCCGGUUCGGGAAUGCUAGGAUGGUCUCUCAUCUCUUGGCUCUGGCAAGAGCCACUGGAAAUGAUGAUGAGAGGGUGAAGGUGAUCCUAAGAGUCCAGAACAACAAGCAAGAGACGGUGCUGCACGAAGCCGUCCGUUUGGAAGCCAUGGAAAUAAUCGACCCACAGCUAGCUCGUUUUCCGCUGACCGCCCUUGUACUUGGCCCUCUCGCUGGGUCACAGGGACAUUGCCCGGCUGCUCUUUGAGACAGACAACGAGCUGUCUUACUCUGGACCCGACGGCCAGAAUGCCUUCCACGCAGCUAUUCUGGGGAGGCUGGGCAAAGCUACGUCUUCAAUCAAUUUAUUUUCUACCCAUGCUUGUUUUGCCAUAUUUAUUUAUACAGUUAGGGCACUACUAAUACUCAUAUAUACUAGCUAGGUGUUUAAUUAGAUUUCAAGAGUGUAUCUUUUUUUCUUUCUUUUUUGCGGGAAGAGUCUAAUUUUUCUAGUACUACAGUCCUCUCUUCAUUUCAAAUUACUUGUCGCGCAAAUGGAUGAAUUAUGCCCCACUUCACACGAGACACGAUCUUAUGUUUCUUCCUCUACAUACAAGUGCUUGAUUGUGUAUCCGACAAAAUAAUUCUGGUUGCUAGCUUUGAAUACGCAUGCAUGCAUGCAUGCAUGCCUCACUUCACAUGUGACAAGGUUUUGUGUUUCUUGAUGUACCACAAGUCUAAAGUUAUGAAAAUCAUGAAAACAAAUAUGUGAACAUGUAUUACUGUUCCGUGUAGCGCCUCGUAAAGUUCUGUGAGAUUUUUAUUUUUUUGGGCGAGAAGGCAAAGGCAUACUGUAUUAAAAUUUCAAAGGUUCGUGAGAGUUGUUUUCACUAUAUUUUACCAGUUGUGCAAAAACAGAAAAUUGAUAUUACUAUUUUUAAAUUGGUGCAAUUUGUCACUUGGCUUCUCUUUCUCAUCCUGUUUAAUGCAUUUUUGGUGAAAUUUUGCAUACAUGUCACACGUUACCAUAUGCAGUAAAUCCUUGGUCGUAGGUUCUAAAUUCCAAAGUUUGGAAAGAGGAAGUAGUAAACAGGCUCAGACCUGUGAAUUGGAGAAGAAACAUGCAUGCAAGGCAGAGGAGAGUAGCCUUACAUCCGCCACAUUGGACUCCGAUAUCCCAAACCCGCCCAAAAUCGAGUCACAUUUGGACAAUCCACUCACUAUUCCCAUGCAAAAGAACGCCCACCCUUCCGCCCACCACCGCCGCGAUAGAUCCGCAAGAGCUCAGGGUGGACACGGUCCGGGCCGGGCUGGUCCCUGACCGAGCUACUGUUUGGACAGGCUGCCGGCGGUCCGGACCGGAGCGGACCGAGCAGUGCCGCGGUUCUCUUUUCAGGUACCGGACCGGCGGGUGUAAAGCUCGGUGCGGACCGACAGGCUCGGCGGUCCCUGCGAUGGCCAGUCACUGCCAUGUGGGGCCAACAUGUCAGAGAGGUGGUGGGAGAAGUAGCACGGUGGCCGGAGCCGGAGAAGAUGCACCCGAUGCUUGCGGUUGACGGGCGACGCUACGGAGGAGAUGCGCCUCAUGCUUGUGGUGGUCGGACGACGAGAUGGAAGCUCCCCGCGUCGAUGGCUGCUACUUCUUGAGCUUGCGUUGAUUUUUCUAUUGAAGAGAAAAGGGUGAUGCAACAAAGUAGAGAUAAGUAUCUCCCUCAGUUAAGAAUCAAGGUAUCAAUUCAGUAAAAGAAACACCCAAAUCUCCAAUAGAUGCACCUGCACAAACUAACAAACACUCGCACACAACGCGAAAAAAGGGGUUGUCAAUCCCUUCACGGUCACUAGCAAGAGUGAGAUAUGAUAGAGAUAGGUAUAAAAGAUAAGUAAAAUUAUAAAAUAAAGUAAAGGUAGAUAAAUUGCAGCAAGGUAUUUUUCGUUUUUUGAUUUUAUAGAUCUGAAAAUAAUAUGAUGGUAAGUAGACCCGGGGGCCAUAGGUUUCAUUACAGACUUCUCUCUUGAAAGAAACAUACGGUGGGUGAACAAAUUACUGUUGAACAAUUGAUAGAAAAACGCAUAGUUAUGACGAUAUCCAAGGCAAUGAUCAUGAAUAUAGGCAUCACGUCCGUGACAAGCAGACCGACUCCUGCCUGCAUCUACUAUUAUUACUCCACACAUCGACCGCUAUCUAGCAUGCAUCUAGUGUAUUAAUUUAACAAGAACAGAGUAACGCUUUAAGCAAGAUGACAUGAUGUAGAGGGAUAUAUCCAAAAUAAUAUGGUAAAAAACCCAUCUGAAUAUUUAUACAUAGAAACUUAGUGUAAAAUAUACAUAAAAUGCUAUUUUCCUGGUCUUAUGACCUAUAUUUUUGUUUUCCUAUGCCAAAUUUUACGUAAUGAAGUCAUAUGAAUGUAACUAUUUGUAUUCCAAAUGUAAUUUGUUAAUGAAAAGAUCGAAAGAUUACUUUGGGUGACGAAUAACUUAUUCUGCACCCAGGGUGACGAAUAGUCAGUUUAUAUAUAGACACACACACACACACUUAUUGUGAUAUAUAGUUAACUCAUAUUUUUUUUAGCCAAAUUCUUGUUAGGUUCUAAUUCCAAGGGGGGCUAACAUAUUUGGAUAGAGGGAGUAGUAAAAUUGCUAGUCUUUGGUCAUAUAUAGAUUUUAUCUUGGGCUGACAGUGAUAGCUAACAAUUGCAGAGGCAAUUAAAAUGCUAUUGGAAAGUAAGAAAUAUCUUAUCAAACAAGCAGACCAAUCCACCGGUCGGACACCUCUUCACUAUGCAGCAUUAUUCGGGGAGACGGAGGUGACCGAGUUGCUACUCGAAGCUGAUCCGUCUUCAGCGUAUCUGCCAGACAGCAAAGGGUCGUUUCCCAUACAUGUCGCUGCAUCAAACGGCCAACCUGAUAAUGUUUACUAUGCCAAGCUACGUGAUGGCAAAGGCAGGACAUUCCUGCAUGUCGCUGCCGAGGCAGAGAGGUUCGGCGUCGUCUUGUUGGCUUGCCAAGAGCAGGGAAAGAUGGCAUCGUCGGUGAUGAACAUGCAAGACGACGAUGGGAACACUGCACUGCACCUCGCCAUGCCUGGGGGCUACCGAGCAGAUGACCAUAAAGAGGGCGGCGCACCGACGCUUGCGGGGGAAUACUUCUUCGACUGGCAUUCAUCUGCUCUUCACUAUCCAUGCUCUUUCUCAUGUAUGCAGGGGUGGGUUCAAACGUGAAAAGACGCACUUGGUCCUUGUUAUUCUCCGCAAAAUUCCUGGCUCAUUCAGCUAGCUAGGAGCCUCAGCGCCGCCUUCAUCUUCGGGAUGUACUCGAUCCUGGCUCCGGUCCAACAUGCCAAGGCCAUGUAUCCUUGUACAAUCACGGUUCUCCCCCUGGUGGUGGUGGAAGGCUUUUGGUCCACCAUGACGGUGGGAAUGGUAUACAGCGACAAAGUGCUGAUGGUGAGGAGGUUUGGAAGUCGGGCAAGGAAGUGGAGUCUUGCAUGGGCGGUCCUAGUGACGCUGAUAUUCCAAUUCUGGCCAUACAUUUUCAUCGCGGCUAUAUCUCAUUAACCUACAUAUUCCACUAGUAUCUGGAUACCAAUUUGUUGGCUGCAUACAAUAUAUAUUGUCACUACCAAAUUAUUGUUAUUCUACUAAGCAAUUGCCCAUGCAUUUCACCGUUGACAUAAAUAUUCUAGUGAGUUCAUAUGAUUCGUGUGUUGCUACAGGGUAAGAUAUAGAAAACAAAGACAUACAUAGACUGAUUAAUUGGGUUUCAUAUUUUGUAAAGAUUGGCGAGUAAUGUGCAUGGGAUGUUUGGCCACAUCAAACCAUAAAAGCUUGUUUUCCUCUCCUGAUUUUUCGCUAUGUGAAGGCCGGUGUUCAACCCUCCUGUAACUAAAUCAAAUGAUAAAAUUAUCAUCUAGCAGAUCUAAAUAGUUUUUUUUUAAUCUAUAAAUGUGGCCGUAUGCAUUGUUCUGAUGCAGAGGCCGGGGAGUCCCCCUUUUCGAAAAAAAAAGAUCUAAAUAGUUUAUUUGCAAUGAGCAGGUUCUUCCACACUUUUGCUGCUCCUCUGCAUGAGCUCCCAAUUGACAUUGACAACACGCUAGUCCUCCUUCUCUCGCGGGUAGUGUGCUUUGUCUUCCUCACUGAGUGUUGAGGUCUUUUUUCUUAUGAUCUAAAAUGAUUCCUGCUAAAACAUAGAUAUUCCAUCCAGAUGAAGUACUUUAUGACGUAAAACUACAAUAUCAUCAUCAAUGUCAAUUUAGAAUGAGUCCUGGAUUCUGUUGGUUUUGAUCAUUGAGACACAUAUUUGUUGUAGCUCUGAUGCAACUCGGAAUUACUUGGUUGUUUUGACUAGGGAUGGUGGAUUAAGAGAGGCUCAAGGUUUACACUUUCAGUUUCAGAAAAAAUAAUCAGCACCAACCGAAAUCACCGAAAUUCAGUGAUUUCAGUUUGCGUUUCAGCCAAAAGGCAGAAAUAUUCACUUGAAUUCAAUUAUAUUUUAAAAAAUUAAAAAUGUUUUUGAAAAAAAAUUGAAUUUAUGUGUACUAAUGAAAUUACUGAAAUAUUUUGGCUGAAAGGUAAAUAUUUCAAUGGCUGCCGAAAUUAGUGAAGUUCAGUGAAUUUCAUGGAAAUCUCACUGAAAGUGAAAACCAAUGGAGAUGAGGUUUCGGGGUUGAGAGAUAGUUCAGAGCAGUCGAACAAUGCUACUUGACUCGAUUCAAAAUCAUUGUCCAAGGUGCAGCUCACGCAAGUAACCCAACGAAAAAGGCAUCACAUUUCGAGAGGUGGAACUUGCGAAAGAAUCCUAAUAUGUGCAAGUGCGUUAAUGGAAAACUAACCAUUUUGAAAUUGGCUUUUAGACGCAAUUUGAGUACUCUUUGAUUAUAUAUGAAAUUACCAAUGAUGAUAACAUACAAUAAGUGCACAAAAUGAAAAUCACAGUGCACCCAUCGUCGUUUUGAUCGGCGAUUCUUCUUUGGUUUUCCGAUCUAAGAUCGUUGAGUCGCCCAUCGCCGUUCAUCACAGUGCGCCUCUACACCGUCGACAUCUUCGUGGUCUAAACCUGGAUCGGUUGCCACACGGCGACGGGCUACACGCACGUCGCGCGUCCGAUGCGCUGGUACGUCGGCCGCUCGCGAUGUCCUUUGCUUGCUAGCCUCUCAUCCUCGCCACAUGCCCGCGACCAUCCAGGCGCCUCGCGCGGGCGUGGUUUGCUGCUCGAGCAUCUUCGUUGGCCAACCUUCCACACGACCACACCACGUGGCCUCGUCCCGUGCAUGGUUGUGCACGUUUUUUUUAAUACAACGCAAGCGCUCAUAUAAACGCGCAUACACUUAUCCCUAUGAACGCACACAUGCACACCCUAUCCCUAUGAGCACUUUCGAAAGACUGAGCCGGCAUAUCAUCUUAAAAUUUACGAAGUCAACGUAGGCACCUCGUUGUCGAUGGGAACAUCUCCUCCCACUGAAUGCGCAUCGCCGGAAAUCCUGAAAUAAAUGCGAGCACCAGGAUUUGAACCUUGAUAGGCUGGGAAUACCACAGUCCCUCUAACCAUCCAACAACAAGUUGGUUCGCCAUGGCUGUGCACGUUGGUGCUUGUGAAUUGGUGGUGUUAGCUGCUUGUACAUGCAUGUUGCGUCUAGGGUGGGACGGAGGUUGUUUCUGUGCAUGCACCGAAUUUCACUAAGCUCGUCAAGUGUCUGCGCAUCUCCAUUAAUCGAGCAACGGGAUGCUGCUGCGACGCCUGCAGCAUCGUCGUCUUGUGGUGUUCCCCGCGGCUGCGUCGACCCACGUGCUGCCGCUGCGUCGUUCUUUGGGUCGUAGUGCCGCAGCCGACAGUCAACCGCCACCCCGUGGCCGUCCGCUCCAGGCCGUUCUCGUGGCUGCACCGACCCUCGCGCUGCCACAUUACGUGGCACGCGGUCCCUACCGCCACCCUGAGGUCUUCCCUGCCGUCGUCCCGACCCGUGCGCUGCCGUUGCGUCGCUCAUUCGGGCCGUAGCGUCACGGCACGCGGUCCACUUUGCCGUCGACGCGCGUCGACUUCUGUGUGGUAUGCGCCGCGCCGCCUUCCUAGGAGCGGGAACGCCACCGUCCGCGCUGGUCUUCGUCACGCCGUUGGGUUCUUUCUUGCCUACUUCGAGCACCGUCGCCAGACUCCUAACCUAGCCGCCGCCGCAGCCUCCUCCUCAGGCCGCUGCCGCCGCUCAUCUUCCCGGUCCACGACGACUACGUCGACACCGGCCACCCCGACUCAACAUCAACCACGGCGUCCCUCGCACGGCAACUGCUGGAAUUUUCUCGAUUUAUGGGCCAGCCCAACAACAAUUUCAGAAAUUCCUAAUAAAUCCUAGAGGCCCACUUAGCCCAUUCGUGCAAGGCAUGGGCACUACUAAAAUUUAGUCCCACAUUGCUAGUUUAGAGGGAAUUGGACCUCUUUAUAAGGGAGGUUCUUUCCCCACAUGUAUGAGCAUGAGAACAAGAGGGACAUCCACGCUCGCUCCUCCUCCGCCGCCCGCCUCGUCACGACGCGCCGCGCCGCGGGUUGCGGGAAUGAGCCGAGCCAAUGUCUAAAUUGAAACCUUUUCUGUAGUGGACACUGAAUCCGAACGGCUCGCCUCUUGGGCUGAAGUCCGUUCAAUUCAUCUCCCUCUUUUGCUUCAUCUCCCGUCGUUGGCCUCUCGCCUCCUUCUCUUGCGCCUAUAAAAGGGAGGUCGCUCCUCUCAGAGAGAUGCACCAGAACUUCUUCUUCCUCUCGCUACCGGUUCCAAUGUCUGAGCUGCUGUUGUCCUCCUCAUCCCGGCUUGUGGCGUGCACCGCGAGUCGGGACAGUAGGCCUCCAAAACCGCACAUCUUUGAGUCCUGUACGGGAGAAGGGUGAUAAGGUUUUUGGGGAGCGCUCAGCACGACUACUGACAUCUUCGUCACGGACGUCCCGGACUCCGACGACUACUUCCCCAACGACGACUUCUUCCCCGACGUUGACAACCUCCUCGACGACAUGGCUGGCGAGGACACCGAACCCAAGACCGGUGCUUCUGCUCCCGUUCCGUACAUUCUCAUACUCUUUCUAUUAGAGGUCCUGCCACAGUUCCUUAUUCUAGUGUUUGCCCUAGAUAUGUUAGGUUCUACUUCAUAUAUGCAACUUGUCCUACUGUCUGCUCUACAUAUGUUUGGUUACAAUUCAUAUAUGCAGAUGCUAUUUACCUUCUCUCUGUCAGAUCGCAUGACUUGUUUUAUCUCUGCUAUAUUAGUCAUGAUUUAUGUAGUAUUUCUGUUAAUAAAAUCAUUUGGUAAAUUGCUCAUAUUUCCGACAAUCCAAAAACCUUAUUAUAGGCAAUUUACCCCGAGUGGUUUUGCUGCUUCCAUGAGACCUCCUAUGUUUGAGGGUAUCCACUAUAAGAGGUGGCGCGUGAGAGCCGUUCUACGGUUUCAAACCAUGAGCUGCUAUGAUGCCACUCUUGUCAAACCUGAAGGAGAAUACGAUGCUCAACAUGAACAAGCUUUUCAGAAAAUGGAUACCCUGUUUAAGGCUGUUCUCUUGAGUGUUCUUGGUGUGAACAUAGUUGAUGCUUAUGCAUCAAUUGAUGAUGGAAAAGAUAUGUGGGACGCACUUGAGGCCAAGUUUGGGGUUCGGAUGCUGGCACUGAGUUGUACAUCAUGGAGCAAUUCUAUGAUUACAGGAUGACUGAAGAGCGCUCCGUGGUUGAGCAAGCUCAUGAGAUACAAUCAUUUUCUAGAGAACUUGAGCACUUUAAUUGUAUGCUACCGGACAAGUUCGUUGCCGGAGGCAUUAUCACUAAGCUUCCUCCCAUGUGGAGGAACUUUGCUACCUUACUGAAGCAUAAGAGGCAGGAGUUUUUCGUUCCGUAUCUCAUCCGUACUCUUGAUGUGGAAGAAAAGGCGAGAGCAAAGGAAAACCGUGCUCGAGGUAUUGAGGGAGGUUCUAGUACCAAUCUGGCACAGAAGAAAAACUUCCAGCCCCACAAGUCCAAGAACAAGGGCAAGUUUGAUGGAAAGCAAAGUUUGAUGGGAAGAACAAGGCUGUACAGCACACGAACUUUAAGGAGAAGAAUGACAAGAAGAAAGGUGUUUUUCAUGUGUGUGGAGAUCAUGAUCAUUGGGCUCCUAGUUGCCCUAAUCGCUAUGACAAGCGUUAUCUUGGGAAAGGUGGCAAGACCGCUAAUGUUGUCAUUGGAGACACUGACAUGAACAAUGCUGGGUAUGGUAUAUUUCCCACUAUUCUUUCAGUAUGUCAUUCCCUGAUUGGUUAAUUGACACGGGUGCUAAUUUGCAUGUAUGUGGUGAUAUUUCAAGUGCUUCUGUUCGUGGUGUUGGCACGGUCAAUCUGAAGUUUACUUCGGGGAAGAUCGUGUGGCUGAAGAACGUGCAUUAUGCCCCCUCCGUUAAUAUAAAUCUUGUUAGCGGAUCUCUUCUGUGUAGAGAUGGCCACAAGCAUAUCUUUGAAUCGAAUAAAUUUGUAGUAUUCAAGUAUGGAACCUUUGUUGGUAAAGGCUAUGAGUCAGGAGGCCUGUUUCGUUUAUCCUUAUCAGAUAUUUGCAAUAAAGUUGUUAAUCAUGUUUGCAACAAUAGUGAAUCAAAUGUGUGGCAUUCACGUCUUUGUCAUGUUAACUUUGGUUGCAUGUCGCGACUAGCGAAGUUGAACUUAAUCCCUAGUUUCACCACUAUCAAGGGAUCUAAGUGUCAAGUGUGUGUGCAAGCUAAGCAACCUCGUAAGUCUCAUCUGACUGCAGAAACGAGAAAUCUUGCACCACUAGAGCUCAUACAUUCAGAUCUCUGUGAAAUGAGUGGUGUGUUGACAAAAGGUGGAAAGAAAUAUUUUAUAACGUUAAUUGAUGACUCCGCUAAAUACUGCCAUGUGUAUCUUCUGAAAUCUAAGGAUGAGGCUUUGAACUAUUUCAAGAUCUAUAAAGCUGAAGCGGAAAACCAACUUGAUCAAAAGAUCAAGAGGCUUAGGUCCGAUCGUGGUGGAGAGUAUUUCUCAAAUGAAUUUGAUUCUUUUUGUGCGGAACAUGGUAUAAUCCAUGAGAGGACGCCUCCCUAUUCACCUCAGUCAAAUGGGGUGGCCGAAAGAAAGAACCGUACUCUAACUGAUUUGGUUAACGCCAUGUUAGAUACUUCGGGUCUCUCCAAGGCAUGGUGGGGGGAGGCGAUAUUGACUGCAUGUCAGGUCCUAAACCGGGUUCCCACAAAGAACAAAGAGAUAACUCCAUUCGAGGAACGGGAGAAGAAAAGGUUAAAGCUCUCUUAUCUAUGAACCUGGGGUUGUUUAGCGAAAGUCAAUGUGCCAAUUCCAAAGAAGCGGAAGCUCGAACCAAAAACUGUGGACUGUGUUUUCCUGGGAUAUGCUUUUCAUAGCAUUGGUUAUAGAUUCUUGGUUGUAAAAUCUAAGGUUCCUGGCAUGCAUGUCGGUAUGAUUAUGGAGUCAAAUGAUGCGACUUUCUUUGAAGAUAUCUUUCCCAUGAAGGAUAUGGCUACCUCUUCUAAUCAGGAGAUGCCUAGUUCAUCGAAUCAGGAACCAGUUACAAUUACUGAACCUGCCAUUUCGAUGGAACACUUUGAAAAUCCCGCGGAGGAGAACAAUGAAGUUCCUACUAGGAGCAAGAGACAAAGGACUGCAAAGUCCUUUGGUGAUAAUUUUCUUGUGUAUCUCAUAGAUGACACUCCCAGUUCUAUUUCAGAGGCCUAUGCAUCUGAAGAUGCUGACUACUAGAAGGAAGCGGUCCGUAGUGAGAUGGAUUCCAUCUUGGCAAAUGAAACUUGGGAGAUAACUGAUCGUCCUUAUGGGUGCACACCUAUUGGGUGCAAAUGGGUAUUCAAGAAGAAACUCAGGCCUGAUGGUACUAUUGAGAAAUACAAGGCACGACUCGUGGCCAAGGGUUAUACCCAAAAGGAAGGUGAAAAUUUCUAUGAUACUUACUCACCUGUGGCUCGACUGAACACUAUUUGAGUUCUACUUUCACUAGCUGCCUCACAUGGUCUUCUCGUUCAUCAAAUGGAUGUUAAGACUGCUUUCCUAAAUGGAGAGUUGGAUGAAGAAAUUUAUAUGGAACAACCAGAUGGGUUCGUAGUAGAUGGUCAGGAAGGAAAAGUGUGCAAAUUGCUGAAGUCUUUGUAUGGACUUAAGCAAGCACCCAAGGAGUGGCAUGAGAAGUUUGAAAGAACUUUAACAGCUGCAGGCUUCGUUGUAAACGAAGAUGAUAAAUGUGUGUACUAUCGCCAUGGUGGGGGCGAGGGAGUUAUCCUUUGCUUGUAUGUUGAUGACAUAUUGAUUUUUGGAACAAAUCUGAAUGUUAUUAAGGAGGUCAAGGAUUUCCUAUCUCGCUGUUUUGAGAUGAAGGAUUUAGGAGUGGCUGAUGUCAUUCUGAAUAUCAAGUUGUUGAGAGAUGGUGAUGGUGGGAUUACAUUGCUUCAAUCUCACUAUGUGGAAAAGAUCUUGAGUCGCUUUGGCUAUAGUGACUGCAAGCCCUCUCCAACACCAUACGAUGCUAGUGUGCUGCUUCGAAAGAAUCGAAGAAUUGCUAAAGAUCAAUUGAAAUAUUCUCAGAUUAUUGGCUCGCUUAUGUACUUAGCCAGUGUUACAAGACCUGACAUCUCUUUUGCUGUUAGCAAACUGAGUCGGUUUGUCUCAAAACUAGGAGAUGUGCAUUAGAAAGCUCUAGAGAGAUUUUUGCAUUAUUUCGAAGGCAUUGCGAAUUAUGGAAUUCACUACACUGGGUACCCGAAGGUGCUUGAAGGGUAUAAUGAUUCAAACUGGAUCGCAGAUGCUGAUGAGAUAAAGGCCACGAGCAGAUAUGUAUUCACUCAUGGAGGUGGCUGUUUCUUGGAAGUCUUGCAAGCAGACCAUCUUAACGAGGUCAACAAUGGAAGCAGAACUCACAUCACUAGAUACAGCUACGGUCGAAGCAGAUUGGCUUCGUCGGCUCUUGAAUGACUUGUGGGUUGUUGAGAAACUUGUACCGGGUAUCCUUAUGAACUGCGACAAUCAAACUGUGAUCACGAAAGUGAGCAGCCCAAAGGAUAACAUGAAGUCAUCAAGGCACGUUCAGAUAAGGUUAAAGUCUGUCAGGAACAUGAAAAAUUCCGGAGUUAUUGCAUUGGAUUAUAUCCAAACGUCUAGAAAUCUGGCAGAUCCUUUUACUAAGGGUCUAUCACGUAAUGUGAUAGACAAUGCAUCGAAGGAGAUGGGUAUGAAACCCGCAAUAUGAGUUGUUCACAGUGGUAACCUAGUCUAUGUGAUCGGAGAUCCUGUGAAUUAGAUGUGGAAAACAAGCUGUUGGUCAACUGAGAGGAGAGUAUCCUUAUUGUUAACAAUACCACUCCAUGAAGAUGCAAUACUCUCCUAAAGUUGCAUGGCAGAUUGAUGUAUAUCUUAAUGUGUUCUAAGUGGCUUAUUUAAGCAGAGAUGUUGUCCUGCAUUACAUCUUUUGAAGAACACACCUAUAUGAGUCUGAUUGUCAAACGUCGCAAUCUAAGAGAGUAGGGUUCUCUCUAGUAAACUCAUGAAAGGUCACGGAGUAUGACGCAUAAGCUCCACCCGCGGGGAAGACCCACGGUAGCCUAGUAUCGGUCAAGGCAUUGUGUGAAGCUAGAUUCGCAGAAAACUUGCAGUUCAAGGCCCAGUCCACUGUUCAAGUUGCUUACUAGUGUAGCAUGGAGUUCUAGGUGGAAGUACAACUUAACAGUCUCCACUGCAAUACUGGUAUAUAAAACAGUGUUUUGGAACCAAAGGCAAAUUUUGUGGCCUCUCGGAUCUGGUGGGGGAUUGCUGGAAUUUUCUCUAUUUAUGGGCCAGCCCAAUAACAAUUUCAGAAAUUCCUAAUAAAUCCUAGAGGCCCACUUAGCCCAUUCGUGCAAGGCAUGGGGCACUACUAAAGUUUAGUCUCACAUUGCUAGUUUAGAGGGAGUUGGACUUCUUUAUAAGGGAGGUUCUUUCCCCACAUGUAUGAGCAUGAGAACAAGAGGGACAUCCACGCACGCUCCUACUCCGCGCCCACCUCGUCACGCCGCGCCGCGGGUUGCGGGAAUGAGCCAAGCAGAUGUCUAAAUUUUUGCCAGGCACGACGGGUAUACGAAAGGUCACAUGGGAGCUGAAACGUUUCCUGUAGUGGACACUGAAUCCGAAUGGCGCACCUCUUCGGCUGAAGUCCGUUUGAUUCGUCUCCCUCUUUUGCUUCAUCUCCUGUCGUUGGCCUCUCGCCUCCUUCUCUUGUGUCUAUAAAAGGGAGGUCACUCUUCUAUAUUAGUCAUGCUCAUAUUUUAUCUCUGCUAUAUUAGUCAUGCUUUAUCUAGUAUUUCUGUUAAUAAAAUCAUUUGGUAAAUUGCUCAUAUUUCCGACAGCUACCUCGACCACGGUUACACCAUGCUACACUCUCGGCUACAUCGACAUCGGCACAAAGUGCUACCGCCUUGCUUGAGCAACCGACCUCGGUUUCCACUCCAGCCACGACUCUGCGAUGCAUCGACCGUUACGACUAUGGGCGGGUGUCCGUCGACUUGCCUUCGGAUUCUUCUCCAGUCUCACCGUCUGCGUCAAUACCAUUGUGACUGCGGGGGGAUGUUGAGUAUAAGGAUUAUUUAGAAAACGUAGGAUAGCAUAGGAUUUUUUCUACCUUGUCUUGUACUCCAAAAUGAUCAUGUACUCCUAUAUAUAUACCCAUCAGGCUCAAGCAGGUCAUAUUCCUCAUAAUAAGUCUGCUAGCCAAUGCUUGGAUGAGUUUGAUAAUUUUAUUGUUACACAAGAAAACUUCAAUGCUUAUGUUGCUAGACAAUUGAAACACAAUGCUUAUAUGAUUGAACACUUGAGUGAUUAUAUGUCUAGAGUUAAAGAUGACCUUAAACUUAUUAGUAAACAUGCUUCUAUGGUUACCACUCAGGUAGAACAAGUGCUUAAAGCACAAGAUGAUUUGCUCAAUGAAUUAAAUAAUAAGAAAAAUGAUAAUGCUGUUAGAGUUGUGACUAGAGGGGGUAGAAUGACUCAGGAACCUUUAUAUCCUGAGGGCCACCCUAAGGGAGUUGAGCAAGAUUCUCAGAGAAUUAAUGUUGAUGCACCUAGUCCUUCUAAGAAGAAGAAGAAGAAAAAUGAUAGGACUUUGCAUGGUUCUAGUGAACCUGUUGUUGACACACCUGAGAAUCCCAAUGAUAUUUCUAUUUUUGAUGCUGAAACACAAUCUGGUAAUGAACAUGAACCUAAUGAUAAUGAUGAUGUUCAUGUUGAUGCUCAACCUAGCAAUAACAAUGAUGUAGAGAUUGAGCAUGUUGUUGAUCUUGAUAACCCACAAUCAAAGAAUCAACAUUUUGAUAAGAGAGACUUCGUUGCUAGGAAGCACGGUAAAGAAAGAGAACCAUGGGUUCAGAAACCCAUGCCUUUUCCUCCUAAACCAUCCAAGAAAAAGGAUGAUGAGGAUUUUGAGCGCUUUGCUGAAAUGAUUAGACCUAUCUUUUUGCGUAUGCGUUUGACUGAUAUGCUUAAAAUGAAUCCUUAUGCUAAGUACAUGAAAGAUAUUGUUACAAAUAAAAGAAAGAUACCGAAAGCUGAAAUUUCCACCAUGCUUGCUAAUUAUACUUUUAAGGGUGGAAUACCAAAGAACUUGGAGAUCCAGGAGUACCAACUAUACCAUGCUCCGUUAAAGAAACUAUGUUAAAACUACUUUAUGUGAUCUUGGAGCUGGUGUUAGUGUUAUGCCUCUCUCUUUAUAUCAUAGACUCGAUUUGAAUAAGUUGACACCUACUGAAAUAUCUUUGCAAAUGGCCGAUAAAUCAACUGCUAUACCUGUCGGUAUUUGUGAGGAUCUGCCUGUUGUGGUUGCAAACGUUACUAUUUUAAUGGACUUUGUCAUUCUUGAUAUUCCCGAGGACGAUAGUAUGUCGAUUAUCCUUGGUAGACCCUUUUUGAAUACUGCAGGGGCUGUUAUUGAUUGCAACAAUGGCAAUGUCACUUUUCAUGUUAAUGGUAAUGAGCAUACGAUACACUUUCCGAGGAAACAACCUCAAGUCCACAGUACCAAUUCUAUUGGAAAAACUUCGACGAUUAUUAUUGGAGGUUUUGAAUUUCCUCUUCCUACUGUCAAGAAGAAAUAUGAUAUUAUUAUUGUUGGGGACAUACAUAUCCCCGUUGAGGUAACCUAGUGUCAUUUGAAAAUUCUCCGGUUUCAUGUUACUCGGAAAGAGUUUGUUAACAAGACUUGAUCAACCUUGUUAGUAGAUUCCUUUUGAUGAGCAUGAGAUGGAUGAAGUUAGAAGGCACAAAUCUCUGUACCCUACUUUUACUUUCUGUUAUUUAGAUUAAAUAAAGCAAAAAUAGCAUUUUCUGUCUGUUUUCUGAAUUACCCUUGCAAUAAAAAAUACCCCGAAAAUAAAAGUUCUCCAAACGUCCUGAAAAUGAAAUAUGAUUUUUUUGUAGAAUAUUUAAGAAUAUCUGGCACUGAGAACACACCAGAGGGGGCCACCACCUGUCCAUGAGGGUCCAGGGCACGCCCACCUCCCUGGGGCACGCCCCUGCCUCGUGGGCCCCAUGUUGACCCCCUCCACUUAUUCCAGUACCCACUCACUUCGUCUUCCUCCAGAAAAAAUCCUCCCAUAGCUCAAACCCAUGUUCUAGCUCGUUUUGCUGCCAUUUUUUAUCUCCUUGCUCAAAGCGUCAUUCACACUAUUUUGGGGGAUUGUUCUUCAGUAUGUGACUCCUCCAAUAGUCCAAUUAGUUUUUGUUCUAGUGCUUUAGUUAUUGCAAAUUUUUGCUGCUUAGGUGACCCUGUUCUUGAGCUUGCAUGUCAAAUUUAUAUGGUCCCAAGUAGUUCUAAUGCAUGAUAUAGCCUCUAGGCACUUGUGGGAGUAGUUGCUAUCAAUAUUGUUGAGUUUAUAUCACUUUUAUUUUGUUUCACUAAAAAUUUCAGAAAUUUUUCAGAGGAAGAAAAAUGUUUAGGAAAUUGUACCAAGGUGGUUCCUCAAGAAAGCAAGGACCAAGGCUUGCGAUACGUGAGCCAAACGAUGAACCACCGAGAGAAGCUCAAGUGCGGCCUUGUGAAUGGCCGUCAGAAGAAUUUAUGGUCCAAGCAGGUAUCAAGGAAGAAUUUGACGUGUAUGUGUGUAAUGCCGAUCUUGAGGGCUUCAUGUCAGAUAAGUGCCCGCAAUACCAUUACCUAACUGAUUCCAUUGUGAGAGGGUUUAAAUUUACAUCCUCGCGCAAUUCUCACAUUGUUCUAUUCGAUCUUUAUGAUAAAUCAUAUACCAUGGAAAUACUGCUUGUAAACUCCUGCAGUGGGGCAAUGUUAGCGAAUCUCGCAAAUCUGAAUAUAAAGACUUUCUUGCUAGCAUCACUGUGGGGGAAUCUAGAGAAAUUACACAAGCUACCAUAGGGAGCAUUCAUUUUCCUUCUAUACAUUAUUUUGCUCUGUUUAUAGGUAGAUGCAUCAACGGUAAAGAUGAGGCUUGUCACAUGUGCGUUCUAGAUCUUAGCGUCCUCAAGAGUGCGGUAUUAGGUGAUAAACAAUAUAACUUGGGGGCCAUUGUUGCAUGAAGAUUGCAUCUUAACGGUUUAAGUGGAGACUUGUUUGGUGGAAUUUAUGCAACUCGUGUAGCUAAUUAUCUAGAUGUACCCAUACGUGAAAAUGAUAUGGAAUUACCUCUUGUUCAUCUAGAUUAUAAUGCUAUGGUUGGCCAUCAGUUUGUUGAGAGGAAUGAACCGCCUCUCUAGUAUCAACUAAUCUUUGGCAGAUGUCGCACCGUCAAUAUUGUCCUUCCUGCUCCUACUCUCUUUGACUUUCAGGCAAAGGGGAGAUAUGUCAUAACCAGGGAGGAGGCGAAUGAGUACGAGAGGAGGACGAGGGCAGCUCGCCUCCAAGCUGCAGCUCGUCAGGCAGUAGGUGCUGCAUCUCAGUACGACCCCAGCUACGACUUUGGAUAUCCGCCAGGCCAGCAGUGGCCAUAGACUAACUUAGGCCAAAAGCCUAAGCUUGGGGGAGUACGUAUUUCUCACCAACAUUACAUUCAUGUUCACACACUCAUUCUAGUUGUCGGUGCUCAUACUUUUUCAUUGUACUAUCCAUGCUAGUUUAUUUUCUUUUCUAAGCUUUCUUCUUGUGUGUUUGAAAAACCUUAAGAAAAACCAAAAAAUUAGUUAUAGCUUUUAGCUAGUUUACUUUUCAUGCUGUAGUAGUAGUAACUAAAAGAAAACCCAAAAAGAUUUCUUGUUCUUCUUUUGCUUGUUGGGAGCUUUCCCGUGUAAAUAGUUUUAUUUCUUUUCUUUUCUUUGGGGGUCGAGAGGAGAAGACCAUGAUGAAAAUGUUAAGUGGCUCUUAUAUGCAUUAUUGUUGAUUUAACCAAGAGCCCAUAUUGCCUUGUCUUCUCCCUUGUAUUAAAUGCUUGCAGAUUCCAGCUUACUCCAAUGCACGUGCACUAUUAUUAUUAUCCACACCAUUCGGUCGUGCAAGUGAAAGGCAAUAAUGACGAUAUAUGAUGGACUGAUCGAGAUGAGAGAAGCUGGUAUGAACUCGACCUAUCUUGUUUUUGUAAAUAUGAUUAGUUCAUCGUUCCUGAUUCAGCCUAUUAUGAAUGAAACAUGUUUGCAAUGACAAUUAGAGAUUAUAGUUGCUCAUGCCAUGCUUAAUUAGCUAGGAGUUUAUAAUGGUUUACCUUGCGUGCCAACAUGCUAUUAAAAUGGUUGUGAUGUGGUAUGAUAGGAUGGUAUCCUCCUUUGAAUGAUUUGAGUCACUUGACUUGGCACAUGCUCAUGCAUGUAGUUGAAACAAAAUCAACAUAGCCUCCACGAUAUUUAUGUUCAUGGUGAAUUAUAUCCUACUCAUGCUUGCACUCAGUGUUGAUUAAUUUUAAUGCAUGUUUAUGACUGUUGUCGCUCUCUAGUUGGUCGCUUCCCAAUCUUUUUCUAGCCUUUACUUGUACUAAGCGGGAAAACUGCUUGUGCAUCCACUUCCAUAAAACCCAAAGUUAUUCCAUAUGAGUCCACCAUACCUUCCUAUAUGCGGCAUUUACCUGUCGUUCCAAGUAAAUUUGUAUGUGCCAAACUCUAAACCUUCAAAUGAAAUUCUGUUUUGUAUGCUCGAAUAGCUCAUGUAUCAACUAGGGCUCUCUAUAUCUUCCAUGCUAGGUGGGUUAUUCUCAUGAUGAGUGGAAUCCGCUCGUCAUUCAUGAGAAAAUGGCCGGUAACCGGGAUGCCCAGUCCCAUGCUCAAAUCAAAUCAAAAUAAAUGCAAACAUAACUCCCCUAGGACUGUUGUUAUUAUGGACGGUACCCGUUGUUUCGGACCAGCCGUGGAGUGUGCUUGUUGGAGGAGGGGCAGUAUAAACUUUACCAUUCUGUUUGGGAACCGCCUAUAAUGUGUGUAGCAUGGAAGAUAUCGAGAUCUCUCGGUUGUUAUGUUGACAAUGAAAGUAUGCCACUCAAAAUAUUAUUUAUCUCUGUUUCAAAACUUGAGCUCUGGCACCUCUACAAAUCCCUGCUUCCCUUUGCGAAGGGCUUAUCUAUUUAAUUUUAUGUUGAGUCAUCAUCCUCUUAUUAGAAAUCACUAGUUGGAGAGCACCGCUGUCAUUUGCAUCCAUUACCAUUAAUUUACAUUGAGUAUGACUGUGACUGGAUCUCUUUUACCAUGAAUUACAAUUUCUAGUCAGUCCUUGAUCUUCAGAGGCGCUCUGCAUUUAUCUGUUGCGGUCUCAGAAAGGGAUAGCGCCAUCUUGUUAUAUCAUAUUAUGAUUGUUUCGAGAAAGUGUUGUCAUCCGAGAUUUAUUAUUAUUGCUCGCUAGUUGAUUAUGCCAUUGAUAUGAGUAAGCAUGAGACCUAAAUGUUAUUGUGAAUAUUGAUAGUUCAUAAUCUUUGCUGAAAACUUGAAUGCUGGCUUUACAUAUUUACAACAACAAGAGCAAACAGAGUUUGUAAAAGUUUUUCUUUAUCACUUUCAGUUUGUCAACUGAAUUGCUUGAGGACAAGCAAAGGUUUAAACUUGGGGGAGUUGAUACGUCUCCAAUGUAUCUACUUUUCCAAACACUUUUGCCCUUGUUUUGGACUCUAACUUGCAUGAUUUGAAUGGAACUAACCCGGACUGACGCUGUUUUCAGCAGAAUUGCCAUGGUGUUAUUUUUGUGCAGAAAUAAAAGCUCUCGAAAUGACCUAAAACUUCACAUAGAAUGUUUUUGGAAUUAAUAAAAAAUACUGGCAAAAGAAUCAACACCAGGGGGCCACACCCUGUCCACGAGGGUGGAUGGCGCGCCCCCUGCCUCGUGGGCCCCCUGAGGCUCAAACGACGUCAACUCCAGCUCUAUAUAUCCAUGUUCAGGGAAAAAAACCAGAGAGAAGGAUUCAUCGUGUUUGAUCCGGAGUCUAAUCUCUCUCGGGAGGCUGCCAAACCCUAAUCUCUCUCGGGAGGGCUGAUCUAGAGUCCGUUCGGGGCUCUGGAGAGGGGAAUCCGUCGCCGUCACCAUCAUCAACCAUCAUCCAUCACCAAUUUCAUAAUGCUCACCACCGUGCGUGAGUAAUUCCAUCGUAGGCUUGCUGGACGGUGAUGGGUUGGAUGAGAUUUAUCACGUAAUCGAGUUAGUUUUGUUAUGGUUUGAUCCCUAGUAUCCAUUAUGUUCUGAGAUGGAUGUUGCUAUGACUUUGCUAUGCUUAAUGCUUGUCACUAGGGCCCGAGUACCGUGAUUUCAGAUCUGAACUUAUUAUGUUUUCAUGAAUAUAUGUGAGUUCUUGAUCCUAUCUUGCAAGUCAAUAGUCACCUACUAUGUGUUAUGAUCCGGUAACCCCGAAGUGACAAUAACCGGGACCACUCCCGGUGAUGAUCGUAGUUUGAGGAGUUCAUGUAUUCACUAAGUGUUAAUUCUUUGGUCCGGUACUCUAUUAAAAGGAGGCCUUAAUAUCCCUUAGUUUCCAAUAGGACCCCGCUGCCACGGGAGGGUAGGACAAAAGAUGUCAUGCAAGUUAUUUUCCAUAAGCACGUAUGACUAUAUUCGGAAUACAUGCCUACAUUACAUUGAUGAACUGGAGCUAGUCCUGUGUCACCCUAUGUUAUAACUGUUGAAUGAGGAAUCGCAUCCGACAUAAUUAUCCAUCACUGAUCCAAUGCCUACGAGCUUUUCACAUAUUGAUCUUUGCUUAGUUACUUUUCCGUUACUACUGUUACAAUUACUACAAAACUGCUACUGUUACCUGUGCCACCGUUACCGUUACUUCCAUACUACUUUGAUACUAAAUACUUUGCUGCAGAUAUUAAGUUUUCCAGGUGUGGUUGAAUUGACAACUCAACUGCUAAUACUUGAGAAUAUUCUUUGGCUCCCCUUGUGUCGAAUCAAUAAAUUUGGGUUGAAUACUCUACCCUCGAAAACUAUUGUGAUCCCCUAUACUUGUGGGUUGAAUACUUUUCCGUGCAAUAAAAAAAUACCCGAAAAUAAAAGUUCUCCAAAUGCCCCAAAAUUGAAAUAUGAUUUUUUUUGGAAUAUUUGAGAAUAUCUGGCACUGAGAACACAGCAGGGGGAGCAAGCACCUGGCCACGAGGGUCCAGGGCGCGCCCACCCCUAUAGGGCGCGCCCCCUGUCUCGUGGGCCCAUGGUGGCUCCCCUCCACUUAUUCCUGCACCCACACACUUCUUCCUCCCAAAAAAAUCACCAACCAGCUCAAGCACGAGUUCUAGCUCAUUUUGCUGCGAUUUUUGAUCUCCUAGCUCAAAGCACCUCUCACAAAACUGCUUUGGGGGAUAUAGCCUCUAGGCACUUGUGGGAGUAGUUGCUAUCAAUAUUGUUGAGUUUAUAUCACUUUUAUUUUGUUUCACUAAAAAUUUCAGAAAUUUUUCAGAGGAAGAAAAAUGUUUAGGAAAUUGUACCAAGGUGGUUCCUCAAGAAAGCAAGGACCAAGGCUUGCGAUACGUGAGCCAAACGAUGAACCACCGAGAGAAGCUCAAGUGCGGCCUUGUGAAUGGCCGUCAGAAGAAUUUAUGGUCCAAGCAGGUAUCAAGGAAGAAUUUGACGUGUAUGUGUGUAAUGCCGAUCUUGAGGGCUUCAUGUCAGAUAAGUGCCCGCAAUACCAUUACCUAACUGAUUCCAUUGUGAGAGGGUUUAAAUUUACAUCCUCGCGCAAUUCUCAUAUCGUUCUAUUCGAUCUUUAUGAUAAAUCAUAUACCAUGGAAAUACUGCUUGUAAACUCCUGCAGUGGGGCAAUGUUAGCGAAUCUCGCAAAUCUGAAUAUAAAGACUUUCUUGCUAGCAUCACUGUGGGGGAAUCUAGAGAAAUUACAAAAGCUACCAUAGGGAGCAUUCAUUUUCCUUCUAUACAUUAUUUUGCUCUGUUUAUAGGUAGAUGCAUCAACGGUAAAGAUGAGGCUUGUCACAUGUGCGUUCUAGAUCUUAGCGUCCUCAAGAGUGCGGUAUUAGGUGAUAAACAAUAUAACUUGGGGGCCAUUGUUGCAUGAAGAUUGCAUCUUAACGGUUUAAGUGGAGACUUGUUUGGUGGAAUUUAUGCAACUCGUGUAGCUAAUUAUCUAGAUGUACCCAUACGUGAAAAUGAUAUGGAAUUACCUCUUGUUCAUCUAGAUUAUAAUGCUAUGGUUGGCCACCAGUUUGUUGAAAGGAAUGAACAGUCCCUCUAGUACCGACUAAUCUUUGGCAGAUGUCGCACUGUCCAUGUUGCUCUCCCUGCUCCUACUUUCUUUGACUUUGAGGCAAAAAGGAGAUAUGUUAUAACCAGGGAGGAGGCGAAUGAGUACGAGCGGAGGACGGAGGCAGCUCGCCUCCAAGCUGCAGCCCACGAUGCAAUAGCCGCUGCAUCUCAGUACGACCCCAACUACAACUUCGGAUAUCCGCCAGGCCAGCCGUGGCCAUAGACCAACUUAGGCCAAAAACCUAAGCUUGGGGGAGUACGUAUUUCUCACCGACAUUACAUUCAUAUUCACACACUCAUGCUAGUUGUCAGUGCUCACACUUUUUCAUUGUAAUAUCCAUGCUAGUUUAUUUUCCUUUUUAUGCUUUCUUCUUGUGUGUUUGAUAAUCCUUAAGAAAAACAAACAAAUAAAAUUUAGUUGUAGCUCUUAGCUAGUUUACUUUCCUUGCUGUAGUAGUUUUAAUUAAAAGAAAACCCAAAAAGAUUUCCCGUUCUUCUUUUUGCUUGUUGGGAGCUUUCCCGUGUAAAUAGUUUUAUUUCUUUUCUUUUCUUUGGGGGUCGAGAGGAGAAGACCAUGAUGAAAAUGUUAAGUGGCUCUUAUAUGCAUUAUUGUUGAUUUAACCAAGAGCCCAUAUUGCCUUGUCUUCUCCCUUGUAUUAAAUGCUUGCAGAUUCCAGCUUACUCCAAUGCACGUGCACUAUUAUUAUUAUCCACACCAUUCGGUCGUGCAAGUGAAAGGCAAUUAUGACGAUAUAUGAUGGAUUGAUUGAGAUGAGAGAGGCUGGUAUAAACUCAACCUCUUUUGUUUUUGUAAAUAUGAUUAGUUCAUCAUUCCUGAUUCAGCCUAUUAUGAAUAAACAUGUUUGCAAUGACAAUUAGAGAUUAUAGUUGCUUAUGCCAUGCUUAAUUAGCUAGGAGUUUAUAAUGGUUUACCUUGCGUGCCAACAUGCUAUUAAAAUGGUUGUGAUGUGGUAUGAUAGGGUGGUAUCCUCCUUUGAAUGAUUCGAGUGACUUGACUUGGCACAUGUUCACGCAUGUAGUUGAAACAAAUCAACAUAGCCUUCACGAUAUUUAUGUUCAUGGUGGAUUAUAUCCUACUCAUGCUUGCACUCAAUGUUUAUUAAUUUUAAUGCAUGUUCAUGACUGUUGUCGCUCUCUACUUGGUCGCUUCCCAGUCUUUUUGUAGCCUUCACUUGUACUAAGCGGGAAUACUGCUUGUGCAUCCAAUCUCUUAAACCCCAAAGUUAUUCCAUAUGAGUCCACCAUACCUUCCUAUAUAUGCAGUAUCUACCUGCCAUUCCAAGUAAAUUUGUAUGUGCCAAACUCUAAACCUUCAAAUGAAAUUUUGUUUUGUAUGCUUGAAUAGCUCAUGUAUCAACUAGGGUUGUUUGUAUCUUCCAUGCUAGGUGGGUUAUUCUCAAGAGGAGUGGACUCCGCUACUCACUCACGAGAAAAUGGCUGGUAACCGGGAUGCCCAGUCCCAUGCUUUAUGCAAAUCAAAUCAAAAUAAUUGCAAACAAAACUCCCCUGGGACUCUUGUUAGUUGGAGGCACUCGUUGUUCGAGCAAGCCAUGGAUUGAUGCUUGUUGGUGGAGGGGGAGUAUAAACUUUACCAUUCUGUUUGGGAACCGCUAUAAUGUGUGUAGCAUGGAAGAUAUCGCCAUGUCUCGGUUGUUAUGUUGACAAUGAAAGUAUGCCGCUCAAAAUAUUAUUUAUCUCUAUUUCAAAAACCGAGAUAUGGCACCUCUACAAAUCCCUGCUUCCCUCUGUGAAGGGCCUAUCUAUUUACUUUUGUGUUGAGUCACCCUCUUAUUAAAAAGCACCAGCUGGAGAGCACCGCUGUCAUUUGCAUCCAUUACUAUUAAUUUAUAUUGGGUAUGACUAUGACUGGAUCUCUUUUACCAUGAAUUACAAUGUUUAGUCAGUCCUUGAACUUUAAAGGUGCUCUGCAUUUAUGUUUUGCGGUCUCAGAAAGGGCUAGCGAGAUACCAUCUUGUUAUAUCAUAUUAUGAUUGUUUUGAGAAAGUGUUGUCAUCCGAGAUUUAUUAUUAUUGCUCGCUAGUUGAUUAUGCCAUUGAUAUGAGUAAACAUGAGACCUAAGUGUUAUUGUGAAUAUGGUUAGUUUAUAAUCUUUGCUGAAAACUUGAAUGCUGGCUUUACAUAUUUACAACAACAAGAGCAAACAGAGUUUGUAAAAGUUUUUCUUUAUCACUUUCAGUUUAUCAACAGAAUUGCUUGAGGACAAGCAAAGGUUUAAGAUUGGGGGAGUUGAUACGUCUCCGUCGUAUCUACUUUUCCAAACACUUUUGCCCUUGUUUUGGACUCUAACUUGCAUGAUUUGAAUGGAACUAACCCGGACUGACGUUGUUUUCAGCAGAAUUGCCAUGGUGUUAUUUUUGUGCAGAAACAAAAGUUCUCGGAAUGACCUGAAACUUCACGGAGAUUAUUUUUGGAAAUAAUAAAAAAUAUUGGCAAAAGAAUAAAGGCCAGGGGGCCCACACCCUUUCCACGAGGGUGGGAGGCGCGCCUGCCUCCCUAGGGCGCGCCCCCUGCCUCGUGGGCCCCCUGGUGCUCCACCGACCUCAACUCCAACUCCAUAUAUUCGUGUUCGGGGAGAAAAAAAUCAGAGAGAAAGAUUCAUCCCGUUUUACGAUAUGGAGCCGCCGCCAAGCCCUAAUCUCUCUCGGGAGGGCUGAUCUAGAGUCCGUUCGGGGCUCCGGAGAGGGGAAUCCGUCGUCGUCGUCAUCAUCAACCAUCCGCCAUCACCAAUUGCAUGAUGCUCACCGCCGUGCGUGAGUAAUUCCAUCAUAGGCUUGCUGGACGGUGAUGGGUUGGAUGAGAUUUAUCAUGUAAUCGAGUUAGUUUUGUUAGGGUUUGAUCCCUAGUAUCCACUAUGUUCUGAGAUUGAUGUUGCUAUGACUUUGUUAUGCUUAAUUCUUGUCACUAGGGCCUAAGUGUCAUGAUUUCAGAUCUGAACCUAUUAUGUUUCAUGAAUAUAUGUGAGUUCUUGAUCCUAUCUUGCAAGUCUAUAGUCACCUACUAUGUGUUAUGAUCCGGCAACCCCGAAGUGACAAUAAUCGGGACCACUCCCGGUGAUGACCGUAGUUUGAGGAGUUCAUGUAUUCACUAUGUGUUAAUGCUUUGGUCCGGUACUCUAUUAAAAGGAGGCCUUAAUAUCCCUUAGUUUCCAAUAGGACCCCGCUGCCACGGGAGGGUAGGACAAAAGAUGUCAUGCAAGUUCUUUUCCAUAAGCACGUAUGACUAUAUUUGGAAUACAUGCCUACAUUACAUUGAUGAAUUGGAGCUAGUUCUGUGUCACCCUAUGUUAUGACUGUUACAUGAUGAACCGCAUCCGGCAUAAUUCUCCAUCACCGAUCCAAUGCCUACGAGCUUUUCACAUAUUGUUUUUCGCUUAUUUACUUUUCCGUUUCUACUGUUACAAUCACUACAAAACCCAAAAGUAUUACUUUUCCUACUGUUACUUCCAUACUACUUUGCUACUAAAUACUUUGCUGCAAAUACUAAGUUAUCCAGGUGUGGUUGAAUUGACAACUCAACUGCUAAUACUUGAGAAUAUUCUUUGGCUCCCCUUGUGUCGAAUCAAUAAAUUUGGGUUGAAUAGCCUACCCUCGAAAACUAUUGCGAUCCCCUAUACUUGUGGGUUAUCAGAUACCCCAGCAAAGAUGAGAGGAAUGUACACAAGAUCCAAAGAAUAUAUCUCAUGGUCGUAAGAAGAAGAAGAACGGUGUAGAUGGGUUCAGAGAAUGCGGUUGUUCCGGUUGUUCGGCCGGUAGAACCGCCGAGAGCGGAUCUGCCGAGUUGAAGAACGGGUACAACCCUACUUUGACUCUAGAUGCAAUAUUCAUACUUCUAACUACACACAAGAAAAGGAGGAGUAUAUAAGGAUCUCUCCCACCAAUCAUUUGCCCAAAAAUGCGGGAGUACAAGCAAUGCCCUAGAGGAAGGAUUCAACAAAAAGGAACCCUAAGAACAAAAGGAAACAGGGCAUUAUUGGUAUCCAUGGGAGGAGAUCGGAACGGAGGCGACCUCCACGGAGCAAAUCCGAUGAAGGGCCAACUGAACCAGAAUGCCUGAGGGCGCUCCGGGGCAAUGGGCGGAGCAACCGGCGGCUAGGGUUUAGUCGCGGGACGGGCGCGAAGGGGAAAAAGAAUACCCCUUCAGCCCGCGCCCUUUAUAUAUGCGCCCGAUACGUCUCCGACGUAUCUAUAAUUUUGGAUUGUUCCAUGCUAUUAUAUAUUCUGUUUUGGAUGUUUAUACACUUUUAUAUUAUUUUUGGGACUAACCUAUUAACCAGAGGCCCAACCCAAAUUGCUGUUUUUUUUGCCUAUUUCAGUGUUUCGAAGGAAAAGGAUAUCAAACGGAGUUAUGAUCAGGUAACCCCGAAGUGACAAUAACCGGGACCACUCCCGGUGAUGACCGUAGUUUGACGAGUUCAUGUAUUCACUAAGUGUUAAUUCUUUGGUCCGGUACUCUAUUUAAAGGAGGCCUUAAUAUCCCUUAGUUUCCAAUAGGACCCCGCUGCCACGGGAGGGUAGGACAAAAGAUGUCAUGCAAGUUAUUUUCCAUAAGCACGUAUGACUAUAUUCGGAAUACAUGCCUACAUUACAUUGAUGAACUGGAUCUAGUCCUGUGUUAUUUGCCACUGUUACCGUUACUUCCAUACUACUUUGAUACUAAAUACUUUGCUGCAGAUAUUAAGUUUUCCAGGUGUGGUUGAAUUGACAACUCAACUGCUAAUACUUGAGAAUAUUCUUUGGCUCCCCUUGUGUCGAAUCAAUAAAUUUGGGUUGAAUACUCUACCCUCGAAAACUAUUGCGAUCCCCUAUACUUGUGGGUUAUCAUUCUCCUGGCCUACGGACUGCCCAAACAGAGUUCAGAAACUGCAUCACAAAAGGAGCAUAGAUCGGUACCUUGCGGUACCACACCAUAUUGUACAUCUCCUCCCACAUCCACUUGGAGACAUCAAACGUGGCACCAGAACCCCUCUUGAUCUUCAUGGCCACAAGCAAAUCCACAAGAUAACCAUAAAUAUCGUCUUGAUUCCCAACCUUGGGUAGCAGCACAUAGUGGAACACAUGAUGCAGAAUAUCAUAGACUGGCAGAAGGUCAUUGGACUUACCCACGAUACCAUGACCCGGGAUGUACAGAGGGGCAAGCUUAUCCUUGUCCAUGGGAUGGGCUCGGUCGUGAGGACGGAGACCACCUUGGCCCUCCAACCCGGUAUCCUCAUAGCCAAGAGCAUUGUAGAAGGCUCUCCAAGGGACAUGAAAGAACUCAUCACGGCACAUAAAGGACAGGUGACGCGCAUCAUCGGUGCCAAAGUGGACGGUAGCAUAGAACUGAUGAAUGAGCUGCACAUCGAAGUCACAGUUCACAGACAUGAGCUUGAUCAAAUCAAACUCCUCACAGAUCUCCAGAGCCUCUCCAAAGUAACCAGGGUUGUUCCUCCAGUGAUCGAUGUCAAUUGACCACAUCCGGGUGAACUUGUUCUUGUGGUGCUCGAAAAAUUCUAAAACAAUCCUUAUCUGCAAGUCAUUCCGGAACUGAGGGUUGUUCCAACGAGGAUGCGGUGCCACAGAGUAGGGAUCCUGGAAACGGAACUUUUCCCAGUCCGUAAGCUUCCAUUUGUGCAUUGGCAUCGCAGCACGCUGCUUGGCAGCAGCAUACUUCUCCCGGCGAGUGGCUUUGGUAGGGAUCACAACCUCGUGAGUAUCCUCACUGUCAUCCGAUGGUUUGCCCCUACAGGCCCUCUUAUUGGUGUUCUGAGGCUUCUGAGCAGCACGAGAGCUAGAGCCACCUGCAAACGCACAUAGAGAGCACACAGAUACUGAUACGUCUCCGUCGUAUCUACUUUUCCAAACAGUUUUGCCCUUGUUUUGGACUCUAACUUGCAUGAUUUGAAUGGAACUAACCCGGACUGACGCUGUUUUCAGCAGAAUUGCCAUGGUGUUAUUUUUGUGCAGAAACAAAAGUUCUCGGAAUGACCUGAAACUUCACGGAGAUUAUUUUUGGAAAUAAUAAAAAAUAUUGGCGAAAGAAUCAAGGCCAGGGGGCCCACACCCUUUCCACGAGGGUGGGAGGCGCACCUGCCCCCCUAGGGCGCGCCCCCCUACCUCGUGGGCCCCCUGGUGCUCCACCCACCUCAACUCCAACUCCAUAUAUUCGUGUUUGGGGAGAAAAAAAUCAGAGAGAAAGAUUCAUUGCGUUUUACGAUAUGGAGCCGCCGCCAAGCCCUAAUCUCUCUCGGGAGGGCUGAUCUAGGGUUUAGGGUUUAGGGUUUUAGGGUUUAGGGUUUAGGGUUUAGGGUUUAGGGUUUAGGGUUUAGGGUUUAGGGUUUAGGGUUAGGGUUUGAUCCCUAGUAUCCACUAUGCUCUGAGAUUGAUGUUGCUAUGACUUUGCUAUGCUUAAUGCUUGUCACUAGGGCCCGAGUGCCAUGAUUUCAGAUCUGAACCUAUUAUGUUUUCAUGAAUAUAUGUGAGUUCUUGAUCCUAUCUUGCAAGUCUGUAGUCACCUACUAUGUGUUAUGAUCCGGCAACCCCGAAGUGACAAUAAUCGGGACCACUCCCGGUGAUGACCGUAAUUUGAGGAGUUCAUGUAUUCACUAUGUGUUAGUGCUUUGGUCCGGUACUCUAUUAAAAGGCGGCCUUAAUAUCCCUUAGUUUCCAAUAGGACCCCGCUGCCACGGGAGGGUAGGACAAAAGAUGUCAUGCAAGUUCCUUUCCAUAAGCACGUAUGACUAUAUUCGAAAUACAUGCCUACAUUACGUUGAUGAAUUGGAGCUAGUUCUGUAUCACCCUAUGUUAUGACUGUUACAUGAUGAACCGCAUCCGGCAUAAUUCUCCAUCAUCGAUCCAAUGCCUACGAGCUUUUCACAUAUUGUUCUUCGCUUAUUUACUUUUCCGUUGCUACUCUUACAAUCACUACAAAACCCAAAAAUAUUACUUUUGCUACCGUUACCGCUACUUCCAUACUACUUUGCUACUAAAUACUUUGCUGCAGAUACUAAGUUAUCCAGGUGUGGUUGAAUUGACAACUCAACUGCUAAUACUUUAGAAUAUUCUUUGGCUCCCCUUGUGUCGAAUAAAUAAAUUUGGGUUGAAUACUCUAUCCUCGAAAACGGUUGCGAUCCCCUAUACUUGUGGGUUAUCAAGACUAUUUUCUGGCGCCGUUGCCGGGGAGCAUAGCUCUAUUCUUUGAGUCACUUGGGAUUUAUAUCUGCUGGUCACUACGAGGAACUUGAAAGACGAGAAAACAAAAAUUUAUCCCUCAACUACGAGGGGAGGUAAGGAACUGCCAUCUAGCUCUGCACUUGAUUCACCUUCUGUUUUGAGUAAGCUUGCGACACCUAAACCUGCUUCUGCUAUUAAUUCGGACAUGUCACAUGUUAUUGAUGAUGCCACUUCUACUAUGCAUGAUACUUAUGAUGAAACUACUUCUAUGCUUGAUACUAGUAUGCCACUCGGUGAAUUUCUUGAUGAACAACUUGCUAGGGCUAGAGAGAAUGAAAUUAUUGAAACUGAUAAUGUUGAUGAAAGUGAUGAUGAAGAUUCUCCCCCUAGAUAUGAAUUGCAUGUUGUACCUGAGGGUUAUGUUAUGGAUGAAGAAACUGCUAGAGACUUUCUUGCUUGCAAUGAUAGAAGUGAUCUUAAGAAAUUAUUAGCUAAGCUGAAACAAAAAUCUCUGAAUGCUAGAAUGAAAUAUGAUCCUGCUUAUGCUACUUCACAUAUCUUUGUUACUGAUAAGGAUUAUGAUUUCUCUGUCGACCCUGAUAUAAUUACUUUGGUUGAGUCUGAUCCUUUCUAUGGCUAUGAAUCUAAAAUUGUUGUGGCACAUCUUACUAAAUUAAAUGAUAUAGCCACCCUGUUCACUAAUGAUGAGAAAACUCGCAACUAUUAUAUCCUUAAGAUAUCUCCGUUCUCAUUAAAGGGUGAUGCUAAGAUAUGGUUUAAUUCUCUUGAUCCUGGUUGUGUGCGUAGUCCCCAGGAUAUGAUUUAUUACUUCUCUGCUAAAUAUUUCCCUGCUCAUAAGAAACAAGCAGCUUUAAGGGAUAUAUAUAAUUUUGUGCAAAUUGAAGAAGAGAGUCUGCCACAAGCUUGGGGGAGGCUUCUCCGAUUACUUAAUGCUUUGCCUGAUCAUCCUAUUAAGAAAAAUGAAAUACUUGAUAUCUUUUAUAAUGGAGUAACCGAUGCUUCCAGAGACCACCUGGAUAGUUGUGUUGGUUCUGUUUUCAGGGAAAGAACUGUUGAUCAAGCUGAAAUUCUAUUGAAUAAUAUGUUGACCAAUGAAAAUAAUUGGACACUUCCUGAACCAAUUCCUAAGCCAACUCCGAAGAAAAGGGGUGUUCUAUUUCUCAGUCCGGAAGAUAUGCAAGAGGCAAAGAAAUCUAUGAAAGAAAAAGGUAUAAAAGCUGAAGAUGUUAAGAAUUUACCUCCUGUUGAAGAAAUACAUGGUCUUAAUUUACCGCCUGUUAAAGAAAUACAUUCUCCUAAUAACCCGACACAUGUAGUAAAGGUAAAUUCUCUCUAUAGAUUUGAUGAAGGUGAUAUUCCUCGUUAUAAGUCUGCUAGCCAAUGCUUAGAUGAGUUUGAUAAUUUUAUUGUCAAACAAGAAAACUUCAAUGCUUAUGUUGGUAGACAAUUAAAACACAAUGCUUGUAUGAUUGAACACUUGGGUGAUUAUAUGUCUAGAGUUAAAGGGGAACUUAAACUCAUUAGUAAACAUGCUUCUAUGGUUACCACUCAAGUAGAACAAGUACUUAAAGCUCAGAAUGAUUUGCUCAAUGAAUUGAAUAGUAAGAAUAAUGAAUUUGCUGUUAGAGUUGCAACUAGAGGGGGUAAAGUGACUCAGGAACCUUUGUAUCCUGAGGGCCACCCUAAGAGAAUUGAGCAGGAUUCUCAGAGAAAUAAUAUGGAUGCACCUAGUCCUACUAAGAGGAAGAAAAAGAAAAAUGAUAGGACUUUGCAUGCUUCUAGUGAACCUGUUGUAGACACACCUGAGAAUCCCAAUGAUAUUUAUAUUUCUGAUGCUGAAACACAAUCUGAAAAUGAACAUGAACCUAGUGAUAAUGUUAAUGAUGAUAUUCAUGUUGAUGCUCAACCUAGUAAUAACAAUGAUGUAGAAAUCGAACCUGCGGUUGAUCUUUAUAGCCCACAAUCAAAGAAUCAACGUUAUCAGAUACCCCUAUACUUGUGGGUUAUCAGAUACCCCAGCAAAGAUGAGAGGAAUGUACACAAGAUCCAAAGAAUAUAUCUCAUGUUCGUAAGAAGAAGAAGAACGGUGUAGAUGGGUUCAGAGAAUUCGGUUGUUCCGGUUGUUCGACUGGUAGAACCGCCUGUGCGGUAGUACCGCACACGAGGAGCGGUAGUACCACUGAGAGCGGAUCUGCCGAGUUGAAGAACGGGUACAACCCUACUUUGAAUCUAGAUGCAAUAUUCAUACUUCUAACUACGCACAAGAAAAGGAGGAGUAUAUAAGGAUCUCUCCCACCAAUCAUUUGCCCAAAAAUGCGGGAGUACAAGCAAUGCCCUAGAGGAAGGAUUCAACAAAAAGGAACCGUAAGAACAAAACGAAACAGGGCAUUACCGGUAUCCAUGGGAGGAGAUCGGAAGGGAGGCGACCUCUACGGAGCAAAUCCAAUGAAGGGCCAACCGAUCCAGAACGCCUGAGGGCGCUCCGGGGCAAUGGGCGGAGCAACCGGCGGCUAGGGUUUAGUCGCGGGACGGGCGCGAAGGGGAAAAGAAUACCCCUUCAGCCCGCGCCCUUUACAUAUGCGCCCGAUACGUCUCCAACGUAUCUAUAAUUUUGGAUUGUUUCAUGCUAUUAUAUAUUCUGUUUUGGAUGUUUAUACACUUUUAUAUUAUUUUUGGGACUAACCUAUUAACCAGAGGCCCAACCCAAAUUGCUGUUUUUUGCCUAUUUCAGUGUUUCGAAGGAAAAGGAUAUCAAACGGAGUCCAAACGGAAUGAAACCUUCGGGAACGUGAUUUUCGGAACAAACGUGAUCCAGAGGACUUGGAGUGGACGUCAAGCAAUCAACGAGGAGGCCACAAGGCAGGGAGGGGCGCCUGCCCCCCUGGGCGCGCCCCCACCCUCGUGGGCACCUCGUAGCUCUCCUGACCGACCUCUUUCACCUAUAUUUACUCAUAUACCUUGGAAACAUCAUAUACGGAGCCAAAACCCUAUUUCCACUGCCGCAACUCUCUGUACCCGUGAGAUCCCAUCUUGGGGCUUUUUCCGGCGCUCCGCCGGAGGGGGCAUUGAUCACGGAGGGCUUCUACAUGAACACCAUAGCCUCUCCGAUGAUGUGUGAGUAGUUUACCUCAGACCUUCGGGUCCAUAGUUAUUAGCUAGAUGGCUUCUUCUCUCUCUUUGGAUCUCAAUACAAGUUUCUCCUCGAUCUUCUUGGAGAUCUAUUCAAUGUAACUCUUCUUUUGCAGUGUGUUUGUCGAGAUCCGAUGAAUUGUGGGUUUACGAUCAAGAUUAUCUAUGAACAAUAUUUGAAUCUCCUCUGAAUUCUUUUAUGUAUGAUUGGUUAUCUUUGCAAGUCUCUUCGAAUUAUCAGUUUGGUUUGGCCUACUAGAUUGAUCUUUCUUGCAAUGGGAGAAGUGCUUAGCUUUGGGCUCAAUCUUGCGGUGCUCGAUCCCAGUGACAGUAGGGGAAACGACACGUAUUGCAUUGUUGCCAUCGAGGAUAAAAAGAUGGGGUUUAUAUCAUAUUGCUUAAGUUUAUCCCUCUACAUCAUGUCAGCUUGCUUAAAGCAUUACUCCGUUCUGAUGAACUUAAUACUCUAGAUGCAUGCUGGAUAUCGGUCGAUGUGUGGAGUAAUAGUAGUAGAUGCAGGCAGGAGUCGGUCUACUUGUCACGGACGUGAUGCCUAUAUACAUGAUCAUACCUAGAUAUUCUCAUAAGUAUGCUCAAUUCUAUCAAUUGCUCGACAGUAAUUCGUUCACCCACCGUAAUACUUAUGCUAUCUUGAGAGAAGCCACUAGUGAAACCUAUGCCCCCCGGGUCUAUUUUCCAUCAUAUUAAUCGCCCGUCAACUAGCUAUUUCUAUCGCCAUUUACUUUGCAAUCUUUACUUUUACUCUUUAUCAUAAAAAUACCAAAAAUAUUAUCUUAUCAUCUCUAUCAGAUCUCACUUUUGCAAGUGGCCGUGAAGGGAUUGACAAUCCCUUUAUCGCGUUGGUUGCAAGGUUCUUAUUUUUUUUGUGUAGGUGUGUGGGACUUGAGAGUGGUCUCCUACUGGAUUGAUACCUUGGUUCUCAAAAACUGAGGGAAAUACUUACGCUACUUUACUGCAUCACCCUUUCCACUUCAAGGGAAAACCAACGCAGUGCUCAAGAGGUAGCAAGAAGGAUUUCUGGGGCCGUUGCCAGGGAGUCUACGCACAAGUUAAGAAAUACCAAGUACCCAUCACAAACUCUUAUCCCUCGCAUUACAUUAUUUGCCAUUUGCCUCUCGUUUUCCUCUCCACCACUUCACCCUUGCCGUUUUUUUCGCCCUCUCUUUUUCGUUCGCUUCUUCUUUUUGCUUGCCUCUUGUUGCUUGUUACCCUCAUGGCUCUACCUAGAUUUGGUGAUCUUCACCUUAAAAGGGUAGAAGAGAUUGAAAGCAACGUUAGAAGUUUUAUGACUUUACAAUUUGAGCAUAAUAAUUUCUUUAGAAAUGAGCUGAAGGAACAAAAAAGCUUUAUGGGGUACAUGAAUAAAGAGCUCGAUGAUAUGUCUAAGGAAUUUUAUGGUUUGAAAUCUCAGAUUGAUCAUCUUGAAAAAUUAAUAGCUGAAAUUUCGGAUAAGCAGGCCACCUUAGUUAAUAAGAUGGCCGCUAAACCAGAAAAUUAUUAUGAGAAUAAAGAUGAAGAUCUAAAAGUUAUUGACGUGUCUCCUAUUAAAUCUUUGUUUUGCAAUAUGAUUCUUGAUAAUGAUGGGACUGGAGAUGAGUCAACUUUAGUUAGAAGGCAUCCCAAAAAUUCGGAGUUUUUAGAUCUUGAUGCAAAAAUUGGUAAAAGUGGGAUUGAAGAGGUUAAAACUUUAGAUAUCAACGAACCCACUAUUUUGGAUUUCAAGGAAUUUAAUUAUGAUAAUUGCUCUUUAAUAGAUUGUAUUUCCUUGUUGCAAUCCGUGCUAAAUUCUCCUCAUGCUUAUAGUCAAAAUAAAGCUUUUACCAAACAUAUCGUUGAUGCUUUAAUGCAAUCUUAUGAAGAAAAACUUGAGUUGGAAGUUGCUAUCCCUGGAAAACUUUAUGAUGAGUGGGAACCUACAAUUAAAAUUAUAAUUAAAGAUCAUGAAUGCUAUGCUUUGUGUGAUUUGGGUGCUAGUGUUUCCACGAUUCCAAAAACUUUGUGUGAUUUGCUAGGUUUCCAUGAAUUCGGUGAUUGUUCUUUAAACUUGCAUCUUGCGGAUUCCACUAUUAAGAAACCUAUGGGAAGAAUCAAUGAUGUUCUUAUUGUUGCAAAUAGAAACUAUGUGCCCGUAGAUUUUAUUGUUCUUGAUAUAGAUUGCAAUCCUUCAUGUCCUAUUAUUCUAGGUAGACCUUUCCUUAGAACGAUUGGUGCAAUUAUUGAUAUGAAGGAAGGGAAUAUUAGAUUCCAAUUUCCAUUAAGAAAAGGCAUGGAACACUUUCCUAGAAAGAAAAUUAAAUUACCUUAUGAAUCUAUUAUGAGAGCCACUUAUGGAUUUCAUGCCAAAGAUGAUAAUACUUAGAUCUAUCCUUGUUUUUAUGCCUAGCUAGGGGCGUUAAACGAUAACGCUUGUUGGGAGGCAACCCAAUUUUUAGUUUUUUGCUUUUUGCUCCUGAUUAGAAAUAAAUAUUUGAUCUAGCCUCUGGUUAGAUUUGUUUUUAUGUUUUAAUUAGUGUUUGUGCCAAGUAAAACCUAUAGGAUCUUCUUGGAUGAUAGUUAUUUGAUCUUGCAGAAAAUUCCAGAAACUUUCUGUUCAUGAAAACAAUUGUUUAAAAUCACCAGAACGUGAUAAAAUACUGAUUCCAAUUGCAGUAGAUCAAUAAACAAAUUAUCUAGGUCGUCCUAUUUUGGUAAAUGUUUCUGAGUUACAGAAGUUUGCGUUAGAUACAGAUUACUACAGACUGUUUUGUUUUUGACAGAUUCUGUUUUUCGCGCGUUGUUUGCUUAUUUUGAUGAGUCUAUGGUUAGUAAAAAGUUUAUGAACCAUAGAGAAGUUGGAAUACAGUGGGUUUAACACCAAUAUAAAUAAAGAAUGAGUUCAAUACAGUACCUUGAAGUGGUGUUUUGUUUUCUCUCGCUAACGGAGCUCGUGAGAUUUUCUGUUGAGUUUUGUGUUGUGAAGUUUUCAAGUUUUGGUUAAAGAUUUGAUGGAUUAUGGAACAAGUAUUGGCAAAAGCCUAAGCUUGGGGAUUCCCAAGGCACCCCAAGGUAAAAUUCAAGGACAACCAAAAGCCUAAGCUUGGGGAUGCUCCGGAAGGCAUCCCCUCUUUCGUCUUCGUCCAUCGGUAACUUUACUUGAUGCUAUAUUUUUAUUCACCACAUGAUAUGUGUUUUUUUUGGAGCGUCUUGUAUGAUUUGAGUCUUUGCUUUUUAGUUUACCAAAAUCAUCCUCGCUGAAUACACUUUUGAGAGAGACACACAUGAUUCGGAAUUUAUUAGAAUACUCUAUGUGCUUCACUUAUAUCUUUUGAGCUAUAUAGUUUUUGCACUAGUGCUUCACUUAUAUCUUUUAGAGCACGGUGGUGGUUUUGUUUUAUAGAAAUUAUUGUUCUCUCACACUUCACUUAUAUUAUUUUGGGGGUCUUACAAAACAGCAUGGUAAUUUGCUUAAAUUGUGAAAUUAGUCCUAAUAUGAUAGGCAUCUAUGAUUAGUAAAAACUUUCUUAUAAGUGUGUUGAAUACUAAGAGAAGUAUGAUGCUUGAUGAUUGUUUUGAGAUAUGGAGGUAGUGAUAUUAAAGUUGUGCUAGUUGAGUAAUUGUGAAUUUGAGAAAUACUUGUGUUGAAGUUUGCAAGUCCCGUAGCAUGCACGUAUGGUAAACGUUGUGUAACAAAUUUGAAACAUGAGGUGUUCUUUGAUUGUCCUCCUUAUGAGUGGCGGUCGGGGACGAGCGAUGGUCUUUUCCUACCAAUCUAUCCCCCUAGGAGCAUGCAUGUAGUGCUUGGUUUUUUAUGACUUGUAGAGUUUUGCAAUAAGUAUGUGAGUUCUUUAUGACUAAUGUUGAGUCCAUGGAUUAUACGCACUCUCACCCUUCCAUCAUUGCUAGCCUCUUCGGUACCGUGCAUUGCCCUUUCUCACCUUGAGAGUUGGUGCAAACUUCGCCGGUGCAUCCAAACCCCGUGAUACGAUACGCUCUAUCACACAUAAACCUCCUUAUAUCUUCCUCAAAACAGCCACCAUACCUACCUAUUAUGGCAUUUCCAUAGCCAUUCCGAGAUAUAUUGCCAUGCAACUUUCCAUCGUUCCGUUUAUCAUGACACGCUUCAUCAUUGUCAUAUUGCCUUGCAUGAUCAUGUAGUUGACAUCGUAUUUGUGGCAAAGUCACAAUGCAUAUUAUUUCAUACAUGUCACUCUUGAUUCAUUGCCCAUCCUAGUACACCGCCGGAGGCAUUCAUAUAGAGUCAUACCUUGUUCUAGUAUCGAGUUGUAAUCAUUGAGUUGUAAAUAAAUAGAAGUGUGAUGAUCAUCAUUCAUAGAGCAUUGUCCCAAAAAAAAGAAGAAAAAAAGAAAAAGAAAAGAAAAUAAAAAGGGGCAAUGCUACUAUCCUUUUUCCACACUUGUGCUUGAAAGUAGCACCAUGAUCUUUAUGAUAGAGAGUCUUUUGUUUUGUCACUUUCAUAUACUAGUGGGAAUUUUUCAUUAUAGAACUUGGCUUGUAUAUUCCAACAAUGGGCUUCCUCAAAUGCCCUAGGUCUUCGUGAGCAAGCAAGUUGGAUGCGCACCCACUUAGUUUCUUUUGUUGAGCUUUCAUACAUUUAUAGCUCUAGUGCAUCCGUUGCAUGGAAAUCCCUACUCUUUGCAUUGACAUCAAUUAAUGGGCAUCUCCCUAGCCCGUUGAUUAGCCGCGUCAAUGUGAGACUUUCUCCUUUUUUUGUCUUCUCCACAUAACCCUCAUCAUCAUACUCUAUUCCACCCAUAGUGCUAUAUCCAUGGCUCACGCUCAUAUAUUGCGUGAAAGUUGAAAAAGUUUGAGAUUACUAAAGUAUGAAACAAUUGCUUGGCUUGUCAUCGGGGUUGUGCAUGAUGAGAUCAUUCUUGUGUGACGAAAAUGGAGCAUGACCAAACUAUAUGAUUUUGUAGGGAUGAACUUUCUUUGGCCAUGUUAUUUUGAGAAGACAUAAUUGCUUAGUUAGUAUGCUUGAAGUAUUAUUACUUUUAUGUCUAUAUUAAACUUUUAACUUGAAUCUUUCGGAUGUGAACAUUCAUGCCACAAUUAAAAGAAUUACAUUGAAGAAUGUGCUAAGUAGCAUUCCACAUCAAAAAUUCUGUUUUCAUCAUUUACCUACUCGAGGACGAGCAGGAAUUAAGCUUGGGGAUGCUUGAUACAUCUCCGACGUAUCUAUAAUUUUUUAUUAUUCCAUGCUAUUAUAUAUUCUGUUUUGGAUGUUUAAUGGGCUUUAUUAUACACUUUUAUAUUACCUUUGGGACUAACCUAUUAACCGGAGGCCCAGCCCAAAUUGCUGUUUUUUGCCUAUUCUAGUGUUUCAAAGGAAAAGGAUAUCAAACGGAGUCCAAACUGAAUGAAACCUUCGGGAACGUGAUUUUCGGAACAAACGUGAUCCAGAGGACUUGGAGUGGACGUCAAGCAAUCAACUAGGAGGCCACGAGGCAGGGAGGCGUGCCUGCCCCCCUGGGCGCGCGCCCCACCCUCGUGGGCCCCUCGUAGCUCUCCUGACCGACCUCUUUCGCCUAUAUAUACUCAUAUACCCUGGAAACAUCAUAUACGGAGCCACAACCCUAUUUCCACCACCACAACUCUCUGUACCCGUGAUAUCCCAUCUUGGGGCCUUUUCCGGCGCUCCGCCGGAGGGUCCAUUGAUCACGGAGGGCUUCUACAUCAACACCAUAGCCUCUCCGAUGAUGUGUGAGUAGUUUACCUCGGACCUUUGGGUCCAUAGUUAUUAGCUAGAUGGCUUCUUCUCUCUCUUUGGAUCUCAAUACAAAGUUCUCCUCGAUCUUCUUGGAGAUCUAUUCGAUGUAACUCUUCUUUUGCGGUGUGUUUGUCGAGAUCCGAUGAAUUGUGGGUUUAUGAUCAAGAUUAUCUAUGAACAAUAUUUGAAUCUCCUCUGAAUUUCUUUUAUGUAUGAUUGGUUAUCUUUGCAAGUCUCUUCGAAUUAUUAGUUUGGUUUGGCCUACUAGAUUGAUCUUUCUUGCAAUGGGAGAAGUGCUUAGCUUAGGGCUCAAUCUUGCGGUGCUCGAUCCCAGUGACAGUAGGGGAAACGACACAUAUUGUUGCCAUCGAGGAUAAAAAGAUGGGGUUUAUAUCAUAUUGCUUGAGUUUAUCCCUCUACAUCAUGUCAUCUUGCUUAAAGUGUUACUCCGUUCUUAUGAACUUAAUACUCUAGAUGCAUGCUAGAUAGCGGUCGAUGUGUGGAGUAAUAGUAGUAGAUGCAGGCAGGAGUCGGUCUACUUGUCACGGACGUGAUGCCUAUAUACAUGAUCAUACCUAGAUAUUCUCAUAAGUAUGCUCAAUUCUAUCAAUUGUUCGACAGUAAUUCGUUCACCCACCGUAAUACUUAUGCUAUCUUGAGAGAAGCCACUAGUGAAACCUAUGGCCCCGGGGUCUAUUUUCCAUCAUAUUAAUCGCACGUCAACUAGCUAUUUCUGUUGCCGUUUACUUUGCAAUCUUUAAUUUUACUCUUUAUCAUAAAAAUACCAAAAAUAUUAUCUUAUCAUCUCUAUCAGAUCCCACUUUUGCAAGUGGUCGUGAAGGGAUUGACAACCCCUUUAUCGCGUUGGUUGCAAGGUUCUUAUUUGUUUGUGUAGGUGCGUGACUUGAGCGUGGUCUCCUACUGGAUUGAUACCUUGGUUCUCAAAAACUGAGGGAAAUACUUACGCUACUUUACUGCAUCACCCUUUCCUCUUCAAGGGAAAACCAACGCAGUGCUCAAGAGGUAGCAGCGCCCAGAUGUCAGCCAGUGGUACCGCUCUGAAGAGCGGUAGUACCGCUCCUGUAGCUAGGAGUUGUUUGAGAUUGGUAUUUCCGCUCCAGAAGUAGUGGUAGUACCACUUCCAAAUACCGGUACUACCGGCCAGUGGUACAGGUACGAGCAAGCACGGUAGAACCGCUCGUGCGAGACCGGAAGUACCACUGGGACUACACAACCUAGUGGAAGAGCGGUAGAACCGUUCUGACCACCGGUUGUACCGUCAAGAUGCAUCAGGCCAUGUACAAAGAGAUCAAGCUAGUGUACAUUUGGAAAAGAUGGCUUGGGAUGAGAAGGCUUAGGAUGGAAGCAAGACACUGUAUUAUGAUGAAGAAGCCCCCAAGAGUGCAAGAAGCAAACAAUAAAAGCCACUCCUUGAAGAAUUCAAGCAUCUAGGAGAACCGAAGGAGCAAGGCAAAAGGAAACACACAACAAAGAAAACACUCUUGCACAAGGGAGGUGGCCGGAGCCACCUAUGUUUGAGUUAAAUGGUAUGGUGCCGCGAAGAAUUAUCCUUGGGCCCAUGACCAAAACUCGUCUUUGAAGCACAAGUACCAUAAAAAUGGCUAAUGUGAAAGAGUUGAUCAAUUUAUGCAUAAUGGGGGAGGGAGAGUUCAUUGAGAGAACAACACUCCCCCUAUGUCCAUGCCUACACCUAAACAAGACAUCAAGAUGAGUAUGGUGGGGUGUGCAAGGGUUCAAGCCACAUUGCUCAAAUCAAUGAUAUUUAGCUCAUGCCUUAACUCGCGAAAUCUUGCUUCAUACAAAGGCUUCAUGAAGAUAUCUGCAAGGUUAUCAUGAGUGUUCACAUAGUUGAGCUCGAUCUCCCCUUGCCUACUAUGAUCCCGGAUGAAGUGAUACCGAAUCUCAAUAUACUUUGUCUUGAAGUGUUGCAUCGGGUUGAGAGAAAUCUUGAUGGCACUUUCAUUGUCACACCAAAGAGGCACUUUGUCACAAAUGACACCGUAAUCCUUUAAAGUUUGCCUCAUCCAUAGAAGUUGUGCACAACAACUACCGGCGGCCACAUACUCUGCUUCGGUGGACGAGAGAGACACACAACUUUGCUUCUUAGAAGACCAACUCACCAAAGAGCAACCAAGGAAUUGGCACCCUCCGGAAGUUGACUUCCUAUCCACUUUGUCUCCCGCCCAAUCAGAGUCCGAAUAGCCUACAAGGUUGAAGUUUUCUCCUCUUGGGUACCAUAAGCCAAAGUUUGGGGUAUGAGCCAAAUAUCGAAAGAUUUGUUUGACCGCCACAAAGUGGAUUUCCUUAGGUGCGGCUUGAAACCGUGCACAAAUUCCCACACUCAUCAUGAUAUCCGGUCUAGAUGCACAAAGGUAAAGCAAGGAGCCAAUCAUGGAGCGAUAUACCUUUUGAUCCACCGCUUUACCAUUGGGAUCUAUGUCAAGUUGGCAUUUGACGGGCAUUGGAGUGGAAGCCGGCUUGAAAUCACUUAGCUUGAAUCUCUUGAGCAUGUCUUCAGUGUAUUUGGCUUGGUUGAUGAAGGUUCCUUCUCUUCGUUGCUUGACUUCGAACCCGAGAAAGAACUUCAACUCUCCUAUCAUGGACAUCUUGAACUUUGAGGUCUUGAGAGCGGCAAAUUCCUCAUUGAAAGCUUUGUUAGGAGAACCAAAGAUAAUAUCAUCAACAUAUAGUUGGCACACAAACAAGUCCCCUUUGACCUUCUUAGUAAAAAGAGUGGGGUCGAUUUUCCCAAUUUCAAACCCCCGAUCUUGCAACAACUCGGUAAGGUGGUCAUACCACGCACGUGGGGCUUGUUUAAGGCCAUAGAGUGCCUUAUCGAGUUGGUACACGUGAUUGGGGAAAUAGGGAUCCUCGAACCUGGGGGUUGUUUGACAUACACCAACUCAUUAAUAGGACCAUUAAGAAAAGCACUCUUCACAUCCAUUUGUUGCAACUUGAAGUUAUGAUGAGAAGCAUAAGCAAUCAACAAACAAAUAGAUUCAAGGCGAGCAACGGGAGCAAAGGUUUCACCGUAGUUGAUACCCUCGACUUGGGAGUAGCCUUGUGCUACCAAGCGAGCCUUGUUGCCGACAAUAAUCCCAUGAGCAUCUUGCUUGUUCUUGAAUAUUCACUUGGUUCCAAUGAGAUUAUGGUUCCCCGUUGGCCUUGGCACCAAUCUCCACACCUUGUUGUGCUCGAAUUUGUUGAGUUCUUCAUGCAUGGCAUUAAGCCAAUCCGGAUCUUCGAGCGCCUCAUAGACCUUUUGGGGUUUAACACAAGAGACAAACGCGUGAUGUUCACAAUAGUUUGCCAAUUGUCUACGAGUGCUUACCCCCUUUCGAAUGCUUCCAAGCACAUUCGUCAUGAGAUGACCCUUGGUAGAGAGCUUGGAUGCAAUCUUGGCGGCACGACGCUCCAAUUCCUCCUCAGGAGUGAGUUGAGGAGCGGUUACUUGAUCAUCUUGAGCGUCGCCUUGAGCUUGUUCUUGAUCUUGAGCUUUCUCUUGAUCUUGAACUUGCUCGGAGGAGAGAACUUGACCUUGGGCAUCACUUGGUGGUUCAACACCAUCUUGAGGUUGAUCUUGCCCUUGGUCUUGUUCAAGAGGUUGAGGGCCUUCACUUUGUUCUUCGGAAGCGUGUGUGACUUGGGUUGGUGAUGGUUCCACUUGAGUGGAACAUUGUCCUUCUCCUUCGGCCACAAGGGGUUCCUCAAUGGGUAGGAUAAAACCAACACCCAUUCUUCUUAUGGCUUGGGGAGGAAUUUCAUCACCUACAUCACAAGUGUCACUUUGCUCCACUUGGAACCCGUUAUUCUCAUCAAACUCCACGUUACACGUCUCCUCAAUAAGUCCCGUGGACUUAUUGAGGACACGGUAAGCAUGAGAGUUUGUAGCAUAACCAACAAAUAUGCCCUCUUGAGCUCUAGCCUCAAAUUUAGACAAACGAACACCUUUCUUGAGAAUGAAACACUUACACCCGAACACCCGAAAGUACUUGAGAUUGGGCUUGUUACCGGUGAGUAUCUCAUAUGGAGUUUUGUUCAAGACUUUGCGGAGAUAGAGCCGAUUGGAUGCAUGCCAUGCGGUAUUGAUGGGUUCGGCCCAAAAGUUGUAUGGAGACUUGAACUCCGCCAUCAUAGUCCUUGCCGCAUCCAUCAACGUCCGGUUCUUCCUCUCCGCUACACCAUUUCAUUGAGGGGUGUAUGGUGCAGAAUAUUGAUGCUUGAUCCCCUCAUUACUAAGAAACUCAUCCAAGGUGUAGUUCUUGAACUCGGUGCCGUUGUCACUUCUUAUCGUCAAGAUCUUUGCAUUGUGUUGGCGUUGAGCUUCAUUUGCAAAGUCAAUGACAGUUUGUUGGGUCUCACUCUUCCUCUUGAAGAAGUAUACCCAAGUGUAUCUUGAAUAACCAUCCACAAUCACCAAGCAAUACUUUCUACCCCCAAGACUAUCAAAGGAUGAAGGCCCAAAGAGAUCCAAGUGAAGGAGCUCCAAAGGCCUCUUCGAGUAAAUGAUAGUCGUGGGAGGGUGAGCCUUCUCAUGUAGCUUUCCUUCAAUACAAGCACUGCAAGCACGAUCUUUGGCAAAACUAACAUUUGUUAGUCCACGGACAUGGUCCCCCUUGAGAAGACUUUGCAAAGAUCUCAUAUUGACAUGGGCUAAACGGCGAUGCCAAAGCCAUCCCACGUCAACUUUAGCCAUUAGGCAUGUCGCGGUCUUAGUGGGUCGCUCCGAAAAGUUAAUCACAUAGAGACCGUUCUCAACAUGCCCAACAAAAGCUACUUUAAGAGUCUUGCUCCACAAGAGGGCCACGGUAUCAAUAUCAAAGAAAGUGGCAAAAGCCAUGAGUGCGAGUUGACGAACGGAAAGUAAAUUGUAUGCAAGGGACUCAACAAGCAUGACUUUCUCGAUCGUGAGAUUAUGAGAAAUGACUACCUUGCCAAGACCCAAUACCUUAGAAGAUGAGGCAUCACCCCACUCGACAUUGGUGGGCAUAUAUGGAAUCUUGUGCACGUCCACCACCAAGUCCUUGCUUCCGAUCAUAUGAUUAGUGGCUCCACUAUCGAUCAACCAUGAUCCCCCACCGGAAGCAAACACCUACAAGAGGUCAAUGCUUGGUUUUAGGUACCCAUUUUGUAAUGGGUCCUUUGAUGUUAGUAACAAGGGUCUUAGGAACCCAAAUAGACUAUUCAAUGUGCUCAUAAGGAGAACCAACAAAUUUGGCAUAGACAUGCCCAUCAUUAGCACGGCACAACACAUAAGAAGGGUUAAAGUCGCUAGCUUUGUUGGAAGGAGUGGCAUUGCCCUUCUUGACACCACCACCCUUCACAUUGUUCUUCUUCUCCUUGGAAGCACCCUCUCCCUCCUUCACAAACGUUUGCUUGAGAGGAGGAGGUCGUUUGGCCUUGUCAUUCUUCUUCUUGUUCUUGGACUUGGGUGCGAACCCAAUUCCCUCCUUGGCCACAACUUCCUUUUGAUUGCUUAAAAGGUCAUUGAGGUUUUUGUCACCUUGUAUGCAUGAAACAAGGCCUUUCUCAAGUUGCCUCUUCAACUUAGUAUUCUCCUCCACAAGAUGCACAUGCUCACAACAUGGGUUAGUAGCAUUUGCAUUAUCAAUUAAAACCAUAUGAGGAAAAGUGGCAUUUUCCUUAGUUAGCUUCACUUGUAGUUGAUCAUGAGACUCUUUGAGGCUAGCAAGAGCACCCUUCAAGGCUUUAAGAGCCUUGUCAAGUAUAUCAAACUACUCCUUGAGUCUAGCAAGAUCAACCCCUAGUUUGGCCUUCUCGGAAUUGAGCACACGAGAUACAACAAGAGUAUGAUCAAGAUCUUUCUUUAAUUUAGCAUGCUCAUCGUUGUGUGACUCCUCAAGAGCCAAACGAUGACCACGCUCUUCUUCAAGAGCAUUAGAGAGAUCCGAUAUCUCAUCGGCAUAGUCAUGACUAUGUCCCUCCAUCUUAGAGAUGGUGUCUUCGUGAGCCUCGAUCAUGUCAUUGGCUUCACCAAGUUGUUCCAAGAGAGCAACAAAGUGCUUCUUGGAUUUACCCUUGAGCUUACUCAUAAAAGACUCAAAUUCAUUUUCUUCUUCAUUAGACCCCUCACUUUCAUCAAUGCCAUCCGUCAAAGAGGGAUUAGUAGUGAUGGUAGUUUUGAUGUUGGGGGUUACCUUGUUGGUGGCUUUGGCCAUGAGGCACAUGGCGGUGAUGUUGUCGUUGGGUGAGUCGGAGAGGGACACCCGUGGAGUUGUUGCAAUGGCGACGGAGGCCAUGGAAACCGUCUCACCGUCUUCAUCAUCAUCAUCAUCCUCAUUGUACUCUUCUUGUGCCACCAACCCAUUGGGAGGAGUCUUCUUGGUGAAGUUGCUCUUGUUGGGGAAGGACUUGGCCUUUUUUUCGGAUGAGCGUGCCACCAUUGUCUUCCCUCUUCUCAUAUGGGCAUUCCGCAACAAAGUGGCUCACAUUGCAUCAUGCUUUUAUAUCAAUAUUUAUUGCAUUAUGGGCUGUUAUUACACAUUAUGUCACAAUACUUAUGCCUAUUCUCUCUUAUUUUACAAGGUUUACAUGAAGAGGGAGAAUGCCGGCAGCUGGAAUUCUGGGCUGGAAAAGGAGCAAAUAUUAGAGACCUAUUCUGCACAACUCCAUAAGUCCUGAAAUUUCACAGAAGUCAGUUUUGGAAUAUAUUAAAAAUAUUGGGCGAAGAAAGCACCAGAGGGGGGCCACCAACCAUCCACGAGGGUGGGGGGCGCGCCCCCUGCCUCGUGGGCCCCCUGGCAGGCCUCCGGUGCCCAUAUUUGGCUAUAUGAAGUAUUUCGCCCUGGAAAAAAUCAGAAGGAAGCUUUCGGGACGAAGCGCCGCCGUCUCGAGGCGGAACUUGGCGAAACCAAUCUAGGGCUCUAGCGGAGCUGUUCUGCCGGGGAAACAUCCCUCCGAGAGGGGGAAAUCAUCACCAUCGUCAUCACCAUCGAUCCUGUCAUUAGGAGGGGGUCAAUCUCCAUCAACAUCUUCACCAGCACCAUCUCCUCUCAAACCCUAGUUCAUCUCUUGUAUUCGAUCUUUGUCUCAAAACCUCAGAUUGGUACCUGUGGGUUGCUAGUAGUGUUGAUUACUCCUUGUAGUUGAUGCUAGUUCGUUUAUUUGGUGGAAGAUCAUAUGUUCAGAUCCUUUAUGCAUAUUAAUGCCCCUCUGAUUAUGAACAUUAAUAUGAUUUGUGAGUAGUUACGUUUGUUCCUGAGGACAUGGGAGAAGUCUUGCUAUAAGUAGUCAUGUGAAUUUGGUAUUCGUUUGAUAUUUUGAUGAGAUGUAUGUUGUCUUUCCUCUAGUGGUGUUAUGUGAACGUCGACUACAUGACACUUCACCAUUAUUUGGGCCUAGAGGAAGGCAUUGGGAAGUAAUAAGUAGAUGAUGGGUUCCUAGAGUGACAGAAGCUUAAACCCUAGUUUAUGCGUUGCUUCGUAAGGGGCUGAUUUGGAUCCAUAUGUUUCAUGCUAUGGUUAGGUUUACCUUAAUACUUCUUUUGUAGUUGCGGAUGCUUGCAAUAGGGGUUAAUCAUAAUUGGGAUGCUUGUCCAAGGAAGGGCAGUACCCAAGCACCAGUCCACCCACAUAUCAAAUUAUCAAAGUAACGAACAUGAAUCAUAUGAGCAUGAUGAAAACUAGCUUGACGAUAAUUCCCAAGUGUCCUCGGGAGCGUUUUCCUUUAUAUAAGAGUUUGUCUAGGCUUGUCCUUUGCUACAAAAAGGAUUGGGCCAACUUUUUGCACCUUGUUUACUUUUGUUACUUGUUACCUGUUACGAAUUACCUUAUCAUAAAACUAUCUGUUACCAAUAAUUUCAGUGCUUGCAGAGAAUACCUUACUGAAAACUGCUUGUUAUUUCCUUCUGCUCCUCGUUGGAUUCGACACUCUUACUUAUCGAAAGGAUUGCGAUAGAUCCCAUAUACUUGUGGGUCAUCACCUUACACGUUGCUUGCCCUUCGUGCCACUUGAGUUGUUCUUGUUGAAGUUGGGCCUUGUGUUCUUCUUGCUCCAAAAUUGCCUUGAAGCGAGAGCCAUGUGUCAUGAUAAGCAUACUUUGUAUCUUCGGGGUUGCUCUCCUCUUGUUCCUCUUCAUCCUCUUCUUCCACACUCGCCUUGGGCUUCAGAGCAAGGUUGGGCUUCUUUGCUCUUUGAGAACGCAACACGGUCUUCUCCAAGAUACUCAUUGCCACAAACUCAUCCAACACUUCACUUGAGGACAAGGUGUGGAAGUCCGGCCUCUGACAGAUGACGGAUGACAUGGCCUUAUGGUAAGGCAUCAUGGCUUUGAGAAACUUCCGCUUGAUCCAAUUUUCAUUUGUAUCCUUGCUCCCAUGAUCUCGGAGUGAGACCGCGAGAGUGGUUAAUCUUCGGUAAAGCUUACGAGGUUCUUCACCUUCAUUCAUUGCAAAUUCAUCGGCUUCAUCUUGCAUCACUUCAUAGUUGGAGCGUUGAAUGCUUGCGCCUCCCUUGUAAAGGGAAACAACAUGGUGCCAAGCUUCCUUUGCCACGGUGAAAGGUCAGAGAUGCGCAAUAUCUUUGGAUGGGAUUGCAUCUUGGAUGAUGAAGAGAGCAUUCUCGUUGAAUUGAUGAUCCGCGGCUUCUCGAGGGGUGAAGUUGCUUGGGUCAUGUGGAUAGAAACCUUGCUCAAUGAUUCUCCAAAGAUUAGUAUUGACAUGAUUUAAAUGACGUUUAAAACGAUAUACCCAAGAGUCAAAGUCCUCAUUUUUCACAAUCUUAGGAGGACAGCCGGCAUGAUUUAAAUGUGUGGAGGGAACCGGUCCUCCAUAAGUAAGAGGUGGUUCAACAUGGGCAUAGGUGCCGUUUCCACUUUUACCACUUGACAAAGGAACUUUCUCACUAGUAGUUUCCCCCUUGUCGGAGUUAGAAUCCGUCACCUUGUUAGUGGGAUCGACCACUUCCAAAGGUGCAUGGAUAAUUUAAGACCAUCAAGAAAGUUCUUAAGCAUGCCUUUGACCUCGGCCGUCAUGGAGUUUUUCAAUGUGUCCAAAGCCACAUUGAACUCCUCACGUGAGACCGAGGUUCCCCCAUCACCCGUAGACGAGGACGGAAUCACACCGGGGUGCUCCUCCCCACCGUCUACGGUGUCAACCAUACUCUUCGGACGGCAAAGUCCUUACCAAAGAGAUGAGGCUCUGAUACCAAUUGAAAGGAUCGAUAUAGUUGACUAGAGGGGGGGUGAAUAGGCAACUAACAAUUUUCAGCUUUUCUUUACCAAUUUAAAGUUUGCAUCAAAGUAGGUUGUCCAGAUAUGCAACUAGGUGAGCAACCUAUAUGAUGCAACAACAACGAGCACACAAGCAAGCAAGAGAUGCAACACAAUAUAAGCUUGCACAAGUAAAGGUACGAGAUAACCAAGAGUGGAGCCGGUGAAGACGAGGAUGUGUUACCGAAGUUCCUUCCUUUUGAAGGGAAGUACGUCUCCGUUGGAGUGGUGUGGAGGCACAAUGCUCCCCAAGAAGCCACUAGGGCCACCGUAUUCUCCUCACCCCCUCACACAAUGCGAGAUGCCGUGAUUCCACUAUUGGUACCCUUGAAGGCGGCCACCGGACCUUUACAAACAAGGUUGAGGCUCUCUCCACAACUUAAUUGGAGGCUCCCAACGAAACCCCGAAGAUUCACCACAAUGGAAUGUGGCUCCGAAGUGACCUCUUCCGUCUAGGGUGCCCAAGCACCCAAGAGUAACAAAAUCCACACAAGAAAGUAUGGGGGAAUCAAGUUUCCUUUGGCGAGAGUGUAGAUCUAGGUCUCCUCCUUCAAUCCCUAGCAAAUCAACGAGUUUGAGUGGCUAGAGAGAGAGAUCGGGCAAGAAAGCUUCAAAGGCAUUAAUGGAGGAGAGAGAGAGAGGCGAGAGGUAGGUGAGAGGUGGGAGAAGCACCUCCUUAAAUAGGGUCCCCUCAUAUCCAACCGUUAUGCGCAGAAACCAUAGGAGCGGUACUUCCGCAAAGAUCACCGAUACAACCAGUGAAUGCGGGAAACCCCUGCUAGGGCACCAGGGCGGUACUUCCGGUGGGGCAACCGGUAGUACCGGUAUAUCGGAAUAAACCAGAACUACCAUUCCACCACCGCUCGACUACCGCUUCACAGCCAGAAGGUUUUCACCCUAGACCGGUAGUUAGAGCGGUGGUUGGGCUGGAGCUACCGCUGGACCAGCAAUUCCUGGGCGGUGGAGUUCCAGGCGGUUCUACCGCCCUGAACACCGGUAGUACCGGUUAGUCAAGACAAACCGGAACUUCUGUUCCACCACCGGUCUACCACCGUACCAGGUACAGAAGGGUGUCACCCCUGAGCAGUACUUGGGGCGGUGGUUUGGCCGGAGCUGCAUGCCAGUGGUACAACCACUCAAGAGAGCGGUACUACCGCCAUGAGCAAAACUGCACAGUCACAUAGGACAUUUGGGAACCACUCUCUCCUCGAACGGAGGGUAUAUGUGGGUGCAAAGAAUGUGUACGUGUAGUGAUUCACCCAAUACCUUCCGAUGUGGAUUCCCUCUUAAUAGUACGGAUAUCCUACGACCAAAGGAAUAAAAAACAUCAGAAACUCCGUCUUCGAUCUUUUCCGCAUAGAGAGAAGGCCUAACCAUCUUGCGCCACACAAUGUGUACCUGAGAAAACUAGGACGCACGAUUAGUCCACACGAGUGUUAUCAUCAUCACCAAAAACCUAAGGCAGAAGAUGCCCUUACACAUGUUUUUUCUUCGAACGGUAAGAUACGCCAGUCAAUGAUUGAGGUAUUAUACCAUAGAAUGAGUUGAGUUGAUGAUGAUACAUAAAUAGUGGAGUCGAGUGAAUAUAUAUGUACGCACACAUGUUGCAGUCGUGGACAGAUGGGAUGAUGUGUUUGUGGACCAAUGCUGGGCGUGCUACUUGGGAAAAACAAAGGGAACCCUUUCACGAUACAAAAUGAAAAGAGUAAAUUCAUCUGCUGCAUUCAACAUGAUGAGCAGGAGCAGGUCUCGUCAUCAAUCGGAGGAGCAAAUGCAGGCGGGAAGUAAAACCGACAGAUAUACGGAGAUCCUCCAAGAGAAUCAUGCAUUACAUGCUGCCCACUUCAGCUGUCACACUUGUCCAGCAGCUGGCAGGUAAAAAGAGUUCAUUGCUACACAUGCAUGCGCCAGAGCAAAUCUGUAGCAACACGGUAGUCGUACGUGGUAGUAACUCCUGUUGUAGCACUGUGGCAAGUGGAUACAAAAGAUAGGCCAUGUAGAUAAGGCACUGUUCCUCUAGGGCUCUUGGCCGUAGCCUAUAGAGGCACCCAUGGCCACGGCUAGCCUUUGCAUUUGACGUGGUUGGACGAAAAGUGAGGGCGUGCCGCUCCGGCCGAGGCACCCACGAGUAAUAACAGUUCUGCCUUGAUCUAUAAGAAGAGGAGACGCCUGAGCUGAUCAACAAAUCAUUCGUUUGCGCCUAAAUAUAGGGCAAACCUCAUUACCUUGAGUUAUGCAUUCUUACUUAUUUAUGCUAAACUUUUUUACAUCAAAAUAAUUCGACUUGUAGUUAAAUGUAUUUUUUUUCUUGAAACAACAUUCAGUAUUACUGUGCUGAAUACUAAAAUAUUAGGUAUAAUUAGCAAAAUUAUCAAUGUAAACACACUUGUAUAUUAUGCCAAUAUACUUACUAUUACACAAUCAUUUGUUGGUAUAGUGGAUUUUCAAACAAUUUGUUGGUAUAGUGGAUUCUCAAACACACUUGUAUAUUAUGCCAAUAUACUUACUAUUAAACAAUAACAGUUUGUAUAUUUUGUCACAAUUUUCUUAUUUAGUUCAAGAUAAUUAAGAAACUAUGUUGUUAUAGUGGAUUUUCUCUAUAAAUCUUAGCAAAAAUAUAUUUCAAAUUAUGAUUUCAUAUGGUGCCUUCUUGUAUACUUAAAUAUCGCAGAGAGUAUGGAUCUAGCAAUCUAGCAAAUAACUCGAAAGAUGUUUCUAGGGUAUAGGACCAUCAAGCUUAGAUGGAAUUAAAUAGCUAAUUCUCGAUGGUAUGUGUCUACUACUCCCACCAUUCCACAAUGUAGUGCGUAUUGAUUUUUUUAAGUCAAACUUUAUAAACUUUAACCAAGUUUAUAGAAAAAACCUAUACAUCUAGAAUACCAAAAUACAUAUCAUUACAUACAUCACAAGACGUAUUUUCAUGUUGUACAUAAUUUGGCUGACUUUUCAAAAAACUAUAUGCACUACAUUAUGAAACGGAGGGAGUAGUAUUUUGUCCUUGAAUAUCGUCUUUUGUUCUCGGUUGGUGGGGCCAUCAACGCAUCGAUCGCUAUGACUUUUAUCAACACUUGAUUAAUGUGCAUAAGUGGAGCAGAGCAAGGAGAGGGUGAUCUCAAAGUCUCACCGGUCGUCUCUACAAGGGGUCGGGGUGCCGUGUAGAUUGCCACAGGCACAAUCCGGGCACGACCUUAUCCCAAUCAUUUUCAUGUGAAAAUAUUUUGAUUGCAGAUGGAAAUAGCUGCAAUUUUUAUGUAAAACGAUACCCAUGUUGUUCCUUGGCACGGUGAGAUAACCCAGUCAAUGAUGGAGGUAGCAUAUCAUAGAAUGAGUUGCGUUGAUGAUGAUACAUAAAUAGUGGAGUCGAGUGAAUGUGUGUGCAUGUACAUACGUUGCAGCUGUGGACAACACGAGGAUGGGAUCAUGUGUUUGUGGACCAUAUAUAUGAGGACAGGACAUGCGGAUAUUAUAUGGAUGAUAUGCAAGCCAAGGACCUCACCUCAUCCGGAUGGAGAGGCGGCAACCAAUGGGGCGCCGGCAUCCAGAUUUGGUUACCCUUCAUCCUGGCCACCCGAUCCUCCUGCUCUUGUGGAUAUAAAACCAGCCAACCAGCAGCUUGCCUCGUCUAGCUCUAUCUACCUACGUACGCUGCCACUCUUUCCCAACCACUUACUUAGCUAGCUAGCAGCCAUGGCCGCCCUCUCCUCUGCAGCGGUGUCCGUCCCUUCCUUCGCCGCCAAGGCUGCCACCCCCAUGCGCAGCAGCAGGAUGGUGGUGCGCGCCUCCCUGGGCAAGAAGGCGGCGAGCGCCGCGGUCGCCGUGGCGGCCAGCGCGAUGCUGCUGGGCGGGUCGGCGAUGGCGCAGGACGUGCUCCUGGGCGCCAACGGCGGCGUGCUGGUGUUCGAGCCCAACGAAUUCAGCGUCAAGUCCGGCGAGACCAUCACCUUCAAGAACAACGCCGGGUUCCCGCACAACGUGGUGUUCGACGAGGACGCCGUGCCGUCCGGCGUGGACGUCUCCAAGAUCUCCCAGGAGGAGUACCUCAACGCCCCAGGCGAGACCUUCUCAGUCACGCUCACCGUCCCCGGCACCUACGGCUUCUACUGCGAGCCGCACGCCGGGGCCGGCAUGGUCGGAAAGGUCACCGUCAACUAAGCUAUCUUCUAGUAGCUCCCUGUCCUGUCCUUGAGAAUUUGGGUCCAUUGUUGAUCGGUCAGACCGGAGGUGUGUCAUGCAUGCAUAUUGAUUAAUUGUACGAACGUACGCUAUAUGUAUAUGUUUUCUAUAAGAUGAGAUGAGGCUCUUGAUGAUAAGUAAUCCUUCUUCUUAGCUUUGAUUUGUAUGCUUAAUUAUUUUUUCAAUUUGUUGUCGAAAAUUAGCCGCGGUGGCACGCGAUUAGUAUGCCGGUGUUAUGGCAAUUAAUACUUGUCAUGUUCUCGUUACUCAUCCUUCAUGUUUUCUCUGAUAUACGAUGUG